AGUCGCGACCGCCGUGGUGCACGCGUGCCCGCUACGGACCGCCCGUCAUAACCGGCGAAAAAACAUUCCGGUGACGUUUGUCCCGUUCCGCCGUACGCGUAUUUUCCGACCGCGGUAAUAGACGAGAAUAAAAAAAAAAAAAAAACAAUAAUUUUCUCGCGAUUUUCGCUGCGCGCGCGAAACGCCGUUUAUAAUUCAAUUUCCCCGUCACUCGCGGAAACAAUACGCAAUAUUGCCAUCGUCCUCUGGCGAUAAUCGUCAAAUUUUUCCGCGGCGCACGGCCUCGCGUACGUUUCCCGGGCCCCCCACCCCGCGCGUGCCGUCGUAACCGCAUGCAUGGUUAAGAAAUUCCGCAAACCCCAGAACAGAUAUAACAAAAGGGUCCAACGAGUCGACGCCGAAAUGGCCGAGCAACCGUCAGCCGUCAGCGAGCUGCAGACCGUUUGGAAGUGCCGGAGGAUUUGGUUCACGAUGUUGCUGUUGGUGCUGCUGUUCGUGACGCCAGGUUAAUGCCAUAAUAUUAUUUACCGUAUUGAUAUCAAUUAUUAGAGACAUCGUAUUAUUAUAUUAAUAAACGCGUACGCGUACAGAUUAGAUUACGUAUUCCGGGCGCAACAUUUUCGCGCGUUGCCGUUGUAGUCUUUGAACCGCCGUUUAUCCCGGCGUAUUUGCGUUAGAGCGCGGCGCGAUACGUGAACACGUAGGUGUUGUUUACGGUGACCGACGAGAAAGUUUUUCGAAAAAAAAAAAAAAAAAUUAAAUCUCCCCCCCCCCCCCCCCCNNNNNNNNNNNNNNNNNNNNNNNNNNNNNNNNNNNNNNNNNNNNNNNNUUUUUUUUUUUUUUUUUUUUUUUUUUCUUUAUAAAACAUGGACCGAAAGUAAAUUAAUUCAUUGUGGUUCGGCUAUGUUUUUGUCAUAGUUGGCACAAUAAAUUAAUUGAACGACCGUUUAACUCCGUAAACUCGCGAUGAAAAACAGAAAAAAAAAAAAAAUGUUAACUACAAAAAAUAUAAUAUAAAAAUAAUGUACAUACUAAAAAAUAUUAUUGUACUUGUGCUAUACAAUAAUAAUUUUCACAAUCUUCUUUCGGUUUCCGUAAAAUUCUCGAGAUUUUUUUCCGUCCCCCGCCCAGCCGCAAUCGCACUAUAAUAACGCGUAAACGUAUAAAAUGAAAAGUUGACGAUGUACAUAUUUAGCGGCGAAAACCAUUUCGCACCUUUGACGCACAAGACUGGUCGCAGAUCGAAAUUUCGAAUUUUUUUUUUCGACCUAAUGCCCGAUGAUUAUAUUGGUGUUUUUCUGAACAAAACGCCACCAUACGCCCCACAAGUCGCGUAACACAAUCGACAUUUUUUUUUUUUUUCCAUAAAAGGCGUACGUCAAUCGUUCGAAAUGACGCGAAACUAGAAAAUGUGGCGGUUUAUCCGGUGUUGUUCCGGUUUUGAAACCGCCGCCGCGUAUCGCCGUUUUCCAAGUAGAUUUCAAUGAGCGGAGGGAAAAAAAAAAUAAAAAUAAAAAAAAAGACAAUAAGCUCCGGCGGUGACAUAAUAUUGAAACUAAAGCGUCACAUAAAUGUAUUGUAACAAUAACCGUUCGGGGAGCGGACGGAUACGUUUUAAAAUUGAAUUUUCUCGAAACUUUGUGUGGUUUUUUUUUUUUUCCAUAAUUUGACCGUCUUGCGGCCGGAGGUGCGAGAUUCGUGAACCCAACCGACGCGUUUCGGGAAUAGACGUCCGCGAUCGCAAUAACCGUUUUGUUUUCCCGGCAACGGUUCGGCAACGCGAUUCACACGCGCGGACAAAUGACGUUUCGGAUUUUUAGCCGGCUUUUUUAACGCCACAGAUACGCCCGCGUCCGUAACACACACAGAUCAACGUCGUCGUUGUCGUUACGUUACGGUUCGCGUGCAUUCGCGUGUAUCCGUCGGGGGAAGGGCGGGGGGGGGCGCGUCCGAUUGAAAUGUUAACGAAAUCGAAUCGUAUCGUCGCCUCCCGGCGUCCGGCGCGACGUUCGGAGACCUCCGCGUGCCGUGCCGUGCCGUGAAAAACGGACGGCGCGACCGACGGGCGCGCGUUCGCCCACCCUCCCCACCCCGCGUAACGGCACCACGUCACGGUGUUACGGGACCGGAUUACCGAAAUUUUCCGACGAAAAUUUGAAAAAAAAAACAAAAACAAAAAACAGACGUGCGCGACCGCGCGUCGCGUCACCGUCGAAACGCCGUGGUUUCGGCGCGCGAGCGAAAUGUCCCGCUGCCGACCGGGGACGGAAUCGCAUUUCCAGUAGCAUUCCGUCACGUCGCGUUCCGUUUGCUCCCGGUCCGUGUGUACCCGCGGACCCGCGGAAACGAUUGCGCGCCGUUCGGUGAAAAGGUCCGGAGACGGCGGGCGAAAAGACCCCGUUCCCGAUAGUUAACGGUCGGGUCGACGGCAUUUGUGCAGGGCCGUUACGCGUUAUUCGCGAACUUUUUUUCUUUUUCACGCGUCGCCCCCGUGGUCUCCGUCGUCGGAAGUAACGACUACCGUCCGGACGUUUACGGCCGGUACGUUCCGCAGGCGGGAUUCCGAACACACCACCCCCGCCCCCCCCCACAUCGCCCGGCGCGUUUUGUUUUCGUUUAUCACCGCGCGGCACAUACCUUUACGCGCAACGUACUGCAUCACCGCGGUCCGGCCGUAACGGUAUCGCGUUUUAUCGGUGACGGCGGUGAGGGCGGGGGGGGGGAGCGGCAACGUUCGCCGCGAAAACGAUUUCGGAAAAAUCACCACCUACCCCGUCUCGUCUACACAAAUAACCGACCGUAUUCUUUUUUGGGAAUUAAAAUUUCGAUCGCAAAAAAAAAAAACAACAAAAACGAAAUCUAAAACAAAAAAAAAAAAACAUUUCGGUCUUUCCGUUGCGUCGGCCGCCGUUACUUUUCGGAUAAUAGCAGUGUGUAUUUUUUUAAUAAAAACAAAAUAAUACACCCCUUUCCGACCGCCCGUGAUUUUUCCCGUCACAUUCGCGAAAAACCCGAAACGCGAUAAAAAAAUUAUCGGUUUUACGGGCGGUAUUCGCGCGUUGAACGAAAAAAAAAUCGUUAAGUAAAAAAUAUCCGCCGAUAUUUUUAUUAUACCGCCGACGGGUAUUCCGAACAAAGUUCGGUUGUUUUUUUUUUUUUUUUUGAAACGUCGCGAUUGUUACGGCGGUAAUUUCAUUAAAAUUCGAACUCGCCGACAAACGCGCGCCGCCGUUUGUUUUGCGCGAUUUUCUCGAUAAAUAUUGACGCUUCAAUAUUAAUAAUACUGUUCGGCUGCGAGCCCUGCGUAAACCGCGUCUAUUUGCACGGCGAAUCUGCGCGAAAACUUACGGAAUAACAAACGCUCGAACUGAAAACUUGUAUAAAUUAUUCGGUCCGGUAAAAGGAAUGAAAAUAAAAAUAAAAAAUAAACGUAAAUAUACCUGCCGGACGAGUGAAAAAUAAAAAAAUGCCCCCGCCCCGUAGGUUUUUUUUCGUUUAAAAUAUUAUUUAUUAACGGCGAACGGACGCGGGUGCAUUACAAUAUGUGCGGAACGCGCGCGACGACGGAAACGACAAUAUUUUUUAUCAUCGUAAUUGCCAUAAUAUUGCGACGGUUCUACCGGGACGUCGAACGUCGGCGUGUUUCCCCGACGUCCGCCAUUGUCAUUUUUCAUGACAAUUUCGGUGCCCGCGGCUGUCGGACCCGACGGCGGACGUUCGGUGCGUUUCGCGAGUCGAACGCGCGCGCGUGCCGGCGUUUUCGUCUCGACAUUAAACGGACGUGUCCCGAAACGCGACCCCGGCGCGAUGAGCGCACCCACGCACUCGCUCGGGAUAUCGGGAAGAACCGCCGGCGAAACAAACCAAACAAACCAAAAAAAAAAAAAAACCGGACGUAACGAACGAUACUGUCGCCCCCGUUCAAGUCCGCGUUUCACGAGCCGGUCGACGGCCCGAGUCCGGAUUUGCCCGACGCGAAUUCGACGCCAUCCGGUUCUCGGCAUUGCCCCGUAGCCGGCACGCCUACGCAAUAUCGUACGCGGUGUGCGUGCCGGGCCCGCGUUUCGUCGACUUUCCGCCCGACGAAACCGAUUCACGCGCCGUUAGAGUUUUGACGUCGCGGCCAAUAAUAUAACGAAAACUUCGUUACACGCGUGAACAAACAUCCCCGUGUUCGUGCGUUGGUUUCCUCGCGGUAUUCGAUUUCUUUAUUUUUUUUUUCCGCGGGCAUCUGUAGUGUUACGAAUUUGGGAGAAAAAAAAAAUAAAUAACUUCGUGUCUCGCACGCAGAUUAAGACGUCGGCGUACGAAACCGAACGCACAGACGCACAGACAAAUAUUGCGCGCUGGCCUUUAGGUCCGAUAACGACAGCGGACAAUUCGCUCUGCGACAUCAAAGCCGGCGGCCGCGAAAUCGGUUCCGCCGAACGUGAAAGGUUAUCGAAUUUCCGACACCGGCUGCGUUUUCGUGUGCGAAAUGUCCGACGGCGGAAUUAUCGCAGUGCCGCGGGCCCGAUAAUAGAGAUUAAACAGAAAAGAAAUGCCGUUACGUUUUAAAUUUUUAUUCGCGGAUCGAUCGUUGUGCGCGUACCCAAUUGUCAUGGAAUAAUGCGCCGGGAGCGGAAAGUUUCUCGUUUUUCCAUUUUUCGGUGUGGCAGACGGCGCCCGCGUACGCCAAACUUAGCCGCCGCAGCGGAAUACGUCGCCGACCGAACAGAUAGCGAAGAAAUUACCGUCGGACAAAACGGACACGGCGGCAAACAAUACGUUUUUCUUUUCUUUUCUUUUUUAUUGUCUCUUUUUUUUUUUUCUUUUCUUUUCUUUUUUUUUUUUUACGGCGUACCGGUACCGGUAGCGCUGAGGUAAAAAGACGAACGAUAAUUAUGCCCGUUGUUGUUAAUCUCCGGGUUUACAAAAAAAUCAUAAUUUUAUCGCGCGAACGGUGACGCGAGCGUUGAAUCGCGGGACCGAAAAGUUGUGCUCGUCUAUACCGCCGCCGCCGCCGCCGCGUAUAAAAAACGCAUUACAAUUAUUAUUCCACUAUUGUUCCGAACGCGCGCAACACCUAUUUCGUAAAAAGUUUCCGUCGAACUUUCCCCGUCUCCCCACCCCUCCCCCCUCCGUAAAAACGUCUUUGUGUGACACGCGAAAACAAUGUGGAAUAGCUAGGUAUCGUCGUCGUCGGCGCGAAUCAGAGAAACCGCGCGUAUCGUGACGGGACGUUUUCAGUUUAGGACCGGGAAACAAUUUUUCACUGUUGGUUUUUCUCGGUUUUUAAUGCGUUUCCACCGAAUCGGUCAAUAGGCGAACAAUUCACCGUUCAAAAACCGACAGCGGAAAUCGGUUAAAAUCGGUCAAUACAACGAGCGGUGCAGUUGUUACGCCGAGUUCCUCCAACCCGACGAUAUUGAACUCGCACGCAAAUGCAGAUAUCCACGCGUGUAUAAUAGCAUAAUUAUUAUUACGUGUACAGUACGAACCUACAAUAAUUUCCACAACGGGGGGGUGCCUGAUUUUCGAAUCGUUUCGGAUUUCGUAAAAUUUGAAAAUCGCGUUUUCCCUGUUACCGCGUACGACCGCUCUAUACUGCCCGGAUAACCGGUCGAGGGGAGGGACAUGGCGAACAUGACGUUUUAGACCGACUCGCGGCUGGACCUGAAAUUCACCGGUCGCCCGAUAUUGGUUUUCGUUUAUGUUAUGUUUAGUACUCGACGAGUUAGCAUUUUAGAUACUGAGCGGAGCGAAGAAUGUAUUUGAAUUUUCUUAUGAUGUUUAUUAUUAAUACUAUUAUUUAUUUAUUUUUUUUUUUUUUACAAUAGACAACUUUUCUAUCAGCGAUUUCGCUCCGAUUUUCGAGUAUAGUACUAUUUCCGUAAGGAAAUCUAACUGGGAACAAACGGGAAAAACCGUAGGAAAUGUAUUAUUUUCAAAUCGUUAAGAUAUUACGGCAUUUGAAAACACGUCUAACCGAACUCUUCUCAGAAUCGUUUUUCGUUAACGUUAACGAUUAAUCGUUGCGCACAGAUAUGUACAAUAAAUUCCCCUCUACAUCCUACCUUCACGACUUUUCGCCUACAACAGUUGCGGCCCACCCAUCGCGCGAAAUAUGUCCGUAUCUGUUCUAUUCGUUUUUUUCGUAUUCCUCUAAAUAAACCCGUACGGGUUUUCCUCCGAAACGUCGAAACGAAAUUCACGUGUUACACGGUCGAACAUUUUUCCCGAACGGACCCGCCGCACGCGGUUGUAUUUUUAUUCCGUCGCAUCGGUCCACGGUUUUUACGAAAACGCCCGGAUUUCGACUUUCGACCGCCUUUAAUGUAUUACACACGCGACAAUGUAAUUUAUUAUUUUUCGCCAUAUUUCAUAUAACGUUAGUAAUAAUAAUAAUAAUAAUAAUGCAAUCGAAUUAAAUAAACUCGAUCUCGGCGAUAGAAUACCCGUAGACGCGUAGCGCGCCCGGAUGCGGACGGCGGCGACGUCGGUAAUACGAAAAAAUCCUCCCGUCACGUCGCGCAUACAUACGGGAAACGGACGGGUGAUGGGGUGGGGGGGGAAUACGAUAUUUUCACAGUUUCGAGACGAAACAUGAAUAGUGACAAUAGUAAUACAAAUGAUAAUACGGAGUGUACGUAUAUAAAUACAUUUCAAUGUGUGUGCAGACACCGCGCGACGAAAGAUUUGACGUUGGAAUCACGUCCAAAUGGAUUCACGCGUGCGCGCGGCCCGCGGCGUCUCGGCAAAAUUAAAAUUGCAUUUAAAAUCGUUUUCGCGACCACGCGCCCCGACGCGCGUGUACCUACCCCCUCCGCUCAGAAUUGUUUUUUCCAUUUGCAAUGGUUAAUCGUUUCUUACAAUAUAUAUUUAAUUACACAUAACAGUGGCUGCAACGAAAAAAAUAAAAACCAUUGGCUUUUGCACGGAUACGGGCUCAUAGGCGGUAGCUUCACCCUACCCGCCUUAUAUAUAAAAAAAAAAAAAAUAAAUAAAUCUUAAAAUCUACAAUUUAUUACGCUGUGUACGACUUACCUAUAUACACUUGUUUGGAAAUUAAUAAUGAUCGUACUCCGCGGAACUUUCGAGAAAAACAUUUUGUUUUUUUUUUAUUAUCGUCAUUAUUAUUAUUACUAAACAGUAAACACGACGGUGAAAAAACUUUUGAGGAAGCCUAUAUACUGCACAAACUGGCUCGGGUAAACUUUUAUAUACAACCGCUACAUAGUUUAAUAUUAGGUUUUCUUCCUUUUUUUCCGUUUUAUUAUAAUUAUUUUUUUUUUUGUGUAAAUGUUGUUUUUAAAAUUAACACAAUAUUUUAAUGUGUUAUAUUUAUGCAAUAAUUCGGUACAAAUUUUUAUCUGCAGAUUCGUUGGAUUAUUUUGACAGCAUUAUAAUAAGAUUCGUAUUAGGUAUCUAUAUUAAAGCACCGAGAACAGAUUCGAUUUUGUACCAAUAAAAUAACUUAUCAAUGCGAAAAAAAAAUACAAUCGACGAUUAAAAAGUUUAUUGCUCGGAUCGUUUAAUAUAAACUUUGCUCGGAUACGUUUCCCAUAAGCAAAAUGACUAUUACUUUUUGUGUCGGAUCCUUUACCAUAACCAGCUUCUUAUCUAGCCACGCCUCCUGUCAUUCUUUUGCCAGAAUUGCGAUUGAAUUAGUUCCUUGGUUUCUUUUUUACUCUAAUCUUAUCGCUAGCGUAUUUUCUAAAUGUUUGAUGAUUUACGAGUUCUUCUAUACGUUUAAGUCCCACAUAGUGAAUCGGUACGAUUUCUGAAAAUGGAUUUGAAUUUAACGAUAAGCGUGUACACUUCUACACUUGGGCUCUACCGCUUUUUCAAAUUUGAGUAGGUACUCUUAAUUUUCAAAAAUGAGAUUUGAUAAAUAAAAGCGAAACUAAAUUUAAAUUUUAAAAAAAAUAAUAGCCUGACCGAUAUCAUGCACGUACACCUUACGCCCAAUUCAAUUCUAUUUUCACAAUUUUUGUCGCUUCACAAACGUCGAUCCGUCGGACGGACAGAUACUUGUUCCAGAUACUAUGCUACAGAUGCUAUACGUAAUGCGUGUGUGUUAGACAAAGGAUGAAAGUAUCUCCGUUACGGAAACGGAUACCCUUAUCAUGUGAUACUAAACGAUUUUUAAAUCAUAUAUAUAUAUAAAAUCGAGAGUAUAUCUGUUUGUCCGCUACACUGCAUGUUUACAGUUAUACACUUUGAUUUCGAUGAAAAUUUGCACACUUGGCCAUUCAAAACGCAAGAGAAAAAUCUACUUUUUAUCCCGGAAUUUAAUCCCUGAAUCGCGGCUUACAAUUGAUUUUCGAUAGUUUAAUAUGAACAAAUUUAAUUUUUCUGAUUUAAGAUCAACUUACAGGUACACGGAUGAAUAUUUUUUAAAAAAAAAAGUUAUCAUUCUUAAAUUAUUUUAUAAAUUCAAUCUUCAUUUAUGACAACUAUGGUUUGUUACAAAUGAGAACGUACCCGUUUUAAAAGAUAAAUUGCCGGGCAACAACGAUUAACCGCAGUGUUAGGAACAAGAGUGGAACCGGGGAGACGCGUGUUACGCGGACAGACUUUCAAUUGUAUGUAUCUAAUAUCAGAUGAAGCACUUUUUUUCAGAUGAGCCCGAAAAAUGCCGAGAAAUUCGGUAGGUGUAUAUUAAAAAAAAACGCGGUUACUAUUGUCUCAAAAAUACUUUUCGAUUUGAACUGUGUAACAUAAUAAUAUUACGAUGGCUUUACUACUAAGUUUUACACUUAUCAAAAUAACCAUUGUUAUUACAUAUACGCGCGGAAUCCGCGAGAGGACUUAGACGCCGCAUUUCAGGUAGUUAUCACGUCGUAGUAUCUACAAAGUUUAGAUGUUUAGAAUCUUUUUACAUGCGUACACGGAUCCGCAUUAGCGGUUCGUAUUGCCGUCAAAGCUAUACUUAAAACAUUGUUUAUGACGGGAUAGAUAUUUAUAACUCAUGUAAAACCCUGCAUUGCAUAAUAUUAUGUGAAUAAUUUAUGCCGCGUGAAUAUCGUACUAUGUGUACUACGCGAUAUUAAAACAUAAAUAUUUUAACCCGACGUAUGCAAUUAUAUAUUAUAAAAGUAUACGUUAAAACCGGAAGAUCUGUAUUAUAAUUCGACGUCAUUUGAAAUAAAAUCACGGGGUACGUAUAGCAAGCGUGUAUUGAAUGAUUGAGUUGUGGUCCAACGAAUUGAGGGAACAGUCGGCGGAUCGAUAAAUCCUCGGCAAUUGGUUCAUCGUCAUUUGGUAAAAAUACAGAAUCAUUAUAGUAAUCAGUCGACUUAUCUUGAGAUAAGUUCGAAUUCAAUAUAGCCGAUGGUAAAAUUGUAAUAUGUUACGAAAAACAAAAAAAAAAAAAAAAAAAAAAAAAACCCAUGACAUUUUUUUCUACAAAUUACUCGUAGAACAGCGUAUACUUACUAAUUUUCAACUCCGAUCGAAAUUUCUUCCCCUCAUUUCGCCCCUUAAUGACGCCUAUGAUCUGUACGGUGUUCUUUUUCAACUAGACAACCUAUAUAAUAUAUAUAUAUAUAUACAUAUACAUUCUAUAGGUUAUAGCUACUUGUUCUAUUUCACCGAAUCAUAAUUAUAUUUACAAUUUCGUGACUAAUAUUUUGCUGAUUCUUUCGAGUCGCGGGGGGUCGAGCGCGGUAUAUUUUAGAGUGCCUGAUAUUUAUAUACGUAUUAAAUUCUUGUUUCUCUGCGUUUGUAGAGAAAUUUCAGUAUAUUUCAGAGAUCGAAUGAUCGCUACAUUAUGUUCUUAGACUUUUCGAUUAGCUUUGUAACAUAAUCGCCCACGCAAUUAUUAUUACUCGUAUUAAUUUAUAAUAAUUUUUGGUAUUUUACGAAAAUAAAAACGUCCCGCUUUUUAUCGCGUUCGCGUAUCAUUAUAUUACUCGAACACACGCAAUCUUCGCAAAGGGUCAAAAUAACGUCAUUAAUUCAUAUAUUAUAUUAUAGUUGUAUACUUACAUAAAAUAAUAUUAUAAUUUCAUCCGUACGCUCAUUUUCCGAAAUUGUUUUGUUAAUUUACCAUAGCCAAGGUAGGGUAUGAACGUAUAUUAUAGCGGUUUGUUAUAUUGUUUUUUUUUUGUGAUUAUUAUUAUUAUUAUUUGUUUUAAAUUCUGUUUUUUUUGUCGGGGGUGCGUCGGAGGUAGGGUGGUAAGAGUUUGUAAAAUAUCCCCGGAGUAUACUUUACGGCGGUCUAAUUUUUUUAUCCAAACCAUUAGCGAGAUAGGUUAAGGACAAUAAAUAAUCGUAAUAUAGAUAGAUACGUAGCGCAUGCUGCUUUAUGGCGUAUUAUAUAUACUUAUUAAAACUGUUGAACUACCCCAUAAGUUAAAAAUUACCGAUUCAAACUUUUAUGAAUUUCCCGAGCGAGCGGACGUUUUUAUUAUGUACUCGUAUUACGUACUUAAUAGGUAUUUUUAUAAACUAUUACCCGCGGAAUCCGAUUAAAUUCUGUACUACCCAUAUAAUAGUAUUAUGUUAUGUAUAUAUCGUGUAUUAAUAAUAGAAGAUUAAACGAUUUUUUUUUUUUAAAUUUUCAAGUUCUACGACAAGAAUUAUAGCGGUUGUCGUUGUAAUUUUCAAUCGAUUAGGAUAAUCGCGGGUGCCUUCCGAAAUUCGACUUACCGAUGGAUCCGUUGACGAAUAUACGAAAACAUUUAGAUUGCGUUCGAUAAUGAAACGCGAUCAUAAUAAGAUUGCACAAUUUUCCCUGUAGCAUCCCCGACAUAAAUUUAAAUCGCGACCAAUAAAAAACCGAUGAGAAAUAACAAUCAGACAAGUCCGGUACCUAUACAAUCGAACGCUGAGCCCGGCGGAAUAAUAGUUGACAACGUUGAAUUUUUGCAGUUCGGUACAAGACCCUGCAGUACAAUAUUAUCAAACUGUUUUGGAAAUUAUCAUUUCGAUUGAAUAUCACCGAAUUUCGGGAGACAUUCUAAGGGCAAAGUUUCCAUGUAACGCAGAAAAAACGAAGAAAAAAAAAAUGUUCCCCUUUUAUCGAUUCCGGUCGUAUUCUCGUGGGUUUAAUUAAAAACAACGACGUCUCGGGGAAAUAACGACGGAAGUUUGAAUAUAUAUUGUUUAGGUAAUGCUAAUAUUCGUUUCGACUAUUAUGUAUAUUGUAAUAUAGCCGAGCGACCGUCGGAUCGCAUGCGUUAUGCUCUUUAUUAUUAUUAUCUUUAUUUAAACCGAACGAUUCGUUUUAAGUGCUUUACCUACCUACGAUUUCGGCGGUCGCAAUAAAUUUACGAAACAACCCAAAUUACACCUAUACACGGCGGAAAUCGUUUUGGCCUGCUCGGAGCUUCAACGCGUUAAGUCUGUCAGUUUAUAUGUAUUAUAUUGUUUCAAGUUUUCCGAUUCGUUUUCGGGCGGUUUUCUCGCCACGCCAUUCAAAUAAGCGCACUAACGGCCGUUUACUAUACGCACGGUGAAAAAUCGUAUUCGCGUAACCCUCGCUAGAAUCAAAAAUAUUAAAUAUACUAACGGCAUAGAGCUACCGGCGGUGGCGUGGUGUUAUUUUUCUAUGAACUAUGAAGCGAUUACAGUAAAUAGCAAAAAUGGAUACGACCCAAUACCGCAGAAUGAAUCAGCGGCUGUAACUAAAACCUGACGUUACUGUACUUCGCCUUUUCGUUAAGGUAUCGUACAGCCACGCACCCAUCCGCCCAUUUGUACACUGGUCAUAGAUCAGCUGCUUUGUAGAAGUGUAUCCAUUUUCGCCGCUAACGUGUACAGCGUAUUAAAUGUUACUCUACAAUUCAGCGAUGUCUAAUACAAAUUAUAAUAUACAUAUAUACGUGCAUAAUAUUAUUAUGCAUUUUCCAAAAACUUGACGGUUUGAAAAUAUACUUUACUGUUGGAUAUAUCGUUCAAAACUCAACUAAUUUUCUCUUUGGUGGAUACAACGCCGUUUAUUUUACCGAUUUUUCUUAUUGAUAUUUCUCAUCGACUGUUAUUAUAUUUGUUUAUCUUUUGUGCCGGGGAAAAGGUGCCUAUAAUAUUUGAUAAUACGGGAGGAAAUGUCGCGAUCGUAUUAUUUUGAUUACGUUCCGCGAUCCAACGCGAUCCAAAUAGUUUCACAUCGAACAGCCUCCCGACGGAUACAUAUCGUUUAGUAAUGAAUUUCGGUACCGAACCGUUGUGCGACUAGCAGCCCGGUUAGGUUUGAUUAGGUUAGUCACGAUCGUACGCAUUAUUAUUACAUUAUAGAAUAUCAGACUUCUGUCAAAGUUCAGAAAUAUUGUCUCGGCGUCCGUAAACGAACCGCAUAACAAUAUUGUACAAUCUCGGGACACACAAGUACGGCGUCUUUAAAAGGGAUUUCGGGCGUUUUCUUCGCGGGAUGUUUGUUUGGUAAAUUACUAAAUAUUUAACAGGUAACGGGGAUGUCGGUUCAUUACUUAACUACAAUAUAUUAGGUAUAAUAAUAUUAUUAUAAUCAGUUUACUCGCUCGUUGCGGCGUAGAUAAUGUGCCGAUCGGGUGUGCGGCGGCGAACGCGCCAAAGGAUCUCGUCGCGUUUGGAUUACAAACACAAACCGACGGCUACAGGUUCAAUAUGAAUAAUAUUAAUUUGGCCGUCCGAGGGUCUUUGGCGGGUGUGAGAAAUCGCAGCGGCAGCAACAGCACGCGCGCGUGCACUUAAACAGUGUGUAUACACCGUUACACAGAGUGUGUAAAUUUAUGUUAAUGUGUGUGCGUGUGUGUGUGUGUGAGCAACUACGUCACACGCCGAAAGCAAACAAAUCGGUUUUCGGCGCAUUUCGGCGGUGCCGUGCCCGUAUAAUAUAAUAUACGGUCGAAACUGCGGCGUCGCAAAACGCGUCUUUAACGGCUCCCCUCCCCCCUCUCUUUUCCGUCCCCCCCCCCGCCCCUUCACCCCAUUUCCAUUUCCCGUAUAAUGAUUAUGUUGUUUCGAAACCGCAACGACGGCUCGCGUAUAAUAAUAUUAAUAACAAGGGCCGUCCCGAGAGCUGCCGGCAGGGAUUUCCUUUGGUCUCGUCCGUUUGAUCGCCAACGUAAAAUAUAUACGUGUAUUACCGCGAUACAGGUACGAGACGGGGUAUUAUAUUGUUACGCGCCUAUACACACGUUUUAAUCUUCAAAACUGGCCGCGGUAAUAAUAUUAUUAACGACACCGGGGGCCCGGUGUCCGAUUCCGUUCUACCGUUUGUUAUUGCCGUGGUCCAACACGGCUAAUGCAAUGAUAAUAAUAUUAUUAUUAUUAUUAUUAUUAUACCUAAACGCCGUUAUAAUUAUAAUCCGGGCUCGGGUUUCGACGCGAAGUGCGUUAUUUUUCCCGGAUGGCACGAUCUGAGCCCGAGUGCGAUUUUCAAGUGCGUGAUGUUAUUACGCGCAAUACUCGUUUUGCGCGGUAACGGAUAUACUUCAAAGGCGAAACGUUAUUGUUAUGCGUUGUUUAUUCGAGAUUCUAUUGUAUUUUUUGUUUUUUUUCUUUUAGCAUUUUUCGGCCGUUUUGUUAGUUUUAAGUGUGUACACACGUUUUAACGUAUUAACAAUUUGAACACGGGUGUGAUUCGAAAUAUUAUCCCAAGAAAUUACGGUUUCGUGACAUUUUCGCUAAUACGUUUUCGGUCUGUUUAUAAUAACUGCGCGGGAAUUUAUAUUGAAAUAUAUUUCGAUAUAUUUUACAACACGGCGUAUUUGAUAGUGUACAUUUCAAUUUCAACAGGUUUAGCGUUUAGGCCUUUAAGAGAUAUUAUUAACGAAUAAUGUUUAACGAAACGUUUUGGUCGUUCGAAUCGAAUUAAGAAUCGUAUUUUCGUUAUUGAAAUCAAAACCAUUGAAUCCGUCUGCGAUACGCGUUCUGCAAUUCCGCAGUGAUAACACGCCGUAGAGCAUAUUGAAAUAAUAUGGAAUUUUUCCUGCAAAUAUCCGUUCGUAUUACGCGAACGAAUCGGGAGGGUGAGACGAAUUUUUUGCCGGCGGAUUUCGAACCAUUAAGUGAAAUUUCGUUAUUUCGAAUGGAAAACCGUUAUCUUCGAUGUGCAUAAUAGAAUCUCUGUAAAUUAGAUGUUUUUUUUUUUCGUAAUCGAUACCUUGGCCGCGGUUUUCGGGAGACGUUUUCCACGCGAAAAAUAAUAUAAACCGGGUACGAUUAAUCGCAUAAUUCCGCGUGCACAGGUAGAAAAAACUGCUCUAAACUAACCUAGCCUAACCCCCCCCCCCCCGCAACUACAAGUACGUAUGUAUAGAUUCGUAUCGUACUGCGGUAAUGAUUUAUGUCCGAUAGUAAAAUAUAGCAUAAUAUAUAUAUAUAUAUAUAUAUAGGUGUAUAUUAUUGUGCGUUGCCUCGAACAAGUCGACCAACCGUCCGCCGCCUUGUGACAAAUGACGUUGACAUUACAUUUAUUUUAUGUACAUUAUAUUAUUAUGCAUAUAAUACAUACAUACAGGGUGAUUGUUUUUAUCGCGAACCGGCGGUAGUACAUAUAAAGACGCCGAGAAAAUACGCUUUUGGUUUGUUUUUUUUUUUUUCCCCCGGACAUUGCAGUUUUAAUAUCUGUAUAAAACAAAACAAUUCGUCCGAACAAAUCGUUCGGAGAUUUUAUACACAGAUACGUUUUUUUUUUGUACACCGUAAACUAUGUCGAUAAUAUAGAGAUGGGUCGUGAAACAUGCUGACGAAAGUUAAAGUUAACGUUCUACGCGCUUAUAGGGACAUUUUACUAUUUUACUAUUACUUUUCAGUUAAUUCAUACCACGGUGCGUAUCAUUACCGACUUUUCAAACCUUUACGGCAGUGGUGUAUUUACGGCUUGGUUUUUUUUUUUUUUUUUUUUGAAGGGGAAUGCAUUAACACAAUUUAGACGGCUAAGUGCAUCUAAAUCAUACCAACUACUACCGCUUUUUUUAAAAUUUUAACGCAUUUAGCACUUAGUUUAACGAUAAGUAAUAAAAACAAUUAUCUUUUCUUUGUCUUUUUUUUUACCUCGAUUAAAAAUUCUGAUCAUCAUCACUUUCAUGAUUAAUUAUCAUCAUCUAGAUAACUAUUCCGGCGGUUAUCUUUAUCUAUAUAGGCUUGAUGUUUUAAAAUGUACCUAUCUUUCUACACUAUGUACACUGUAUACCUGCGAUAUUUUAAACAUUACACGCCAAUACGUACGUUAUAUUAAACGAAUAGAAAAAAAAAAAAAAAACAAAAUCGAAUUUACUGUAAAUGUUCGUACAGAUCACCCUGUACAUGGAAUGUAUAGUAAUAUUGUUCAUAAGACCGCGUCCGAAUUAUUCAAAUAAAUAAACGAGAAUUAUAUGCCAACAAAAUCGCCACACGCCAUGCAUAGAACUGUAUAUAAUAAUCACAGUCUUUAUACCUAUUUUAUAUAUUAUUAUUAGGUAUACAUGCGACAUGCGUGUAUUACGAUUAUUUUCAAGAUAAAAAAAAAAAAAAAAAAUAAAAUAUUAUUAUUUCCUUGUUUAACGCGGUAUUAUUGUAUUUUUUUUUUUUUUUUUUUUUUUUUUUUAUUAUUCAACCGACACCGCAGGUUCGUGCGUCCGGCUCGCGAUUGUCGCGCAAACGGGUCCAAAAGCCAUCGAAACCAAUGCAGGUUUGUUUUUAUUGGCCAAUAACGGGAACGUUUUUGGAAAAACAUCACGCGUAAAUCGAACGCAUCGGUCGCGUGAUACGCGCGCGAACGUGCGCGAUACCCGCACGCGUUGUCUCGCGAACGCGCGACGCAGCGAAUUUACGCGCCCAAACGUUAGUUUCGAUACUAUAGCGAAUUCGGCCCGGGCGGCCAAACCUAUGGCCAAACGUUACCGCGAGAACGGUGACCGCGCGAGGGAGGCUGGCGGUAUUUUUCCGGUGUCCGCGUUUUUAUGCCGGACAUUGCCAAUUGCUGUUGUGCCAACUGGUCUCGCGCGGGCGAGUGAAACAUCACAGUUGCGUUUCAAUUCACGCCUGUCAGCCGCUCAAACGUCCGCUGUCUUUCGGUUCGGCGAUCAGCUGCGGGCCGCCCCGCGCGAUACUGUGAAACCAACGGCGGCGCGAACAUGUCCCCGCCGAACGCGAACCCGUACGCGUUAACGUGCGCGCAUUCGUAUAACGGCCGUGUACGUUUGCGAGACGGCCGGUACACGCGCGGUGCGCGCAUCCGGUGUCCUCUUGACGCGUUGUUAAAUUGUCUGUUAUCACAAUAAAGAUUUAAUGAAACGCAUUCGAACCGGUAAAGAGUAUCCGUACUAUUUACCGAACGACUACAUCCGUAUUCAAACAGAAUGAUUUAAAUAAUAAUAAUAAUAAAAAAUAACCCCAGAGACGUACAUCAAGUUGUUUUGUAAGUUCAGUAGGGGUUUUUUUUUUUCCGUUUUAAACGUCCUACUAUAUACGUAUACUGAUACAAAUGUACAUAUAUUUUUUUUUUUUUUCAAUUCAAUUAACCGUCGGAUUUCAAAUCCAUUAUAAUAGCCUUUCCGCCCCUCCCAUCCAUCCAUCCAAUCCAUCCAUCUUAUUUUCUUUUCUUAUUUCGUUCGUUCGGGGAAAAUAAAAUUAUCGUAAAGGACGUACGCGAAUCGUAUUAUUCCACAAACCAUUUCGAAUUGAUGAAAAAUAAUUUUCAUCGGUAACAAUAAUAUACCCAGUAGCGAGUAUAGGUAGGUAGGUAGGUACCUAUACUUACUAGGAAUUUAUUUUUUUUUUUUCUUAUUUAUUCGUUUGUUUUUAUUGUGCGUUAUUAUUUAUUUAAGUGUGUGUAGAACAAGUGGCCGGGAGGUUCGUGUUAUUCGAAAAAAUCAAUAUCUACAUCAUAGACACCCUGGUAAACGCACGAAUAACCAUAACAAAAAAAAAAAAGUACGUUUAUUUAAGUAUAAGUACCUAUAGUUUGUAUUUCAAAGCCUAUACGCGUUUUUUGUUUUUGUUUUUAGUGCAACGAAACUAUAUAAUAUAAAAGUACCCAGGUACUAUAUAUAUAUAUAUAUUAUAUUGCAUCGAUUUACCGAAAUCCCGAAAGUCAUUCCAAAAGCGAUUAAACAAACGUAAAAUGUUUUUUAACCAACGCGCAACGUGUUUAUUUACGAUUGUUCCCUUGGCGUGCGAUAGUAGAAAAAAAAAAAAAAACAAAAAAAAUAGUAAUGAUUUCGAGAAACACAAUCCCGGUUAUAAUAUAAUAACAAUAAGGUAAUUUAGGCGGUAGUUUUACGAAUAAAAUUUAAGUGCCUACACGUAUAUAAAGUUUGUGUUUUUCAUAUUUAUUCUAAAAUAAGAGAGUUACAAAUUAAAGAAAAUAUUACCGCGAUAAUCUCCGCGAGUGGGAAAAUAAACGUAUAUAUUAUAAUAUAUACAUAAAUAUUUGUUUUUUUAUAAAGCGCAGUUAUAAGUUUAAUUUCCUAAUUUCCAGAACUGUGUGUGAAACCGUUAAGAAAGGAUUUACGACUUUAACCCUGUCACCGGCAGUGCCUCGGUUUAAAAAAAAAAAAAAAAUAAUAAUAAUAAUAAUAAGAAUAAUAAGAAUAUUAAUAAAUAAUAAGAAUAGUGUUCCAGAGUUGGCGGCCCCUGAAAUGCGUUUCGGACGUUUAUCAGCUACGGUAUUAUUAUAAUAUCUCGUCGCGUACAAUUACCGUGCGCCGCGUUCAAACGUUCAAAUUUAUAUUGUAUUUAUACAUAGCGGCGGCGGCGGCGGCGGCGGGAACGAUAAUUUUCGAAAUCGUUUUCGGCGGUGGAUAGGCGGCUGGAGAGGGGUACUGUAGGGGAAUAGGGGGAGGGGGGAAAAUAAAAAAGACGGUAUUUUCACCCAUACCGUUUGCGAUGCGCACCCGGACAAUAUCCCGUCGUCUCUCUCGGCCUUCCCCCCCCACCCCCUCACGCGCCCCUCGCGCGACGCGGCCGAACAACAGUAUGAUAUGAAGUCGUAAUUCUUAUUGUAAUGGACUCGCCCGGGACGAUUCGUGUGUUUGUUAUUGUCGCGAGUAGGCAGGUAUAUAUGCGCUCCGGUAAAAUUUUACCUGUUUGUACACAAAACUGACACGCAUAUAAUGCGACAUUAUUUUAUUAUAUACAGUGUGUCCUCGUGUUUAUAGCGCUGCAUUGGUGUCUAGUCGUCGCGGCGGGGAGCGGCGCGGGGCACCGUUAGCCAGGUGGCUCGUUCGGUCUGACAAUGCGCCCGUCUGCAGCGGCGUGCGCGUGUGUGUUGCGGGUAUAAAUGGCGGUACGAAAUAUUGGCAGUUUCGGAAAUGAGGGGAAGAAAAAUAUUCAAUUGUCGUACACGUUGUCACAUACACUUACUAUACGCGAGUCUAUACACACAAUCAUAAUAAUAAUACGCGCCGAGUCCCCGGUAUAGAUACCACCCUACGGGAUGACGGGAUGAUGGGGCCGUUAAAAAAAAAAAAAAAAAAAAAUAAAAAAAUGUCAAUAAAUCUACGCGAAGAACGAAGAUUACUCUUCUACGAGUAUAAUAAUACUUGCUGUUAUUAUACUCGCCGCGAGAACCGAUAAAUCAGACUAAAGAAAAAAAAAAAUCCCCGCCUCAAAACGCGGCGUUUUGUAUGUGUACGCGCCGCGCGGUUUUUUUUUCCCCGAAUGGUACUUUUUUUUUAUUAUCUCGCGAAAAAUAUCGGAAAGAAAAAAAAAACCUACGCAGUCCCAAUUGCUGUCCGAAUUCGUAAACGCGCGGUCUUUGUCUGCGUCCCGCCGCGAAAACGUGGUGCAAUAUUUUCGGGUACCUGCCCGCGUAAUAAAUACAUUAAUAACGCAUAAUUAUAAUAAUUGUGUUUCGAAGGCCGUAAUAUUUAUGAUUUGAAAACGAUUCAUGUAGUAAAUCUUUCCGGUUUUUUCAAACCGUUGGGAAAAUCGAAAACGACCUCCUCAGAGUACUAUCCCAGUCAGAUUUCCUUUCGGAAAAAUGGCUACACUCGGAAAUCGGAGCGAGAUUUCCGGUAGAAAAGUCGUUCGGAGAUAAAAAAAAAAAAAAAAAACAAAAAUAAACACCACUGUAACACCGAAACGGAUCGCGGGACGACAAUAAAGCGAUUUCGUACAUUUUAUUAUGUUCGGUCGCGGCCGCGGUGAUUUCGAAAGCGAUUAAUAUGCCGCGCACACACACGCGUCCGCGUCGUCGUCGGCGUUUUUACGGGCCGAAAUUCGUGACUCAUAUCACUUUACCGCCUCCUUCCCCUCACCCCCCCCCCAUCCCAAUCGUCCGCCUACCGCCGUUCCCCCCGCCCCGUCGGGGCGCGCUUCUGCGUUAUUAUCUCCGACAAUCUAUUAGCGGACGUGUUCUACAUUUUCCGGGCUAUUUACGGAAUUUAUUCAUCGCUUUCUAUACGCGCGCGCCCGUCCCUCCGAGUCCCCCGUCGCCCGCGCGCGGGCCUCUCCGCACCCCCACCCCACCCUCCCCCCCUACGUCGCGGGGCUUAAACAAGUCGCCUCUUCAGUUUCGUCCUUUUGUCGCGAACACAAAACAUUAAUGGACGGCCGCACUAUAAACAUAAAUUAUUUAUUAGGUGCGCACGCACGCGGGACGGCCGACGAGACGCUGUAUGUGUGUGUGUGUGUGUGUGUGUGUGUGUGUGUGUGUGUGUGUGUGUAUACAUGUACACGGUAUCCCCUCGUCGGCGAUGGAGUUAUACGCGAAACGCGCGCCUAAACGCGUAUAAUAUUAUUACGACGACGAUGACGACGCGAGAGUGGGGAGUGGUGAGGGGCGGGUGUGUAGGGGACGGGGUGUCGUCGGCGGGGCCUCGAAUCGCGGUGCGCACACGGGGUAAAACGGACGGGGGCUCCGUGCAGUGGCGUACCGGAAAGCGCGACGCUUCGUCAACAGUAAUAAAUCCUCUCUUAUUGCUCGUGUACUCUUACGAUCGGACGGUAUUCAACAAAGACGUCGGCUCCGGGACGAUUUCGGAGGGGGGGGGGACCAGGCCGAUGCGCCGCGAGACCCGGCGCCCGUGAAUCGGUCUCGAUUCCCGCAGGUCCGGUCCGGUGAAUUGUUUCGUUGUUUUUGUUUUUUUUUGUUUUUCGUUUUUUUCCCGACCCGUCGAUGGGCCCUCGCCGAAACAAAUACAAAUCGGAACGUCAGGAUCGCGCGCCGCGUGCAAUUUUACCGGGCCACGACAAAACCGAAAAACAAUGAUAACAAAAUAAAUCCAUCUAAAUUGUAUUAAUUGUCGGAUUAAAAUUUAAAUUUCGGGCACGGACCCAUCUAAUAGAUGACGCGUGCAAUUCAAGUAACUUAGCUUGGCGUGCCUAUUUCCGCGUGUCGAACUGGCGCACAUCAUAAUCUAUUAGAUAAUCACGCAUCGCAAUUAUGUCGUAUCGAAAAUAUUACAAUUUUUUUUUCACCUAAUAGACAAAUGUUUACUUCUGAAAAAAGGAACUCGAUAUAGUUUGUGUUAUGUACUCCGUUUGAUUAAAAAAAAAAAAAAAAACCGUUAAAAGCAAAACUAAAACGCGAUAUUUGAUUACUUUUAACAACGGCCACAGUGCACGUCCAACAGCGACGUGCCCGUCUCCGCGUCUACUUUUACCCUAGUUUUCUUCCUUAUGUUUUUACCUAUUAUAAUUUAUUAACCUGUUUCUUAAUUGCUUCCGUAGCACUAUUUCUCAUUACCAAUUUCCACGCGGUUGAACAGUAGUAACAGUAACUGUACUGACUAUACACAAUUUCUGUUCCACAGUUCGUUUGUACUCCCCAUUGUACAACAGUCUCUGAUCUAAAAAGAAAUUAUUUUCUCAUAUUUUUCAUUACACAUAAUGGUAUACUAAUCUUUUAAAUAAAACAACGAGCGAAAUAUAACGAAACGGCAUAGUACAUACGUGGGUAAUUUAGAAAAUCGAAAAAAAUUUAAUUUUGAUUUAUCAGCUUAACAAAGAAAAAAAAAAAAAAUGAAUAACUAAUAAUAACAUUUGUAUAAUAGGACACCCGGUCACACGAGUUUUGUUUAUCAAUUAGUCAAUCGUAUAGUCCGCAACAUUUUUCUGAUUGCGCAAAUCGAUGUCGCAACGGGUCAUUCUUGUUGCUUUUGGUUUUUUGUUAACGUCCAAUAUUAAAAUAUAUUAUAUACCGGUCGCUAUAUUCGUUUGUGAUUGUUAUAUUUACCUGGGGCGUUUGUCUCUUGAAAAAUCCUCAAUACUGUGACGCACGACUCUGUCGAUUCGAUACAGGAGGCUCUCAAAACUCAAACCGCAGUGGAGUCAACUAUAAUGCCCGGCCAUUAUCACAUUGUAUUUUAUCGAGAAGACGAAACCUGCCAAUCGAUUGGAAACCGUUAUUCUCUCGUGUCGUCCGACGAUCAUAGUGUAAUAUUCAUAUGUAGUUUUACAAAUAAAACCGGGAACAAUCGUUUUUUAAUAAUAAUCAUUUUUUUUUUUUUUUUUUUUAGAUUCCGAGCUAGGGGUCUAUUGGUUUUAUCAUGAUGCGUGUUUAUUUUUUUUUUAUUCACAUAUGAUAAGUCACAUUUGGACGCUAUUAGUUUUACAUAAUAUGUUGAUUAUAUAAUAUCCAGAGUGCUCAUAUUUAACAUUUUUUUUUUUUUUUUACAGUUACAUUCAAAACCUAUGACUAUACAUUUUAUAAUAUUUAAUAUGCGCAUAUUACCUAUGUUUACAUAUUUUACAAAAUCCGCCAUCGUCCUAUGCAUCCGGUCACAUAAAUAACUAUGAUAUUAUUUAUUUUUCAUAUUUUUUUUACUGUACCUGCUAGCUUAUACGCUAACGGCUAUUUAUUUGUUGUUUGUUCGGAUAUAUUGUUAUAUGUUAUCACCAGUAACAACUCAAAUAAAAUGAUUUUUUUCGUUUUUUUUUUUUUUUUUUUUACGCGAUAUUUCAAAAAAUAUAUUUAUAAAAAUGAUAAUAUAAAAUGUAAUAUAAUAUACAAAAUAAAUAAAUAAACAUACAAAAUGAUAAUACAAUAUUUUAAAACAGUAUAGAUACCUAUGCAAUUUUCAAAAUUUCCCGGUGGUGCAACUGCAAGACAUUUUGCACAGACCAUAAAUCGGUGGUGUCGAUUUUCAUUUUUCCAUAAGAACGGGAAGGAAAAUUAGUAUUUUUAAAACGUUCAAAGAGUUUUUUUUUCUAUCUAAAUAAAUUUUUGUCUGCCGAUUUUUAUCCAAUUCGGACCGAAAUAAAAGCGGUUCGACCUUAUACCCACAUUAGAGUUUAGUAAAGUGCCCGCAUCAUAUUAUAUAGGUAAUCGACAGUUUUGUUUCGGAUCGAAAUGCUGUAUUGGAGCUGUACUGAGAAUACGUGCGUUUUUUGUUCUUCGCGGAAAACCGCAGUAAUUGAUGCGAGAAAAAAAAAAGUUUCACCGCGAAAAACUUUGUCAAUAGUAGCUGUGCUGUAAUUGAACGCAAAUAGUAAUUUAGAAAUGUCAUUUUUCUAAAUUAUCCGAAAAAGCGUCACGAAAAUAGCGCCGCGGCAACGGCGGUGGCGAAAAGAAAUACUAUAUACGAGUAUAAUAUAUCGUCUUGAAUUUGUUUCGUACCAUUAUUUCUCCCACCCGACAACAUUAUUAUUAUGUUUUAUCGUUACUUUUGUAAAUCAGACGUACAAUGUAAUACAUAUUAUUUAAUAUCAGACCGUGAUGCCUUUGAAACAACGUUUUUUUUUAAUAAAUACGAACGCUGACGAUUCGUAUUUAAAAAAAAAUAAUCUGCUCGAAAUAUCUUUACGUUAUUGUUUUUAUAGUUUUUUUUUUACAUUUCGUUUCGCGGAUAUUAAUAUCGAAGUCCACAAAAACUUUCUAAGAUAAUAAAACUGUUGGUGUGUUAUGGGAUCGACGUAAUAAUAUCUGUCAGCGAAUGUUUGCAGCCGGUUUUUAAUUUUUAAACCAACUACUUACAUUUCGUACGUACACAUUAUUAUUAUAUAAAACACGCCCCGGACGAGAAUAAAGAAUAAUAUUUUAUAGUGAGAAUACAAAAAAAAAGAAAAAAAAGAAAAAAAAUGAAUGAAAGAAAAGAAAGAAAAGGUUAACUUUGAUUAAAAGAACGAGAAAAAAAAUUAAGAAGAAUAGAAAAUAAACCAUUCAACAAGCUUAGUUUUUAAACUUGUCAAAUAAAUAUAUUAUUAAGUUUUUCAGCCGAUGCUAUUGAAAAAAAUCAUUUACGCGUUAUUUUCAUAAGACGCGUCGUCUGACAAAAAUAAAAUAAAAAAACACUUCAGAGAUCGAAAGUCGUAAUAAGAAUAAAUACUCUUACCUCGGGUGUAUAGGGUUUUAAUAGAUUUUUCUUUUCUUUUUGAUUUUUAUAGUAAAAAAAAAAAAAAAAAUUUAAAAAAAAUAGCGCAUUGUCGUCCUUCGUUCGCUCGAACCAUGACAAUAUUAUAUUGUUAUUUUAUUUUCCCGCAUUAAGAUAAAUAUUCUACAAAGACUAGAUUAUUAUAAAUAUAUAAAUACUAAUAUACAAAAUAUUGUUAAAGGAAAUAUAUUAUUCGUUUUUUUUUUUCUUUCUUUAAGAGUUAUUUUCGUCAUUUACAUUGUAUUCGUUUUUUUGUUCGAUAUACGUGUAUAUAUAGGUAUAUUAAAUAAAGUAACUAAAAUGAAAUCAAUUGUAUCAUGUUUUUUUGUUACGGCCCGACGUCUAUACACAGUUUUUCGGAGUAAAUAUAAUAACAUAAAAAAUACUUUGGCAAACAGUGUACACAAACCCGUAACAAUAGAUGCACACACCUACUCCACGCGAAACACCAAUACGUUUUUAGUAUAAUAAACGGAUAUGUGUGUGAAUGAUUUUUUUUUUCUGAUCGUGGAGGGGUACGUACUCGUGUCAUCGGCCUGCCAUUUCGAGUGUCUUCCCGAGUCCGAGCGCGCGUUACACAAUACUGAUGUUUAAACGAUUUUAGACUCCGAGUGUUUUUGUUUUCUGUUCUCUUCCGUCUCUUAACGACUUUUCUACCGGAAAUCUCGCCUGGAUUUUCAUUGAGCGCGUAACGUCAUUUCCGAAAUCAAAUUUCGCCGGUUGUUGGCGCGUUCGGGGUAGUCGUUUUUCUCGUUUUUUACUCGUGGUUUUUUUUUUUUUUUUUCGAUAACUGCGGGCGCAGAGGCGACACGGGAGGAUUGAAAAUUUCGGCUGGACGCGUCGUUGCGGGGCGGACGGCGUUUUCGAAAUGCGCGCGCCCUUAACACACAGCCGCCCCGCGAGCCUGCGGGCCGAUUGAGAUUUCGCGGCCGGAACGGCGAAUGUACCGAGGACGCGGCGGUUUCGGUUUCGCGGCCCGGGAGUUCGCGCGCAAACGCCGCGACGGACGCGAAACCGGCGCAGUGCGCCGCGCCCGUCGUGCGGCGGUGUGCGCGAGUGAAAUAUUAUCAAUACUCGGGCCGAAAACCGAACGACAGGCAAUUUUCGCGCGACAGUAAUAACGGCAACAGCGACAAUAGGUAAUAACGUGAUAGCCGGCGGCGACGCCCGCGCACGCUGGACGCGGCGUCGCGGCGUUGCGGGACGGCCGCCAAGCGUGUCGGCGAUCAAACGCGUUCGGGAGUGCGACGCGCGAAACCGGCGUGCCGGGGCCGUUUCGGGCAGUCCGCCCAACCGUCGUAAAUCACGCCGCGGGUCGAUAUUAUCGUUGUUUCGGCGAAAUUUUACGGUUUUCGAUCGCGUGUUACGCGCAUUAUUAUUAUUAUUAUUAUUAUUAUCGUUAUCAUUGUUGUCGUCGUCGUGUUUUGUCGACCGCCGCGAUGUAUCGCGUCUGUUUCGCGAAAAGCGGCCCGUUUCCCCCCCCCCCCCCCCCCUCCCCCGUUUUCGGUACGGUCUGUUUUCGUUCGGUUUCGCCGUUAUUCUAAUACCGUACAAUAUACGCGGUGCCCGGCUAUAUAUCGUAUAUCGCAUGUUAGCGACAUUUUUGGCGCGGCGUGUAAAACGUUUCGCGCGGUGUAUUUUUUAUUUUAUUUUUUUUUUUUUUCCUCCCGUCGCGUUUUUUUCGUACGGAAAUAUACGCGCGUUCAGCAAAACGCAAUACGCACACGCACACACACACACACACACACACACACACGCGCACACACACGCGCACACAAAAUCUAUUAUAGAAACAACAAGGAUAGAAUACCGUCGAAAACGCCGACAAAAAAUCAUUAAUAUUUCAUCGGACACGAUGUUCGCGGGGAGACUUUAAUGCAAUUCUUUAUCGUCGCGUGUUCACCAAAAAAGUUUUCGUUUUAUUUUGUUUGGUUUUUUUUUUUAAACUUUUCUCUUACGCAAUUCUUUGGCGGUUGUCCGUAUAGAAUUACGAUCAUCGUCGUCGUAUCAAUAGCGCGUCCCUCAGUGAUUUGAUUUUUAUUACGUAUUUUUUUUUUUUCGCCCACUGCAAAAGUUCACCCGAUCCCGUCCCUUCUGCAGCGCCGUUCUAUAUCAUUCUGUAUUACCGCCAAAUUCGCAUCCGAUGGGCCCGGAACUAAACUAUAAAUUAUUUGAUGACCCCUCAGACGCGCAUCGUGUACAGCGGUGUAUACUGUAGUUGCACCCUUCCCUUAUAGCUUAAUAGAUUUCCUCUUUCCGAUCAUGUUUCUCCGGUCACUGUUCCGGAGCCGCGCGCGUUGACAUAAAAUAAUAAUAAGUUACCAAUCACUUCGAAUCAAUUUCAUUCGGGUUAUAUCCGGCUGCGAAAUCAUCGCGUUUCGUUUAUGUAUAUAAAUAUAGGCAGUUUUUUUUUUUUUUUUUAUAUAUAUGUUUGUAUAAUAUUACUAACAAAAUAAAUACGCGACUUUAGUUUUUGGAUGCAUAAACAGAAUAAAAAACCGUCCGAAUAAAUACGCCUGUAACUUUCUUAUUUCGGAAUAAGCGAUGGAGAUUUAAAAAAAAAAAAAAAAAAACCUUUAAACGCGUCGAAAACGAAUCACGUACAAUGUUAACAUAUAUAUUAUUGUUAUUUUCGUGGACGAAAACCAUAGGUAACACGUAUCAAAGAUACAACAAUGUGUCUGGUGUCUGUUCGGUUUACGCAAUACAUUACUCGUACAGAAAUACAUAUUUUUGUUUUUGCACCGAGAUCCAUCGACCGUGUUUAUUGUACUGUGAGACCGUCGCCGUCCGUUCCUAUAACGGAUUUCUGAAGACGAAAAACGCGACGGCGGCACGAACACAAAUUAUUAGAUUCGCUAGAAACGCGCAACUAUUUUAGUAUUAUUGUCAUCGGGCUUGUCGGCCGGGCGUGUACAGGAACCAUUGAAGGGCUCAGCGCGACAGCGGACGGGUCCGCUUUUCGGAAUUGUUAAGCGGAAUGAGAAAAACCGAUAGACGUAGCCCGUGACUCGGCGCAAGAAGUGUUGCCGACCAAAUACGAACGGUUCGGUAAAUCACGUCUUAAACAAUUAACAUUAACCUGGGCCGUGUCGACAGGUUCAGUUUGAAAACACAACCGCGGCAUUGGGAAACAUCAGACGCACAGUAUACCGUGUCGACGGGAUUCGCGAUUGGUCAGGAUUUCGAUCGAACCGCGCCGGCAUUGCCCUCCGUAGGUAUUUAUCGCUGUUGGACAUUUGCGCUGUUGUCGCGCCGAAUCGCGUGCCGUUCGAUACGACGGUAUCGUCGAGCCGCCGCCGCGAAAGAAAAGCCCGAAAAGCUUUCCGGCCUUUCCCGCGCCGAGCGCGCGUAGUGACAAUACCGUCGCUUUCGGUCCGCGGGCGCCAAACUCAAACGGAACGAUUGUGCGUUACCGCGCGCCCGCCGUCCGUCGCCGAACGCGACAAAAACGUUCCGUUUUCUCGCAAUAACCGGAGAACGUCGGAGGAGUGUGCGGCGGCGGCGUAAGAUUAUACAGCGAGUAAAGUGCUUUUGAUUUUUCGAUUUAUCAAUAAUAACAAUAAUAACAACAAUAACAACAAUAAUAAUAUACGGUAAACAUCUGUCGCCGGGGCUGCGAACGCGCCGCCGUUUUCGUACGUGUAUAGAUAUGCGCGCGCGCGUGCCCGUGUUCAAAACAAUUCGUUCGCGUUUAUUCUGGAACGGCGACUAGCGACAGCUAAGGGCUAAAUGUUAUUUCUUCGGAAAAUCGCAGUCCGUACGCACUUUCGCGGGAAUACGAGAAAAAUCGAAAACAACAACAAUAAUAAUAAUAAGCCGCGCUCAAGCUGCCGGUGUUUAUAUUACUUAUACGCGUGCAUGUAUACCAAUAAUAACAAUGAUAAUAGUCCGCCGGCCCGGUCGGUUAUUGCGCGCGCUCGCCCCGUCCGACGGGGACCCGACGGGCGUGGAGAGGCCGCAGAGGGCGGACGGUAGGCGCACGGUUCACACGGUUGUUUACGGAUCCGUAUCGUUUCUCGCGUAUCGGCAUUGUCGCCGUCGAAUAUUUAAUUGUUUUUAUCGUUGCGGGGCCGCGACCGCGCGGCCGUAUACGUUUGUAUUUUUUUUUUUUUUUUCAACAUCCCUAGUGCGGCUCCGUUCUCCGUGUGCAAUACGCUGCACCGCGUCGGAUCACGGUACCCGACGGGCGGGCGUCCCGGCGUCGAACUUUUGAGAACCCGAACGCGAGUCCUGCACUUUGCGCGCAUACGUUUUCGCGGACAUUAUACGUGCACGGGUAUAGAGGUGCUCGUGUAGGCGCUCCUCUACAGGGAGAUUCACUAAUCGCUUAACAUCGAUCCGCCGCCGGUCUCGUUGUAAACGCUUUUCCUUUCGAGAAAAAAAUAAAAUACUAUCAUUGUGAAUCGCAAUGAAACUACUGGUAGAAAAUUCCUAACGCGGGGGGGAGAGGGGAAUGCCGUAAUAUCACGUUAUCCUUAUCGUUUAUUUCACCUUAAUAUUUGAUAGUGAAAUCACUAUUAGAUUUUUAUUACUCGAAAUCCGAUAAACGUGAAGCUACUCGGUGGUAGUUUGAAUGUUUGUAUAUAUGCAUAUUAUAUUUCUCCGGAAAACUGUAACGCGUUCGUGUAUACCGGCGAAUAAAAAAGGAAAAACAAUAAUAUAUACGCUCGUUUUUUUAUUAUUAUUAUUAUUAUUAUUAUCAUCAAACGUAUUUAUAAUAAAUAACGUACUACAGAUCGGUCGGUUGUAGCGGUAUUGUGUCGAAUAGAGUCGGUGUAACACUGUGUGUUUACGCAGACUAAAAAGCUCAGCCGCCGACGAAAUGUAAUCACGCGGAAAAAAAAAGUUUUUUAUACGCGAAAACAAUUGCGCCGAUACGCGUGUACCGCGUGACAACGAUGACGAAAACGGAAAGAAACAAAAAAAAAAAAGAAAAGAUAAUAAUAAUAAUAAUAAAAUAAAAAAAAUACAUUAAACGACAUUUCGUCCCGAAAAUUACACACACACGAAAAAAAAAAAAACGCCCGACAUGUGCCUCCGUCGCACAGUGUUUAUAGCGCAGUUAUGUUGCAUAAUAUUUAUUUUAAAUCGAAUCGUCGACAUAAUAAACGCAUUGUACCGUGCAAACUCGAUUUCAUUUUUUCGGCAAUAAAACACGACGAAGACGUCGUCGUCGUAAACACAAAAAUCCAACUGCAUUUUCAAAACAUUCGACGAAGUGCAUUUAAUUCGAGAGGGGGAGCAACUGUUCUAGAGCCCGACCCGAGUACAUAGUAUAUACGUACAUACACAGUGUCCCGCGAGUUUUAACUUUUUUUUAUUUUGUGAUUUUUUUUUUAGAUUUUUUUAAAAUCUUUAUUUGAACCUUAAUUUAAUUCUGAAAUCUCGAUGUUGUUUUAAAAACAAAACCGAACAAAUAUAUAUUUUCGAUCCGGAGCCGGGCGAGGAUUGUAUUGGUUUUACAAUUGUAUGUUUAUUAUGCAUUUUUUUUUUCUUUCUGUGAACAACUUGUGUACCGGAAAUUUCGCUGCGAAUCGUUUUUCGUUAGCGAUGGUUUAUCGUUGCGUACAGAUACUAUAAAUGAAAUUCCCCUAUAUAUAUACAUUAUUUUUCCAAACUGUCACCUACAACGGUGGCCCACCCAUCGUGCGAAGUAUGUCCGUCUUUUUUUAAGCUGUUUUCACUCGUUCACAAUAAAUCAUCGUCGGUUUGUACAACUAAUUUUUUUUUUUUUUUGUUUUUUCAAUAUUUUCUACAUCCGAUGUUCGAUACGGCCAAUAUGUUUGUGCGAAGAGAAAAACUUUUUUCCACGUUGCGUAUUCGUGCGAAAUGUUAAAUCGUUUCCAGAUUUUCAGAUAUUCCGGUAAAAGUUUUUAUACUAUAUCGAAUCCGUAGUAUUUUUGUUUUGUAUUUUUUUUUUUUUUUUUUACAACUUUUUCCUUUAAAACACGUGAAACGUAUCAAAUGUUAGGUUUGGCGGUUAAAAUAGUCGAAAUAUGCAAAAUUAGAAAAAAAAAAAAUGUUCCCAUUAAUUACACCCCGGGGUUAUGGUCUUAUCCCGGUUCACUAUAAAACAGACGCCCGUAUGAAAACACGCAAGCCGCACAUAACUAUAUUCUCGUCCCUAAGCAUAAUAAUAUUAUAUAAAAUAUAAACGACGCGCACGAAUUUCAUCCCCGGGAUUCCGAUCGACGGCAAAAUAAUAACUCGCCGUUAUUAUAACACGCAUAAUAUGACGAGGUGUCUACGCGCUUAAAGUUUUCUCGAGGAAUUCGCGCAGGCAUAGUAAUAAUAAUAUACGUAGUGUACCUGCCUAGGGUUGAAACGCGGGCGCAUUAUUAAACUAAUAUACGCAAAAUAUACACGAUGGUAUUUUCGCUAAAAAAUAAAAAAAAAAAAAUAAUAAUAAUAAUAAUAAGGGACAGAGGUUAAAAUGCGACAUGAAUAUUCGAAUGCGUUCUAGGGACGUAAACUCAGUAUAGGUACGGUACGGUGGCAUUAUUAUAGUCGUGGAAUUACGGUAUUCACACCUUUUAGGGUACCAACGAUUAUACACGACACAAAAAUAUUUCCUCGCUAUUCCUUUUAUUAUAAUAAUAACGUAAUGGGAACAAAAUAUUCGGUCGCCACAUGGUACGCCGACACGACUGCUGUAAUUAUUACUUACGUGUUGGUCAGUUACUUAAAAUAACUACCGUUCCUAUAUACUUAUAGCCGGAAAAAAAUUUCGCGGCGGUGGUCCGACAUUUUUCGUUUUCUUUCCCCGGUCGAUUAGCUGACCUAUUUUUUUUUUUUUCUUGAUUUUCCUUGAAAUUUUCUUAUGUAAAACUAAGUGCUUUUUUGAAAAAAUACCGGAGAUCCCUGUAUGAUAGAAUAAAAGUUGCGGUUUUAGAUUCUGAUCUGGUUGGUAGUUUGGUACUUUGGAGGACCAUUUUUUUUUUUUUUUCUUGAUUUUCCUUGAAAUUUUCUUAUGUAAAACUAAUGAGAAAAACUGGCAAUUUUUCGUAUACUUUUUGUUGUUGAUUUCUGUGUUACCUCGAUAAUGCUUUGUGUCUGGUCUACGAUAUUUCUAGGACCUGUAUCAGUCGUAGGCCCGUAACGAUUUCCCACUUUGCCCACCUAAUAUUUACGUCACUUGUCGUAUCCAUUAUGUAUUAUUAAUGUAUUAAUACACUGUUGAUAUAAUUUAAACUGUCAACGAAAUAAAAUGAUCCACAAUUUGAUAUCGACUUUCAUAGGACAGAACUAAAGCGAACAAUAUUAAUUUUUUCGUAACUUUAAAAACCCUUUUCCCGAGCAAAAGUUCAAACAAUUUGCGUUCUCGUUCCGGAAUGACAAUAAAUUGGUAUCCUCGUUAUAAAACGAAAUGCAACGUAUAAUAUUAUAAUAAUGUACCGCUGCUAUAUAGAGCCGAACGUUCAUAAUAUUUUCUAUUCUACGCAACUCCUCUAUUCAUUUAACUCGAUUUCGCGAAAACCCAAUAAGCGUAAAAAAAGUAUACCGUUCUUCGAAACUUUCACAUCAAAGGCUCUAUUACGGUAGUGAAUGGAGGGGGGGGGGAAUACGGUAUUAUAAUAUUAGAAUGUCGCGUUAUUAUAGCCCAUCAGUCACGGAUUUCGGAACACGUUUGACGAAAUAAUAUGUAUUUUCGUUUUUAUUCCGUCCGUGACAUUAUAAACAUCGUUUCCGCUGCGAAAAUGUAUAUUGUUUCCUUUUCGAUGUCAUAUUAUAUGUAUGGGGCAGGUAGGUGGGUAAUAGUUUACAGGCGGCGUAAAAACCGACGGAGAGACGUGUUCGGUAUUAUUUUAUUUGUUUUCGCAAAAAGUAUACGAUGAAGCGCGUGCUCCGGCAGCUGCGCUGCAGUUACCAAACGCCCGAGCCCUUAAAAACGUAAUGGUUUCGUUAUUUUAAAUUCGAAAAUUAUGGUUUUACGAUUUAAAAGGAAAAGCGGCGGCCGCGGCGAUGUUUUUCGUAUACAAAGGCGGCGCCCGUAACAAAACGGCGGCGUGUAUUAUACGAAUUAUUGCUCUCGCAGGAACAGCGAAACGCCAUCGUAAACUGCAUACUUUUUCCGUUUUUGCGCGUUCGGCGGCCCUCACGUGCGGGUAAUUUUUUUGAUUUAUAAUGUCUCGGUAUGGUUUUCGAACCCGAUGGGUAGGUGCUUUCGCGCUCCAAUUGCCUUUUGUUGAUAACUCUUCCCGCGCGUUUAUAUUUUUAUUAUCAAACAUUAAUUUGCCGUCCAACCUAUCAGCGUUUCGCCAAUUUGAACCGCGAACGAAAAUAAAUCAAGUUCUUAACCGUAUAUAUACUGUGUAUCAUAUUAGACGACGAGGGAAAACGGUCGGACGAUUUUGAUCGAGCGGGCCCCAUUGUGGCAGCGACCUGCCAUUUCGUUCGUUAAUAUAAUAGAGUGAUUUCGCGAUGAAAUUCGGUAACGGUUAUAGCUCUGCUCUUUCGUGAGCAGCCAAACGGUUGACAAACGAUCACGGGUUUCAGUUUUUUUCGAAUUUAAAAUAAUAAUAAUCGUCAAACUACCUUUUAAAAUUAUAUUUGAAAAUACUUCAUUAAGGUAUUUUAUCGGUUUUUUUUUUUCCAGAAAAUUACAAAUUUACGAGCAACUUUUUCAAAACAUUCUGUAUAGACGAUUUUACGUUCUACAUAAUAUCAAAGUCUAACAUGUUUUUAUGUUAAUGCUGUAAUAGUUUUUGGAUUAAAUCCGAAAAAACUCAUCAAACUACCCUCUUUGGCAAUUUGUCCAUCCCAUUGCGUGCCGCAAAUUGGUCGAGUCUACAUCACCAAAUUUCACCCUCUUAUAUUGACGAACAAAAUGGGCGGGGGGAGGGUACUCGAUCAAUAUGAUCUAAAUGUUUUUCUUCAUCUAUAAAAUUAAAAUCGUCUUAUUAUAUUAUAUCAUAGACACGUUCGAACGAGUCAUAUUGUCUGAUCUCUUAAUAGGCUCCGAGAUAAAACGCGUUGUUUAAAAUUGGACAAAAACUAAACGUUAAAAUGAUCAGUCGGUUUCGUUCCGUGCACACCUACAUACCUAUGUCGUGUUUUCAACAACUGUUUUGAGAGUAUAACAUCCCGUGCGGAAUGUCCGACAUCGUUUCCGCCAAAAAACAUAAUUUUCGUUUCCGUCCUAGUGGACGUCCCUUCAAAAAAUGCAAAAGUUUCGAUUCUCGUUCACCCCGAAUCUAUUUCUACCUAUACUUUUACUUGAGAAACCCUAAUCGUUAUUACGAUAAGUCUAUAACCAAUCUUGUUGGCGAAUGUCGGGAAUUAAUACGCAAUUAUAUAAACUACAAUUAUGGGUACACAUGAUUAAACGUAAUAGUUAUUCGCAUUACACUGCAAUGUAAAAAAAAAACUUUGUUACAAUUUCAAACGCACUCGGAGAAUGACAACCAUUUCCGGUAUUAAAUUUUCAAAAACGUAUACACAAUUGUGUAGACGCUUUACCGAAUUCGUAACUCAAAUCGAACAAUAAGAGUAAUGGUGAUUGUCGUUGUUAUUGUUUUUUUUUUUGGGGGGGGGAGGGGCGAGGUUAAUUAGAGCCGACGAAAACGAAAACCGAUUCUUCGCGUGUAAAAUGUUAAGCGCGAAAGAUUACCCAAAAAAAAAAAAAAAACGUCUUCGAGAGUAAGAUGUAUAUUAACGCGCGCGCAGGGGGGGAGGGGUACGUGCGGAAACGCCGCUGGUCACUCUGUACCGUGGGGGAAAUGUACGGGCGAACCCCGGGCGUAUUAAUUACACCGUUAGAGCGAAGUAUUCGCCGGCUUUUGGACAACGGGCACGCAUGCCGCGGCGAAGCGUGCGGGCGGACCGUACGCGCGGGGCGUAUAUGUUUGCGUACGUUUCGCGAAAGUCGAUUAGGAAAAAAAAAAAAAAAAAUUAAAAUAAAUAUCCGCGCGUGUGUUCCGUUCAACGGGGGCGCGAAAAAAGUGGGAAACUUCACGCGGCGCUCGGCAAACCGCGACGAACAAUAAUUUCCCGGCGCGUCGUUGCGACGUCGUCCGGAAUUCGAGAGCGCGCGCCCGGCCGUUUACGCCGUCGCCGGUACUGUCGUGCAGGUUGCAGAACGCGGCGCACUGUCACUGUUAUUGGUCUCGACGCGCGAACGUCGCGCAUAUUUUACUGUCGCGCGGAAUCCGCGAUCCGGAUCGAGUACGGGCACAACGCGCGGGAAAAGCACGCGGCGGUAGCGUGUAUUAUUGUCGUCGUACCCGCGUGGCGUGCGACACACGUGACGACGUACGUGGCGGCGAGGGGCCGCGGACGCGAUAAAAGGAGCGCGGGGUUUUUUUCCCCUUUAUUUUUCAUUUUUCUUUUGUUCGCCUCGUCGGAUUUUCAAUUAAUUACGUCUGGGUCGCGAAAAAAAAAAAACCAUUGCCGAUUUUUCGUCGGCCGCCGCGUACGCGCGACAUUUCAACAGCCGCGACUACGCGGUUACAAUGGCGCGCGCCGGACCCGCGCGUGUUUAUCGAUCGGCCCGCGGACGAACGCGGCGCGCCGCUCUUGUCGCGACAUUACGUUUCGCGCGAGCUUCCGACUUUUGAGGCGUACGCGCCGUCACCGGUUGGCGGGGGCGCGCGCCGAGGACCGCGGACCGCCGACCGUCCGAGGACUCCGCGGCGUGCGCCGCCCCUACACUGCGCGGCGGCCCCGCGCGUACACAGACCGAACGCGCGCGCGUUUUAUUACCGUUAUUAUCAUAUUUGUCGACCGGAACCGAUUUCGUGCGUAAUAUGCGCGCGCGUUAUGUUCCGUUCACGUACCCCGCGGAGAUAAUGAUCGGUCCCGAGUUCCGGAGGGCGGUCGGACGGACGAGAGCGCAACGCCGGCUCCGAGACGAAACUCGACAAACGGCCGUGCGCUGGUGACGUUGUCCGUCCGACGGCGCUGAUGCGUCGGCGGCGCGGCGAGGGGAAAACCGACGGAACGUCAAAAGUCCAAUACCGUUAACCGAUAUCGCGAGAUUUAUGGCGAGCUCUGACGUCGCGUUCGGGGUCGUUUUCGGCCCCGGAACGAUAUCGUUUCGUCCCGCCCGCGGCCGCCAUUGUCCACCGCGGUUAUAAAUCCGGCGUGAAUCACCGUGUCCCGAAGUCGAGCGGUGCCGCGCCGAUGUCGCGCGAGCGCGUCAAAAAAGCGAAAUCCCCCGGACGAAACGACGACGACGGCGGCGGCGGCGGCGGGGACGAGCAGAGACGUUACGGACGCGCGGGCCGUCUCCGCGGCGUUCGCGGUUACGUGUUAAAUCGCGCGUAAAUAAUAAUAAUGAUAAAAAAAAAAAAAAACAAAAAAAAAAUACUUAUACACGUAUAUUAUAUCCGUUGCGGCGGCGAGCACUUGCACGGGUACGACCCGUGCAAGCUCAUUAUUUCGCGACCGCCGCUCGGUAGCCUCUCGACUCGCGCGCCGUUCGUGAAAUCCGGUCCAAUUAUUUUUAAUUUUUAUACGAACGCGUUUUGCACGCGCGCGCGCCCGGCGCAAUAUCAUAUUUCUCGAGUGGACUAGAAAUUAAAACGAUACGCGGGCGAAUUAACGACGGCGGCUGAACUUCCGAACUUGCCGCAGUGGUUCGCGAAAGACGGCACGGCCGGACGGUUAACCGGCGCGGGGACGAGAGGAAAACGAAAAUAAAAGCGGCGUUCCCGUAGAGAGCGAAAAUACACCGAAAACAACGCCGCCGAACAAAUGUCCUCCGGCGAUAUUGCUGAUGUAUAGAUCCAACCGCCAAACACUACAAACAGCGAAAUAUUUCGAUAUAUUGUUAUACAUUUUUAGCGCGCCACUGUCGCGGGGUGAUACGUUUGUUUUUAUAGAAAUCAUCAAAACGAUAUCAAAAAAGUAUUAUCGCGAAAUUCACUCUGCUCCGGGACACUUCGAUGGGGGGGGGGCGGGGGCGGGAGGCCCGGAGAACGAGCCCGGCCAGUUUAAAUUAAGCCUCGCGGCGACCGGGUUCUACAGAGUUAAAACAUCAAUAACCGAAGAUCUCGAUCUGGUUUUGCGGUUUAUGUUGCCGUUUUAAGUCCGAAAAAGAAUCCCGCGCGUACGACAGAUCGGCGUCCGACCAACGACCCCGAGGUUAAUAAUAUCCCGUUGGCGUCGACGACAAACAAAACGAUUUCGCCGCGGUGACAGUGCCGGGACUCCGUGUGCCGCCUGCCGAUAAACCCAACCCGUCGAAAAUGCAGUGAAACGCCCGGUAUACACCCCGGCCGACGUCAAGAUUUCGCUAUCGUCAGAAUACGAAUCGGACACACUUUGGCCACGCGCAUUUCGUUCUAAUAAGCGAAAUUAUCCACCGGUAUGCGGAUACACGUCGAACGCGAAACACGAAAAAACGCAUGUUCGAAAAACGUCCCGUAUACGAACCGGCACGCGCACAAUAUUCUCAGUCUCCCGAGCGACAUCAAAGAAAUUCUCGACGGUCACCAAACUUCAAAAAUAAUCGAGUUCGUUCCGAAACGCAACCCAAUAACUACUAACGAACUCUAGCUUAAUCCGCGAUAUAAAUUAAUCGCUUAUUGUUAAUAUUAACAACAUUUGCAUAAAAAAAAAAAAAAAAAAAAUGUUUAUAAAAAUCCCCGAGGGCGAGUGAUCGUAUAUUGUUGUUAUCGCCGUCGCGCGAUUCUGCGGGCGGCAUUCGGUUUCUCGUCGCAUAAAAAAGCGCGUCCAACAUUCUACCGCGUACAGCCCCGUUGUCUGCCCGUUACAAUGAACGUCGUCUCGAAUAGUGUAAAAAAAAAAAAAAAAAAAUAUUAAAUUAAAAAAAAAACGCUCUGUCGGUAAUGCCAAAUGCUACGCGCGCGUAUUCUCCGAUAUCGCGCGCGGUCGGUGUUUAUAAUUCAUAUUGUUAUUAUUAUUACUAUCCGAUUCGAAUGUCACCAGAGGGCGCUGCGCAGUGUCCGUACGGAAUUUCAAAACGGAAUACCGCCCGACACGGCGAUAACGCCGUGUUUUGCGUUGCGCGCGCGUCGGGCCCGCGAACGCAAGUCGACAGAACACGUCGAAUGACGCGCGGCCUCCUUAUCCGGGCUUCCGGCUUGUACACAUUGUUUUUCGGCCACUUCCCCGAAAGCGCGCGCCGGGGGUCCGACCGCAGUCGAAACGCAAUGCGCGUGCGUUUUAAUAACGCGCGCCCAACGAACGUACCGUAAAUACGAAUGUUAUAUCCGUUUCCGUCGUUCGGUUUCGCCCGUUACGCGGAACGCGAAAACGUUUGUUUGUCGAAACCGCGGCGCCGCGUUAGCCCUAGGACUUUGGAAAACGUCGAGACGCCGCGACACGCGACCAUGUUAGUCGAAUAACAGGGACAAUGGAGAUUUGGGCGACGCGUACACCGCCGCAUAUGUGUUCCGGUCCACUUCGAUCGUCCGUUCGAAAACCGCCGAAUAAACACGAUUCGAAUUUAUCGAGCGAAACAAAAAUAAGCCUAUUAUUUAGAGAACCCGAAACGCUAGACGGUUGUGCCGUCACAAUACUAGUGAACUUUCAAACAAUUAAGAAAAACGACCACACACACACACACACACACACACACACACACACACUAUAGCUCCACAGUGUAAAAUGCUUUGUGCGAUACAAACGCAAUGUAUUAUAUUUCUUCAAAAUUUCUCGGGCCGUUUCUUGUUAUUCGGUUUAAACCGCCGAUAUUCCGUUAUAACGCGUACGACUACGCUGGGAAGUGGAGGGAGGGCUCGGUUUUUUCUUUUCGAUAUACUCAAUGUCCAAUGCGAUUCCGUUCCCGUUUAUUUGUUUGUCGAAAUGGCUGCGCGCGAAAUUCGGUCGCACUGUUUACGUAUUGUAACGGGCGUUGAAUUCGGUCGUCGUUCGGUAGUAUUUUCAGAGCCGAGUGUCUCCGGACGUUUUCGACGCGAGCACUUCUUCCGAACGCGAUAUCGGUUUCGUGCGCAGCUGGUGGAAGUCGAAAAACGCGGUAUAAUGCCGCGCGCCGGAGAACAUCCGUCGGACAAUAAAUUAAUAUUAUUAAACAGAUAUUAUACAUAGGCGGGACAGGCGUAUACAUCGGUGUCUGGUCUUUAUUCCGUAUUAUUUUUAUUUUUUUUUUAUCAUAAUUAUUUUUUUUUUUUUUUUAAACGCCGCCGCCGCAGUCGUCGUAAAUCUCUUCGAGUGGCUCACUGCAGUUACGGUGUAUUAUGCGCCGUACACAAUUUGUAAUACGCCGAUAACACGCGGACGCGCGUGUAGCGACGACUAUGGACGAAAAUAAUAAAAAAAAAAAUACGUUUAAUAAUAUACCGUUUGCUUGCCGCGGUGGCGGCGCGACCGCCGGCUGUUUUAAUUCCCAAUAGGACCUCUCCAAAGUCGGCCCGCAUCGUCGCGGACCGCGAAGACGACGAGCGUCCCACACGUGCGCCGCCGGACCUCGCGUAGUCCGACGACCUGCAGCACAAGACCCGAAAUAUAAUAACAAUGAUGAUGAUAAUAAUAAUAAUAAUUAUCGUCGUUCUCGUGUAAUAUCGUGUGUUCCAUUAAAUUUAAUUAACGCGGGCGCACGGUUAUUCGAUACACGACGGCACAAUACGGAAAUAAAGAAACCCCCACCCCCCCACUCCCUCCCACGCGUCUCGAACCUAGCGGCGGCUUCGCCGUCGGUCAACGACAACUGCCCGCAGCAGCAGCUCCAAACGUCGUCACGUUUUUUUUUUUUUUUUUUUUUUUUCCAUUCCCCUCCGAUUCGUAACGUCUCGUUAAAUCGUAAUAAAUAACAACAAUAAUCGUCGCCGUCGUUUCGAAUUUGUUUUACUCCGACAUAAAUACGUAUAAAAAGUGCCUGUACCUAAACGUAUUAUACGUCUUAGUCGUCGUUCCCUGUACAGCAACACUGUCGCUCACAGUAACACUACCUACUGUUAUUGUACUUGUACGCACUACGAUAUCGUAUUAUAUUGCGUGUUAAUAUACCUACGUAUUAUAGGACUACUAUUAUAAAGUUACUAACUGCUCUGUUAUUGUACUACCGAAAAUCGUUUUUAUUUUUUUAUUUCUUCCAUCCGAACACCCGACGACGAGAUAUUUGACUUAUUAUGACGUGCUUUUUCUAUGUAUUGUAUUAUAUUGUUAUUGGGUUGUGUUUUUUUUUAUUAUUAUUAUUAUUUUUUUUUUUUGUUCGUUGUAUUUUGCCGUUAUGCACUGCGGUAUAGACGUACACAUUUAUACGAGUUAACGUUUUCGACGGCGACAAUAAAUGAAGGCAAUAACGAGAUACGUCAAAAAUUUUCAAAAAUGCGUUUUGUUGUUCCAUCGAAAUAUCUGGAGGAAAAAAAAAAUUCUCUAUCGAACGGUUCGACAAGCGGAUACAUACGUCUGGACGUGUCUCAUAAACAUACGUUAAUAGAGGAAACAAUUUUUUCCCGGCGCAAUAACCAGAUACGACCGGACGUAGUCUAUUGUUGCGCAUAAAAAAAAAAAAAAAAACACCGCCGUUUAAGCAUAAUGAUAAUUAUUGUGUUUAUUUUGUUAAAUAAUUAAAAUUGAAGAACAUCCGUGUUGUUCUAUGAAAUAGUCAAUGCCGUAUCGGCCAACAUCGUAAUACUUCAACGCUUUAAAAUUUUACUGACACAAGAAAAAACAUUUUUUUCGUUUCGUCUCCCGAAAAAUUGUAAAUUUGAACGUAUCCUGUCGUUGCACACCGGUGCCUUCAAACGUGGGUGAUACCAUUACGGUUUUCCGAAGGCGCAAAACGAGCAAUAACAUAAACCGCUGAAACGUUUUUUUCUGACGAAAACCCAAAACUCCUACCGGCAGAAACCGUACUAUCCCCGACUAUAAUCCUAACCGCGAUACGCAGAUUGCGAGUACACGGCGUCUUUGUCGCACGCCGUGAUUUUUCGUAUACCACCGUCCUUUCGGUAUUUACAUUAAUACGUUAUCUUUUAUGCCGGGAAAGACGGGCUCGAGUAAAAUCGUUGUCAUUUUUAGACUGACGAGUAAUGUAUUGGUUUUACUAUUUUUUUUUUUUUUUUUAUUUUUUUUGUGUAUGUCCGUAAACGACUUGUUUGCGUAAUGUACAGUAAUUUCGUUGAAAGCUUUUUUUUUUUUUUUUGAGUUGAAAUUUCGAUUCGAAAAUCGUAAAAAUCGCGGCGUCUCGAAAAACAAAUUCAACCGAACAUGCAGAUGUAUAAUCGUGUUUCGUAAGCGACCGGCGAUUUUCGAUCGGCUGUUUUUCGGUUUUUGUUUUACGCACUGCAGCUUAUUCGGUCCCCGUUGAUUUUACAAACAAAAAUGUCAUCACUAUGACGUGUACGGUUCGAAUGGCAAGAGAGAUCAUGUAUUAAUUGUUGUACGCGGCAUUUCGCGUUGCCGUUACGUUAUUUAGCGAUUCUCGUAAUUUAAUUCGCCCGUAUCAGAAACUGCUUUGUACACGAAAUCGCAUUAAACUGCAGGCAUAAAUCGGGUCCGCAUUUCCCCCGGGGGACCGAGAACGCAUAACUGGUAAUGUUCUCAUCGGCGGCGUUUCUGAUUAAACAAUUUCGUUUUAUUAUUAUGACUUCCGUACCGGUUAACGGCAUUGAUAAAAUUGUUAUUAAUAUGACAUUUAAAUUGGAUAAACAUAAAUUCGAAAGAAAAAAAAAAAAAAAUUAGAACAGGAAAACCGCACUUAACGUUGGCAAUCUCCGCGAGUUUGGCUCACUUAAUGCACAAACGUUAUGCAGAAACGGACGGAGCGAAUCCGCAGCAGCCGACCGACCGGCGAAUGUUUUCGAUAACAAACAGCGCGAUUACAACCGAUCAUAUUAAUUUCGUAUUGUUAUUGUGAAUUCGGUAUGGCAGAGUUUAAGCGCGGUAAACAUAUCGCGCGGAACUAUCUGUUAAAUAUAAUAUUGUUGCGAUACUGGCGAGCGCUCGCGAUAAAAUAUCUGACAUUUACACCGAAUUCGGGGAGGUGGCGGUGGUGGUGGUGGGGGGGGGGGAAAGUAAUUUUCCAUCGAAACGAUAUUCGUACACCGACGUCACAUGUCGUUUUAAACGUCCGAACGAAAUAAAAACUAAAUUAUUAUCGUCUGUGCCCGCGAAAUCCUUUUAGAUUGGGUCGGAAUAACACGACGCGGGCAACAUUAUUAAGUUUUUAUUCGAUUUUCCGUUGCAUUGUCUAAAUAUUCUCUCCGCAUUCGGCGUAAAAUAUAAAUUGUUACGUUUCGCGAGAUGAAAUAACGUCCUUAUACAUUUCGCUAUAAUUUCAAUUCUAAACUUGAUUGAAGUAGACGAUUACGGAUUAAAGAAAUCUGAUGGGAUAACCGUAUUUAUUUAUUAUUUUUUUCGACACAAAAUUUAAUUUCGCAUUUAUAUAACGUGUACUAAUGUGUUUUCGCGUACAAUAACGAUGAUCGUCAAACAUAAAACGUUUUGACUUUCGAUAUUUUAAAUCGAAAAAAAAAUCGAUUAGUAUGAAAAUUUUAAAAGAAGAAAAAUACUCCUUUGUUCACCCUCCAAUAAUAUACAUACCUACCGGCCCCCACUCCGCAAAUUUAACAGUUGAUUUACUCGCGUACAAAAAAUAAAACAUAGCAUGUUAUAUGCGUAACGGUUUUAAUUUGUUUUUCAAUCGGGUAAUUUUCAAAGCUAUUUUAUCGUGAUAGUUGUAUACUUUAUUAGUAAAUAAAUACUGCAGUGGAGCGGGUGUUGGUUUUUUUUAUUCGUUAUUCGUUUUAUAAAAAUUCAAAAACAUAAGUAAGAGUAUGUAUAUUAUGUAUAUUCGUCCAUUGAAUAUAUAGUGCCGGAGAGUAUAAACAUUUAAAAAUUAAUUACAAUGGUGUAUCACCGCCGGGGAGUUGUUAAUCGCAGUCGCGUUCUCAUUAUCGUGUCCAACUCUCGUCGUCCACCGCCGUAAUUCGCCACACGUUGUUUUUUAUAUUUAUAAACGACGCGGCUUUUGACCGAUUUCCCAAAGUUCGUCGAGGUAAUAAAAAAAAAAAAAACAACCGGCGCGUAGUACAAGUACACCGAUACUUGUCCCGCAGACAUUUCCGUCGGGCAGAUAUCAGUAGUGUAAAUAACAAUGCCGAUCCACGAAUAAACCGUGGAAUGUCCUUCUGUACAUUGUAGGCACACAGGCAUGUACCUCCGAACCCGGCUGUUGAAAUUCAUAAGCCCGAUCGGAAAUAUCAACUUUUGUUCAAUAAACCGAGCUUUUCCUUUUGCCCGUGAUGCGGGUUGAAAAUCUAUAACUGCGUGCGCACGCAAUUCCCAGAGAAAAUUACGGAGCACCGACUGCGAGGUCGUUCAGCGUAUAAAAAACUAUUACGUUCACAGUUGUAUGAUUGAGACGUCGUGGUUUUGGAGAGGUUCGGCGUUUAAUCGCGUUGCACAUUUUUUUCACGAGUUUUUUUUUCCCCCGAACCAGUACGGCAGGUUCCAAUUGCAUCGUAUACGGGUUAUCGGGCGCGGAAUUCGGCAUUUAAUAUCGCGACAUUACGCGCUCGCGUACCGCAAUAACAUUGUGCGCGCGUGGUUAUCGAUUCUCGAUGGAGCCGAAUGAAAUCGCACGCGGAUGACGCCGUAUUAUGCGCCGCGAUAAACGCACACGGUAUGCGGUACGUACGCGACGGCGUUCGAACACUUCCCGUCACGUUUGACAAGCCUAACGCGUUUCCGGCGCACAUACGGGGCGUAUAAUAAUAGUAAUCAUAAUAAUAAUAAUAAUAAUAAUAAUAAUAAUGUAAUCCGACGGGGCGAGCAGACGUCAAACUUUUACAGAUAACCGCGACGCGCGCCCGCGGAGUACUCGAAAGUUGACGCGCGGUAUUCGAGUUACGCCGCCGCCGCCGCCGCCGCCGCCGCCACCGCUCCUCACGCAACAUUAUACGCCGCACGCAUACGCACGCGUAAAUGUACCUACACGUGUGUACACGUACGCGCAUACCUGUCCGGGUAUACGUACCCCCGACUUGACGUGCGAGAUCAAAAACUUAUCUCCGGUCCCGCGGUUAUAACCGCAUCAUAACCUCGCGUAACCCUUUUCGACUCUCGUAAACUUCUCGCGGAGGGAAUUUAAAACCGAGGAUCGCGAGCCUAUACAACACUCGUGUAUACAUAUUAUAUUAUAUACGGUUUCGCGCGUCGUCUUUUGUAUACGAAAGUCGGGCCGGUCGGACGGGGAUGGGACGAGAACAAACGAAAAAAAAAACCGGGCGAAAUAAAGACGGAAGCGAAAAAACGCGCCCGGGAAAAUAGAGGUUUUUUCCCCGUCUUUUUUCCUCUUCCCGCGUCGACGACGGGGCUGUACGAUUUGUUUUUUUUUCUCGUUUUCCACUCGUUAUAUUAAAAAGGACGGACACACGUACUUCGGGCCACUGCAGCUGUUGUAUAUAAAGAUGAGAAGUUGGGAAGGUAGGAUAUAGGAGGGAAAUUCGAUUUAUAUCCGUACGCGACGAUAAACCGUUGCUGGCGAAAAACGUUUCGGAGCGAAGUUUCUUUUAUACGCACGUACGUACAUUUUCCAGUUUUCCCCAGUUUUUAGGAAAACCGCUUGGAAAAUCGAGAAUUCGCCUCCUCGAAGUACCAAUCGGGUAAAAUUCACUGUCGGAAAAAUGUACUACACUUUGUAGGAUUUCUAAUAGAAUAGUAAAAAAAAAAUAAAUGAAUAUCGUUGUAAAACCAAUACAUUAUCGAAUGUUUUUUUUUUUUUUUUUUUUUUAUUCCGACACCGUAUUGGUUUCGUCGCGAUCGGGCUAUUCUGUCGUCGCAUACAAUAAACACGUACGGUUAGUGAUUCACCAAAACUCGAUUACUCGCCUGCACACAGCGUAACGUGUUUCGCGCAACCGUAAUAUCUCAUCGUAGUUAUCGUUACGCGAUAUCAGAUGUUAACGACCAAUAGGUAUACACAUGUUAUCAGCGGGCAUUUUUUUGCGCUCGCCGCGAAAACUCAAUUGUGUGCACCUGCCGCCCGCGGUUUCGCGUUAUUAGCGAUAAAUCGCGUUCCCGUCCUCGAAAUCGUUUUACCCAUAGCGAUCGAAUAGAAUCCGCGGGCGCGUUACGGAGAGUAUCUUCGGCUGUACCGUCACUAUGUUAUACGGCGGGCGAUCUAUUGUCACGUACGUUCAUAACAAUUGAAUUGUAGUCGGGGCCGGGAUGUCGACGAUGCGCCGCUUCGCAUUGUUUACCGAAGUUUUCGUGUCGGCGGUUUCGUUACGCGAGUUCGUUUGGCGUGCAUAAUCGAAUAUUUCUGGCGUUCACCGGAUUUCAAAGCGGUUUUUUCGAGAAUUCUCAAGUUUUUUUCGAUUUGAAAUUCGAAAUUUUUGAAAUUUCGCUAUUAAAAUCCGGGUUACCACGAGUUGCUCGUUUCGUUUCUCAUCUUGUUGAACGAAUCAAUUAUUAAAUUUUUGAGUUCGGUUUAUGGAAAUUUCGAAUAUUGUUUGUUUUGGCGAAUUUUUCCGGAGAGGGGGGAGGAGUGGGUUUAACGAUUCCCGGUCGUAAUGUCACAGGAACUGCGUUAAAAUAUAUAUUAUUUUUGUGUUUUUUUUUUUUUUUUUUUAUCGGCGAGAAGUCGCGGGAGACGGUUCCGCGGGGAUUUCAUCGUCGAGCUUAUAGAUUCGGAGCGCACCGAGGGAUCUAUUGGUGUUUUUUGUUUUUUUUUUUUUUUUUUUUUUGUUUCACCCGACGACCGCGGCGAUCGUAAUAGAAAUAACAACAUCGUCGUCGUUCUGCCGCGUUCACGAAUAAUAUUCUAAUACACGACAUUAACAUAAUGGGUAUUGUACUGCACGAGCUAUUAAUAAAGCAAUCUCCCGCCGUCGGACGUCUGACUGUACGCGUUGCCGAUCCGUUUAGUUACGCGGCAUUCGUCACGCAGUAUACGAGUAGUCGGCGUACACGCAUACGCGCCGACGACGACGCGACUACGUCUUCCGGACACCGAGAGGAGUAGGGGGGUGGCGGGUCACCCUAUUUUUUUUUACAUUUUUUUCGGCUUUUUUAUUGUUCGCACGAUCGUAACACACCCUACACACACACACACACACACACGCACACACAAACGGGCGGCGGUGGGUAGACGAGGUACCGACCAAAGCCCACGAGUAUAUCGUACGUGCGAGGGGAAAUAAAAUAGACACAGACUCUCGUCGUUUGGGUCAAGAUUUAUUUUCCGGGCCGCGGGCAAACCGUCGUAUUAACAGUAUACAGGGCGGAAUUAUUUAUUUUAUUUUCGCGGCCGGCGUUUAUUAUACUGUUGUACGUACGGAAAUCGUUUUCGAUUGAUAUUUGUAUUGAUGUUUGUAUAAUAGUAUGACGGAGUCAUUUAGAAUUUUUUGUUCUCGUCGUUUUACCCUUAUACCGUACGCGCCGCUGAAAUAAACUAUCGUAACACCAUCGACUUUUCGAAAAAAAAAAAAACAAAAACAAAAUAGAUAAUCGUAAUCAAUUUCAUUAUCCACGCGUUUAUCAUUCCAUAUAUAUGAUUAUACUCUUCCGGUCUUAGUUUUCAACUAUUGAAACGGAGAAGGUUUGCUAUGUAUUUAACAGUCGAAAGUCAAAAGUUGAUUUUAUAAUAAUCGCGUGUGGACGAGAGGGGGAAAAUGAUAAGGAUAAAAUAAAUUGUAAAUAAACGACAAUAUUAUCGCUACAAUACGAAUGAAAAUAAGUCCCGUGAAUCCUCGUGAGAAAUAUUAUAAUAUGCUUACGACUGCAAGAUUAGACUGAUUGUUCGAUAAUAAUAUUAUUAGCUAUUUGGAAGUAAUAAAACACGGCGAACCCUAUAGGGUUAGUGCCCGACGGGGUUAGCUAAAGGUACCAAAAGUGCGAAGGCGUACGAUAAGACCUAAUGACGUUGAGAAAGUAAUACAUUGCAAAACCGUUGGCCCGGACCGGCCGGUCAUCACUAUCCGUUUUGAGUCCAUAAUUUCUAUGUUUAGUGUUCACUUUUAGAUUCGUAGACAUGUAAAUUCUAUCUCUCUCCUCUCGUUUGAAUACGACGCUCGCCCCGCUAUUACUUACAUUAUCGCCGUAGUUUUUGUGAUGCGUAAACGAUAUCGGGUAACAAAACUUCUUCGGACGGGGGUUCUUGGCCACCGUCCACCGGGAACCCCCGAUAUUAGACUGGGUAACCGCGGGCUUAUCGAACACGACUGAUAGAGAACUUUCCUCAUGGAGUUGGGGCUGCCAGACCCACAAUUACACUUAUAUUUUUUUUUUACAUUAUACAUUUAUGCAAAGCUGACUUAUGAACUGUGCUUGAUGCUAUGGAAUAUUGUAAAAUUUUGAAUUAUACUAUGUAAAAAAUAAAUAAAUAAAUCAUUUAAGAGAACCGAAUCGAAAUUUCUUAUUUAUUCGAACGGGGAGCUCGACGUCCCUCUACAGAUUAUGCCACAUCUAGAAUAGUUAGAACAUUUUUUUUUUUUUUAUUCGACACGGUGAAAUAUUAUAUUAUGUAUAAACGGCUAUAGUUUUAGUAUUUUUUCUAAACACAAGCUCAGUUUCACGUACAGCAGUAUAGCGUUUUGAACAGCGGGUAGAACGUCACUAAUCUAAAUAUGAAUCCGAAGAGCUGUUUCACAGUCAGUAUAGUGACGAACGUGGACCAAAAGGUCAGGUUUUUUUUUUAUAGCCACGGCCGUGGACUUCAGGGACGUUUCCAUCCAUUUUUUUUUCUGCGUAACUUCAUACAAGUUUAUAGGUGUACAAUUGAUACCUAACGGAAAAUAUUUUUAUAUUUACCGUUUCUACGGUCACCCCGGCUGCGCGUUUAAGGUGGUCAGCGAAAGUUUAAAACACGGCCUUCAGAAUCGUUAAUUCGUUUAAUCUACGAUAAAUUUGAAAAGUUAUCGCGGGAUAAAUUCUGUUCACGGUACGAAAAAAAAAAAAAAAACAAACAAACACUAUAAUACUCUAAAACCGAUACAUACCUCCUCAUCGUUGUUCGCUCGCAGAAUCUAAAAUCCGAAAUCUACAUAAUGUAAUAGUUCUACGUCUUCGUAUAAUAUAGAACGCAAUUGUGAUUGUUGGGAUCGAAAAAAAUAAAAUAAAAAUAACAAGACCGCGUAGGAUGACGGGACCGGAUGAAGCCACUGUUAUAGAUAAUUUGAUGUAUAGUUGUAAACAACAAUAAACCAUUUCUUACGAAAAAACGAUUCUCAGCGGAGUUCAGUCGAUAGUGUGAUGCUCUGUCAACAAUAUGUAUGUAAAAUGAUUAAAUGAAGACUUUAUAUACAUAUAUAUAUUCUUUAAUAAUAUUUGUUUAACGUCGUACCGAUUUUCCAGGUUUUCCCGUGUUUUAUCCCGGGUUUUCGCGUUUUCCGGGGAAAACUCUUAUGGAAAUCGGGCGUUACACGUAGAAACCCGAGCGGGUGUUCCGGCGGAAGGGUGUAUGCUUCUUUCGCCCCGGUCGGAAUCUAAAAUCACCCUGUAUACAGCGUGGAGACGUGAGCCACCGUCGCCGCGGCCCGCGAGUAACAUUAACAAUAUAAUACGCGCGCGCGCGCGCCGAUAUCCGGGUCCGCGGAUUAUUUCGCGCGUGGCCGCCGCCGGACGGAGCGCGGCGUCGGGGAACGGGUCGACCGGGGGGUGGGGGUGGGGGUACGCGCUAAUCUAAUUGUUACCGGACGGGCAAUUUAUUAUGCAGAACGCGCGUUCGAACGCCGGACUCGCGGGCCCCCCGUGACUCGCACGCGAUUGAUCGACAUCGUUACGCGCGUGUUAACAAUAAUAAUAAUAAUAAUAAUAAUAACAUUAUUAUUUUUUAUCAUUAUUGUUGUUGCGCGUGUAACACAACGUCCGCGAAUCGGACGCGGCCGCGUACGGGCGUGGGUCGGCCGGUCGGCCGGUGUCGGGGAGCGGAAAAGAAUAAAUUUGAACGCACAGCCGCGGGCAGCUGCGGCCGUGCUCCGGCCACUGCGGACGGCGUCAAACUGCCCACCGCCUCCUGCUGCCAUACCUCCGCGCUCCGCUAUUUCGCGUCACGCCGGCACAGUGACACAGAACGGCCGGACGAUAAGCGGCCGUCUGCCGGGAAAUCGCCGAAAAUCCUCCGAGUGCGCUUCCGCUGUCGUUCGGCCGGUCGUCCCGUAAGCGCAGGGCGUCACGGAAUCCUCGGCUCUGCGUCCGCGUCGUUCGCGACGCGGUGUACUCGUCGGGUGUCGAAAAGGCGUCGUCAUUACGGCGCAAUCGGAACGUUCUCGGCACAGCGUAAACCCUCCGCCCGUCGAGCGAACUAUUCCCGUCGUCAGUUUUACGUCAAACGCGUGCGUGUCACUUGGCCCGAGUGAUCGCAAUUUCAUUUUCGGCGAAUUUUAACGCUCAAAGCAUCGACAUUUUCACGGUAACACUAUGUUACGCUAUAACGGCGACAUUUGUUUAUAAAUAUAGUGGGUGCUGUAAAAAUGGGCGCUCGGAGGCGGGGGACGCAAGAUAGGGGGACGCAUCUCUCCCUCUCCCGGACUUCGGAAUUUCUAUUAUAAUUUUACACGAUAUUAUUACGCCCCUCCGGUCUCCUUGAUAAAUUUCCUACGGGCGCCCGUAGGAAGCUAUCGCGUCGCCAGCUACAAUACGAUUUCGAUUCCCGAGUCUGAGCUCAUAUUCGGCCCGGAGGGAGUCACUAAAAGUGUCCGAAAUUAGCGAGUAAAAGAUAAACGUUAUACUAUAUAUUAUGUUAAUAAAUUAACAAAUUAAGAUUGUCUAUACUUUCGAGGAAAAUACACGCAAGGAAUAAUAAUAUCAUUUUUCGAAUAAAGUUCACAAACUCCAUACAUUUACGCGAAAUCGUAAACGCUUCGUAUAUACGCUUGCUAUAAACGCCCGUACGAGCGAAUAAAAUUUAGCGAUUAAGUUUUGAAGUAUAAUUUAGAGCGUGGACUUUCGUUCUUUCCCCCCCCCCCUCUGCAAAAUAAACUUAACAUCGCAAUAUUAUUCUUAAUAAUAUACGUACUUGUGGAGUAUACAAUAAUAAUGUAUCGUUUAUUUAUACUUUUUAGUACGCUCCCCCUCCCCUCAUAACUUUCGGUAAUUGUUGUUCGACCCUAACGUUAAUAUUUGAACCGGCGCGGUUCGUGAUUCCGCUUAUCCGUGGCGAAUAUCCAAAUCCUCUAACUUACACAUUGUAUAUGCACAUUGAACCGAAUUAACAAUCGUUUUUUUUUUUGUCAUUCGAAAUAAUCAGAGACUGUGUGUAGUAAUAUAUCGUACAAUGCAUAUUCGUUCAAUACUAUACACCAUUCGCUUUGUACAUUUCAAUAUUUUCGCGACUAAUGAUUAGUUAUUGAUCGGUAAUCAGAAAAAAAGUGCGCGGGUACCAUAUGCUAAACGAUUGAAAUACAAAAUCUAAUGAUUCGCAAACGUAAAAGAGAUACCGAUCGGUUUUCAAUUCCCUUAAUGUUUCUGAAAAUUCGAGAACCUAGGAUUUUUCGGGACAUCGUAUAUUGUAGUAUGAUUUUUUCUUUUUUCGACACUCGGGCACUUUUAGCCCCCGCUUCUGAACCGAACGAGCUCGAACUCGGGAAUUAUAGAGUUGUUUUGUAGGCGCAUUGAAAUGAUAAAAUUUCGAUUGUGUUUCAAUAUGAAUGUCACCGGGAGAACGGUGUUCAUUUCGUUCGCCUCUAUAGACCUCUCAAACGACGACGCCAGGGAGACGACAUUUUGUUUGUGCGCGGCGCGAGUAUCAACGACGGUUUUUUCGAGAAGAGGUACAACUCUCAAACCCAUUUCCGAGCAAAUUUCGUGUUUUUACAAGAAACACCGCGUGUGUUAAACACUCCGUGUAAACUAAAAUGUAACACGAUAAAACUCUGGCGGCCGUAACGCUAAUACGGAUUAAUUGUUAUUAUUAAAACGUAUUCUGAUGCGGGCCGAGGGAAUUUUCGACUUUACAGUGUCCGGACGGCGCCGCUCGCGGAGGAGAAUUUAAAUCGCCAUCGCGCGCAAUAAUAUACGACGCGCGUAUUUCGCUAAAAAAAAUAAAAAAAAUAAAACGCCGAGCGGACGGGGCGACGUUAUUUCGCGGUUUCGUUUUACGCGGAAAUAUUACGCGCGGUCGGCCGCAACACGAGCGUAUUAAACAACACGGGGGAUAAUGGGAUCCCGCGAUCAAUUUUAUACCGCGGUAAUUACAAUCGUAAAACUUCGGGGUUUAUUACGACGACGACGACGACGAUGAUAAUAACAACAAUAAUAUACGUACACGACGCGGUUUAAAAUCGUACAUCAAAAGUUUUAAGCUCGCGUUAAAAACGAUUCCGAAAUAUUACGCGAACACGGUAUAAUAAUAUACGCACGUACAUGCCGGUCCCGUAAACACCUAACCGUAGUACUCGCGCCGCCGCGCCCCGGCGACUCAUUAAUGCCGUCGUCGCGCGGUUGUUGCCCGUACCGUUGCCGUAUAGUUUUGCGAUUCGCCCGAGCUUAUUGCGACACGGAACUUUUCGAUUAGCCGGUGUGCCGUUGUUCGGCGCCGCCGUGCCGUUAAUAGAGCGCAUAUAUUAUUGCGGUAACGUGUACGUGCGCGCGCCUGCGUUUCAUCGUUAUACCGUCAGCAUGUAUCCGUCGGACGUAAUAAUUUUUUUACCCGCGGAAACGCGGAGGAAAAAAAAGUUUUUAAAAAAAAAAAAUAAAAAAAACACACAACCGUCGUUAAUUUAUCUAUUCCGUCCCCGUAAAUAUCACGCACGAUACGUUAUAUCGUGAUGUUACGCGUCUGGUUCCAAUUAGAACACUCGGGACACUACGUAAUAUAUCCGCGACACUACAUGCUACUACAUACAUCAUAAUGCCCCCAUGUGUCCGCCGGGAAGCUACGUCGGUGGUUAAUAAAUAAUUAUACGACGACGACUACGACGACCAUGAUGAUGAUUUGUGGAGGCCGGCCGCAUUAAUUAAGAAUCUUGUAGUUCCCAACCCGCCGCCGCAUGAUGAUAAUAUUAAUAGUAUUAUCGCGAUCCCGGAGUUUUCGUGAUCGGACGCGUUUGAUAAGCGCGGCUCGGCGGGCAACGCGACUGUAUUGUUAUCGUGUGUGUGUGUGUGUACGCGUCGUGUUGGGUCGGUCGGCAGAGUCUUUUUUUUUUUUCUACCUCCCGACCCUCCGAGUAAAAACCGACCGAACGAUCCGACGUACGGUUAAUAACAAUAAUAAUUCAUAACGCGUGGAACCCGAUUGGGUUUCGGGUCGCGACGGCCGUCGAUCGGUCGGUGUGUUUACCCGUCUGCGAACACGCGUCCCCGGACGAAACCGGACACUUUAAUGCAAAAUAAAAAAAAUAAUCAUAAUGAUAAUAAAUAGGCAGUAUUUGCGUACACGUAUAUAUAAUAUGGGUACAGCGCGCUUGUAUUACAACGCAAUGACAGGUCUAAUCGUGCGAAUAAACGUCGGGUUGACGAUCGUUAUCGACCGCGCGCGCGGGUCCACGGCGAUACGUGUUUUUUCCCCUCUUUUGUACCCGAUGCACGAUAUAACACGUGUUUCUCCGGACGGAAUGUCCCGAGGUCUGGGGAUCGACAAUCUGCGACGAUCGACCGUGAAUAACAUGUUACGACCGCCGUCGUUUCGGCGGUGAUGUAUAGGUAUUAUUGGUACAUCUGUUUCCCGAGGCUGUAUAAUAAUAAUAUUGUAUUUUAGUGGUUGAUGGUGCCGGGCCGCGUCUGUAUUACGACGUUCGCGACAACUAACCGCGCGUAGGCGCGCGUCAUAUUAUAAGAGAAGAAAAAAAAAAAGAAAUAAUACUUAAUGGCAUUACGCGGCGGAAGAAGACGAGCGUACAGCGCAGCACUGACGGGAAUGCGCAUAGACGCAGGGCGUGCGGAUAAGGAACGAGUUUUUUUUUUUUUUUUUUUUUAAGGGGCGUAUGCGUAUUACACAGCGCGCGGGCAUUUUCGACGGUCGGCGGCUCGAGACGAGAAAGAGAGAGUACGCCGAGAUGGUUCGGACGCGUUACGAUAAGGGACUAUGAGUCAUCGCGGAGGGUUUAACAGUGAUGGUUUUUUUACGGACGGCCGAUGGGCCGAGGAGGAAAACACGGGGAGAUAAGAGGUUAGAAACGGCCGCGGAGAACGACGCGAGGAGGUGGUGCUAUAACGGAGCGCGUGUGAAGUCGGUGCGGGUAACCGAGUCGAGUGGAGAGUUGUUAGGACCGAGGUGACCGACCCGAAAUAAACGGGAGGAGUGGCGAGAUAGAAAAAGCGCACUUAACGAUUUUACUGCCGCAACGUGUUUACAAUAACAUUAUUGGGAUGAACAGAAGAUCAAGUGAAAAAAAAACAAUGUUUGACGACGUAUGUUGAGCGUCAUCUGCAGAGUAAAUACCCGUCUGUCCGACUGCAGUGUUUGAAAUGUUCGGAAAAUGUCUUAAAAAACUACCGAGCGGAAAUUCGCGUUUUUUCUAUGUUUUAUGGCGUGGAAGUUUCUGAUGAUAUUUACUCCACCCCCCAUACUCAAGCACGUUUGCGCUGGUCCAUUCGAAGCAUAUAAUAUUAUUUCGUAACGAUUUAAAUACAACAAUAUAUUGUCGUGAAAAAUAAAAGAUUGGAAGUACGACAGAUAGUUGAAUGAUAAUUAAAAACAAAAAUAAAAAAAUGCCGUAAUAAACAUUCCGCGUUUAAGAUUUUGCGGCGGUUUUCUACUUGGUAUUUUUCCCGGGACUCCGUCGAACUGCACACCUCGCACGUCUCGUGUGAUGAUUUAGCCGUUGCGACCGUUCGAUCCGGAUUCCUCACAUUUUGGUUUGUAUCGGUUUAACCGUAACGUGUGUUUUUUUUUCUGCUGUGAACAAAUACGACUUCUGUCAGUAAUGUUGUUUUAGUCGAAAACCUUCCCGUAGCCAUUCGUAUCUGGUUGGUACUAGUGAAUUUUUUCCGUUCGUUUAUCGGUGACGGGGAGGGGGGGGGAAACACGAUCGAAAAUCACACGGUUUUCGUUGGCGACGGUUUGUCGCGGUGCACGGACUCUAUCUGCGUACCUCUUACCACAUUCAACUUGCCCGCGCACGUCGGGUGGUAUUAGUCGUUUUUCUUUCGUUUCUCGCCUCCCCCCCCCCCACCCGUAAAAAUCACGGUCUCUCGCGACACGGAUUUUUCGCGAAACGCAAAAAACGUUCGCCGCCGCCGGUCGGCGCGAACCGUUUCGCGCGCGCACAAUAAAAAAUAUAUUAUCAGGGACACCGCGCGCCCGACCGUUACACGCGCAUUUCCGUAACGUGCCGCGUUAUAUGGGCCGACACGCCGGACAAAUGUCGGCGCGGCUCAGCCGUAUCGAUUUCGGAUCGGACCGAAACGCCGUCCCGUGGGCCUGAAUACAGCGCGCGUGUUAUACGCGGUAUACGCACGUCGCACGCACUGCGAAUCGAACAAAGCGAAAUAAAUACAAACGGAUUCCGUUCCGGGCGCUAAACCGUUUCCGACCACCCCUUUCUCCCUUCCCCGCCUCCCCCCGCCACCCCCGCCUUCCCCCGGCCUCCGGCGAAUACAGAAUCAAUUCGGGCGUACCUGCCAUACCGAUACGCGCCGCAUAAUAAUAUUAUAAACUUCCGAAUAUUCUUAUGUACGAGUGUCACGACGGCGUUCGUGUACGCAUAGCCGGCGCAUAUAAUAAACUGCAGUGAAUACCUAAAUUAUUAUAAAAAUUCGAUUAUACGAUCGCCUCGAAAUCCAUUUUUCAAACAAGUACUGUACGACUGUACACAAAGCGUCACCGCCGCGGUAAUAAUUUCGCGGUUCAGCGCGAAACGCAAAUUUGAUUUUUAUUUUUCGCGCCGCCGCCGAAAAAUAAAUUUCGCUUUAACUGUCUAUUCUGCGAAUCGGACGUAUAUUUCGACUUUUUUUUUUUUUUUUUUUAUAAUGAGAUUGAAUUCUGAAGUUUAAUUCAAAACGAAUACCGCGUAUACUUUUCGUCAAUAACACCCCCGCGAUACCGUUUUGAAUAUCCAAUAAACUCCGUACAAUACGCUCGCCCGAUAUCGAUCUCGUUUUGAUUAUUAUGUGUCGGAUGAUUAAACGAUAUUGCACGUCACGUGUCGAUUUCCCACACGCUCGCGUGUUGUUGUGCACAGUACGCGGGUGCCCAUUGUAAUGUCAUACACUCGUAUAAUGUACGCGACGGCGGUAUCGAGAACGCGAAUCGCGCGAGAAAGAUUUCCGAUCGUUUCGACGCGAAACCGACGGUUCCGAUACGCCCCGGCCGGAGAUAUUUGCGGGUUUGAUCCGAGUACUACAUCCGAGCGGAAGAGCCGCCGAAUCGCCCGCGUCCUUACACAUCGCGGUCGAACGUUAAUUUAUCUUUUGAAAUCCGGCCGCACUAUUCGCGCUGUCCGUGACAACCGAAUUGAAUAUUCAAACGGUACGCCGUUUGGGAUUCUGCGCGGAUCGACGAGGAACAUGUGUACGCACGCGGAUUGGUUUGGCCGUACGAUGCGAUGUUUUUUCCCGUGUGACUUUCACACCGGAAAACUCGUUCCGGUCGAACGUUUUUAACGCGAGACUUUUAUUCGGCAAUCGUCGUCGAUUCGGUCGUUGCGUCGGGACGCGGCCGGUUCUUCGCGAUUUCCCUAACGAACCGCGGAAAAACCGAUACACAAAUCGUUUCAAACUUUUCCAAUUAAAUUCGUCGAUUGUUUUUAUCGUUGUCUAGUUAUUAAACUUGACUGAUUAAAGUUUCGAUUGUGUAAACGAGAGUGGAAAACGAACGAUAUUUCUCGAAAAAUAGCAACGCGACGUGACGUGCAAUACAAUUAUUUACCGCGACAGUUUGAUUCGGUGCGUUUCUAUACCUAUUGUACAGCUUAACUUUUCGCCGGAGGCUUAUUCUGUUUAUUUAACUCGGCCUGAUCGCGUCGGUUUUCUCUUGCGUUAACGUGCCGCCCUUUUUGUCCGGGCGUUACGGUCCUUUUCGGAAACGAACACGCACGGCGCAUACGCACCCGCGACGUACAGUGCAUCCUGUGCGUACUGCGUAUAAGAACUGAUAGCUUAUCGGUGUCAUCUGCGCGUGUACACGGGUCUAUGGUCACUUCAUAUUUUUUUUUCCUCCUGGUGCACGUGUAUUAAUAUAACGCAUAACAGGUGUGUUUCUGUAACCGCUUUUCUGGAAGCCGCCGCCAAACACAAUACCAAAAUGAAACGGCGUUUCUUUUUUUCAUUUCUUUUAUGUUUGAUUUUAUAACAUUGUGUACGCGUCCCCGAGUCUCGGAGACGGCGAUUUACAUAAAUCUCACCGGGAAACUCCGCAGCCGCGGCCGACUCUCGUAUCGCGUAUCGCGUAUUUAUACACGCGUUCGCAACAGCAGAUAAUAUACCGAAACGCCUACGACUGAAAUCAGCGAGUCGGCGAAAGUAUUUCCUUUUUUUUUUUUGUCCGUUUGUUUUGCCCCUGAGAAGUGCAAUGUUAUUGCACUCUGCAAUAACAACACGAAAACCGCUGUUCGUCGGAGCGCACACACGAAACGAAAAAAAAUGUGUUUACAUAAAAUUAUACAUCGUAUACAUACAAUUCGUCGUCGUGCGCUCGACGAGUUCCGAAACGAGUCUGCCAUUCCGGUUCAUAAUGUGUUUCGUGUACAAUACGUGCGGGAGCGCAGGAAGAUUAAAAUCUAUGAUAUAUCUUAUUAUUGUACGUUUGUACGUUCUUUUGUAAAACCGGGGGGUUUUAUCGUUUUUUUUUUUCUUUCGGAAAUCGAACACGACCGGUGCGCGUGGGGCGCGUUUCGAAAAUAAAAUGUUUUCGUGGGAAAAUGUCGCGAUAGAAACGUAUAAUUGUUCUGUGAAUGGGGACGGAAACGUUUCGAACGUCGUCGUAUUUUGCGGGCACGGCAUAAACACAAUAAUACAGCGUGUUGUCGGCGGAACAUUAAAAUGAGUGUAGAAGGAGAAGAAGACGAAGAAGAAGAAGAAAAAAAAAAAAAAAUGGACGAAAACGAUUCUAUUAUGUCCGCGCGAGGUUGACAGUCGGCGGAGACUCGUCAGGAGACUCGCGGGGCACCGGCGGCGACGACGACGCGGGUAACGCGCAGAAAAGAAGACAACCUGCGGCCUAUAACAUAAUACGAGUAUUAAUGUACGCGUAUGACGGCGUACGGGAGAACGCGGGGUUUGUUUUAAUGCGUCACCGGACGACAAUAAUAAUAAUAAUGAAAUACAAUGCGGGACGGGAAAAGGAGCGCGCGUUAAAAAACCCGAAAUGAAAAUCCCGCGCCCGCCGAGACCGUGAACAUUACACCGCACAAUACGAAUAUAAUAUAAUAAUAAUAAUAAUAAUAAUAAUAAUGUGACGUCGUCGUUCGACACGAACAAUGGCCUUUUCGAAAUUCCCGCGACUCCGCGAUGCCCCGUUUACGUGCCUCCUAACCGUGCCUACGUGCGCGGUACCUAAACGCCGCCGGGAAGCCCCGCCGGGUACAAUUGGGCGAUAAAAAAAAAAAAAAAUAAAAAAAUAUCCGGCCCCUUCGCGUCCCCAUUGGUCGCCAGCAGCUCCCUCCGACAUGACGAUAUCGCGGCCCCUUUUGUGAUUUUCAAUUUGUCGCGUAAACGCGGUUAUACGGCCGGCGGCGCGCGGUUGUAAAGUGCGCGUACGUAAAAUGGCCCCCGGCCACCCCCCCNNNNNNNNNNNNNNNNNNNNNCCCCCCCCUCAGAAAAGGCCCGCUACUCGUUGCCGAAUACGGCGAUCGCGACGUCUGCGCCCCCUUAAAUAACGAUUGCGUAUUGUACACUGUUCGGGCAGCUACGGUUUCGAAACUUUUUUCCAAAUCCGAUUGUACGACGACGAGCGCGCAUACAAACAAUAAUAACACGCGCGUUAGGGGGCCAGGCGCGUAUUAUAACCGUAUUAACGAACCCCCGGAACGGGCGAACGAAGGUUAUGGCGAACUCUCGAAAACCGUGCGUACAUAAUAUUUAGUGUGAUACACGCGUUACGGAAGUGAUUUUCAUCGCGGGUGUAUCCGAAUCGGUUCCCGUUCGCGAACAAAAAAAAAAAAAAAAAAUAAAAAAUGGCAUUUUACGAAGGCGAACAGUGGCGUAUUUGACUAGGUUUGAUGGUGGGGGGGGCGAGAGUCGGUGACGCUAAAAUUAUUACAAAUGAACUUAUAUUCUGCCCCAUUGAUCUUACCGUGAAGCGUUUUUUUUUUUUUUUUUUUUUUAUUAUCGAGUCUGAUGACACUUUUUCAGCAGAAAUAACGCCUAAACAUUCAGUUUCAAAGGGGAUACCGAGAUUUUCGUGUAUAUGCACGUUACAUUUACGAGAGGGGCGAUCGCCCCCGUCGCCUCCUCCUUCAAAUACGCCACCGAACGUGAGUCGAUUCGGUCGCCGUUUAAACGUGCGACGUAUCCGCCACACCGGUCGAAUCGGUUCCCACUGUUCGCAGUAACACAGUAAAACACGCUGCACAUUUCACUUCCCAUUCUUACGGGCUCUCGACUGUCGACUCAGAAUUGCUCGUAGGCUCUGCACUGGAAGCAUAUCUAGACAGCUGUAUUUUAUAUUCGCGGGUAUACACGGCUUUACGGAUGUACGUGUACUCAAACGGAUUGACGUUAUCUUCUGCGAGUCGAUCGCACUAUUCCGGUAACGUUUUUCAAACGGGAACCGAUUCGGCGUGUAGGGUAUGAGGUCGGGAACCGACUCGCAUACGUCCCGUUUUCGUUUGUAGUUCGUAACGGCGUUUUUUUACCCGCGCGCAUUCACGGUUUUAUCUAUUAUGGCGCGUGUGCGUUUUUCAAUUGUCCGUCUGUCGACGACUGCCGGAAAUCUCGUUUCGCGCUCGAUAAACGACAACAGAGAUUAAUUUUUUUUUCAUUUUUUCCUCCCCCCCCCCCAGUAUUUUCGAUCUAAUCAGAGCAUUAUCGAGGUGCAAUCGUUUUUCGAUUUUCCGAGUAUAGUUUUCGUAAUGACCGGGAACGAAACAACGGAUGAAUUUACGGUAGUAAAAGUUUUAUUAUAUUCGAUUUCGUUCUUCUAUCGGAAAUCUUGAUCUGGCACAUUUUGUUGUAUAGCGUUUGUUCCGAAUGGAAAACUUUUAUCUGGUCGGAUUGGUUUUUGAUUUUCUUCGUAGUUUCAAUAACAGAGAAAACCCCGAAAAAACGGCGCAAAAGUUUACGGGAACAAAGGUUUCAUUAUUUUCAGGCCUGCUAUUUUCACGGAAUACUCAUACCAAUUGUGUUUCCUAAAAGUGAUAAUAUUUUGAAAACACUCUGAUGAUUUUUGAUUUAUAGGUUUUUGAUAAUUUCUAUUUUUUUUUCGCUUCUAUUCGGUCGUACGUGGAUAAAAUUGUUUGAACAUUUAACGCGAGUUUUACACAUACGUUUUAUUUGACGUUUAAAAAAAAAAAAAAAAAAAUAAAGUUAAACGCGAUCCAGUAAUUUUUUUUUAAGCAUUUCAAGCUCGAAUGAAAUGACGGUAUUUAAAAACACGUUUGACCGAACUUCGCUCAGACCGGUAUUCCGUCAGUCAAUGAUUUCUCUGUGUCCGCCACUGCCCACCGCCACACGACAGCGGUGCACUCAUCAGCAGUAUUUAAGUUUUUACUUUCGGUUUCGGUUGUGUGCCCCGAGAUACGCACGGUUUUCGUAGCGCGCGUCGCGGCGUUCAAUCACGGCCUUCGAUCGGGUGUGCGUCACGGCGCGUAAAACACGCGGCGUUUCAAUCGAACCGCCGGGCCGUCCUGUCCGUGAAAACCCGUUUCCCAUUUGAACGGCGAGCGUUAAAGGGCCGCGCGUUCGGCACGCCCGUUGGCGGCGUGUCGCCGGGAGCGAGGCCGCGCCCGAGAAAACCGCGCGUUGCGGCUACGACGUCGUCGGCCGGUCGCGCGGUUACCGUCCCCGGGUGUCCGCGGACAGGCCGCGUUGUCGCGAACCGGCGGCGGACCGCGGUCGUGUCGAACAUGAAUUGCGAAUCGUCCGCGCGGCCGACAACGCGAUCCGGGGAAAUGCGCGCGCGCCGCGGCCGGGGACUUCGCGCGCACGGUCCACAAAUAUGAACGCGGGCCGACGGCGCCGCGUGAUAAGCCGGCGCUCCCCCUCUCGGCGUUCUCGAUACUUAAUUUCACGAUUAUUAUUAUUAUCGGCCGCGGUCACGUGUUGAGCUCUCUCGCGGGACUUGUAAAAUCAAUUGCCGGGCUUCCGGCAGUCGUUCGGUGCUUGCAGUUAUCGGCGCGAGUACGCGCGGCGGGCGGCACGCCGUAACCCCUUGUACACCGGCGUUACGUUCCUCCUCGGCCGCCGCAAACGUUCGAAACGCAAAUAAUCGGUUUUCACCAGCGACAAAACGCCACCUGUCCGUAGCAAUAUUUUCUGUCGCGUACACGAAUACUGUAAAACCCGCAAUCGCCGUUUGAGAAAAUGUCCGUUCGGCACCAUAGCGUCGAAUCUCGGCUCGUUUGAAUACUGUGUAAAUAUCGAAAUGCAACGCGUCUGACGUUGUAAAGUUUAGUUUCCGUACGACGUUGUCGCAGUCGUUUGUUUGUUUUUUCUCGCGUAAAUGACGAUAUUUCACCGCGGCCGCUCUAUAACGUAAAUGAAGAUCGAAUGUAUAUUUGUAUAUUUUUUUUAAUUUCUUUAUUAUGUUAAUAUCAUUCCGAUACGUUUCGGUGUUUUUUAUCGAAUAUACGUUGUAUUGCCAUAUCAUACGUGCAUAUAUUUAUAUGGGAACCCGCUAUGCAUUAUAAAGCUCGAGGAUAAUGUAAAAAGAGACGGUUCGAUUUAAAAAGUAAAAAAAAAAAAAAAAUCGGUUUGAAUAUUGCUUUCAAAUACAUUCGCAAUACGAUUACGUGUACCUAUCGUGCACUUAUACGUAUACUUAUAUUAUACGCAUAUGCUGGGCGUACACUCGGCCGUCGAUUAAAUUAGACGUGUGCUUGUCCGCUUGGAAUUAUAAACUCAGGGUCUGCGCGCGCGAGCGAUUUUUAUCCAUUGAUAUCGCGUAUACCGUUUCGGCAUUGAAUUUUCCGCGGGGCUCGUAUUAAAAAGAAAAAAAAAAAAAUAACAUUAGAACGAAAUAUUGUAACACGAUGGAAUAUUAUUAUUUUACUAAUAUACGUGAACCGAUUUACCGUCUACGCAAUGGCCGAUGCCGUUUUAUUUACAUACGUUUUGUAAACCCGCAAUUGCGUGCCGCCGCUAUAGACGUAACACUACGUGUGCGCGAUCUAAUUAUCGUUAUUAGCGAACGGAUUUGUAUGCACUUAAAAUUCACAAGAGCUUAUGAACGUCGAGAUAUCCCCGAAAAAAAUCGCAUCAAAAAAACGGCAGAGGAGUAUUUGAAGUCCCCCUUCACUAAUGGCUCUGACUUAGUAAAAGUAAUUUUCUAACGCUGCGAAAACGAUCAACACGAGUAAUUAUCAAUUUAAUACGGUUAGCAACGUUAGAGGGGAGAGACUUUUAAGCCCUUCUUCUACCGCUUGUUCUUUUUUUAAAUAAUUGUACGCGAUUAUUUUCAGAACACUUUUGACGAUUUUAAUAGCUUUUUUUUGCGGAUUUUAAAUGCACAUAAGAACCAGUUUCCUGCGGUUAUACGGUCAAAUUUAAUGGCGAGAACGUUGGCUGUGUUUGCACGUUGGUUUUUCUUUCGGUAUUUUAAUCUUCAAGCGAGUUACGGACGCGUGACAUACUAAAAUAUCUAAAAAUCGUUUUGAAAAUUAAAAUCCAACAAAUACCGUCCGCGAUAUCAAAAACAUCGCGUAAUCGGUUAAAGUAUGUGUGUGACGGCAAUACCCUCGGUUUCGCAACGUUAUCAACAGUAACGUAAUAUUAGAAUCUAGAUACGUUUAUCUGAUAACAGAUAUAUUUCGAUCUUUUAUCUCGUCUGCAUAGACAAACGAGAAACGAGUUACCCGCGAUAGAUAAUACCGCCCCCGAAUCGCCUCGAUACGUUUAUUUUCAGUGGUAAUUUAUGUAUUAUUAUUAUUAGAAAUACAGUGGCGUUUUAGGUAAAAAAAAAAAGAAAAAAAAGAAGCGAUUUAUAAUGAUAUACACCACAGCUGUGUCCCGCCCGUGCCAAAAUAAAUAACAGACAAAUUAUCGUUAUAUGCUAUUGCGGCCAUUGCGCCGGACUACCUCGCCGUUUGUUUUUCGUUUCAUUUCGUUCGGUUCGACUAACGAUUCGUCCUACCGAAUAUUAAUAACCCCGUGUCGAUCCCCGUUUCGGCGGGGUACAGUAGGGGAACAGGGGGUGAGUAACCGUCAGUGUUAUUCCCGCGGGUCUAGGACCAUGGGCCUACGAAAAGCUUCGGCUCAAUCCGUACACGCGACAAACGAAGCGGUAACGACACUCGCGUCCGCGGACGAACUUUCGCAUUUAUAAUAUCAGUGUUAUUAUUAUUAUUUAGAGUUGAACGAGUAUCGUUUUUGAAUGUCGAGUCGAGUCGAGUCGAGUUUCCAUUAUUUCGAGUCGAGUCGAGCUCAAAUGUCGAGUACUUGAAAACGUUCGAGUACUAAAAAGAAAGUCGAGUACUCGAUAAUUGCCGAGUCGAGUCGAGUUUCAAUAAUUUCGAGUCGAGUAAAGUUCAAAUAUCUAGUACUAAAAAAAGUCGAGUACUCAAAGACAUAACAUAAUUUGAAAUGGGUCGAAUACUGGGAAUUGCUGAAUUAUUUGUAAUUAUGCUCGUAAAUGAUUUUAAUUUUUUCAAUCUUUCAUAAAAAUCUUGCCCNUGCAAGUAAUUUUUAUACUACCAUAUUAGUUUAUUAUUUAAUAUUUACUAUUUAGUAGGUUAUAGCUAAUAGGUAUAGAAAAAAAAUGCAAUAAUUAUUUAAAUUAAACAAGAAUUGCCUUUAUUUAUUAAUGAAUUAUCUAAUAUCUUUAUCAUCAUAAACUAGUAACUACAAAGUAAAAAAUAUUUAAAAGUUUAAGCAUAGACUACAUUAAAAAUUUUUAACAUUUAUUUUCCAAUAAAAUAGUGAAACGAGUACUCGUUGAAGUCGUCGAGUACUCGUAUGUAUGAGUACAAAAAAAAAUUGUGUUGAGUCGAGUCGAGUACUCGAACUCGACUCGAAAAUAUUUCCAAUUUCGAGUACUCGCCCAACUCUAUUAUUAUUAUUUAAUUAUGUAAUAACCGCACGAUCGUUUUGAUAUUUAGACCACAACCGCGCACACCUUCGUCAUUAAAACUCGUAUACCACCCGCAGUCGCGUGGAUAGAUUAUGAACGAAAUUAUCUUUUUUUUUAUUUUUUUUUUUUCUAUCUAGAUAAAGAGUUUAUGAUUUUUUUCUUUAUCUUUAGCUAGGCAAUUUAAAAUCUACUCGCGUUCGACACCGGCAGUAACGGCGUUUUUUUUUUUUUUUUUUUUUUUUUUUAGGUUUUAUUUUACUGUUAAUAUUCAAAGACGUUGGAAAUAAAACGCGUUACGACACUAUACACUACCUACUAUAUAUACUUGUUGACGCGUAGUCAGGAUUUAAAUGAAAUUAUCGAACGUUGUUUUGUUUUUGUUUUUUUGUAGUUUUUGCGCCUUUAAUUCACUUUUUCAACAUUAACGAAAUUCCACGAGGUUAUUUUAACCGACUGUAAAAAAAUAUAUAUACACAAAUAUACGUAAAUAAACCGAAGCAUUUCGCACCAUUAUCAUAAUGGAAAAUACAAAAAAAAAAUAAAUAUGUUAAUGCACUUUGCUGCCCGGACCACCGAAAUGAAGUGUAAUUAACGCAUCCAGUACUCGAGCAGAGUAUUAUUUAUAAAUGGACUCUUUGAAUUAUUAUUUUUUUUUUCUCAAGAAAAACGACAAGACACCGUUUUUCCUACGCGUCACAAUGAAAAAUGAAAUAAAACGCGCACCGGGGUAAAGUAAAAAUAAUAAUCCUAAAAUAAGCCGUCGUUGUUCGCGCAUUCUUUCCCACUCGAAACGUUUUAAGUUUUUAAUCCCCCGACAAAGAAAAUAUUAUAUAAAUCCGGCGACGUUCCUUAUGAUAUUUUCGUUUAGACGAUUCUAUUGCAGCGUGUGCGAUUUCAAACUCUCUAAAUUAAAAAAAAAAAAAAAAACUAUAGCAAUUAUUGUCAACCCCGUAUCCUUUUUUCUUCUCUCUCGGUUGACGGGCCUUUUCGUUAGAUACAAACGCCGGAAUUCGGCAAAAUCGGCACCUAUACCGACCAAUAACCUAACCAGCGCGAUUUUUCAAUUAAAAACUACGACGAAAACCCGCGAGUAUACAGUCAGACGGGUCAAACUGCCGAUUAACCACGAACAACGACAAACGUCGAACUUCGAAUUAUCGGCGGGUACACAUCGUUUUUCGUCCGGUUUUAAACAUCAUCAACGAGCAGACACGAAUUCGAAACGUUCCCCCGGAGUACCUAACCUAACUUAAAACAUGUAAAGAAUUUCGUUGGUGCCGGGUAUGUAGGCCUUAAAUAAAUGUUGAACGGUCUUCGAUAAAUUUUGGACAAUUGAUAAUCGACACAACGUCCCGUAACUUCUGUUCGGCCGAACCUACACGGCUGUCGUGUAUUAAUGUUACAAAACUUGUGGUUUUUUUUUUUAUUUUUGCUAAAUUAAAGUAAAAGUGAAUUAUGAUGUAUUGGUUUUCAGUACGGCACGUGUUGGAAUAUGGGACCAAAGGUUUAAUAUUGUUAUCCCGUUUUUCUUUUUUCAUGACAUUUGAAGCUUUAACAAAAAAAUAUUAUUAUUGUUUACAUACUUCUAUGUUAUAUAAACGGAAUUUAAAAAAGAACCAAUUACGUGCAAAGUAACGUGGAAUCGUAAACAAAUAAUAUAUUUUUCAUCAGUUAGAAUAUUCGUCAUCGUUUGAUUGUGUCCUUAAUAAAUUGUAUGAAAUAAUAACGACAAAGGAAAAAAACACACGGUGUACGUAUUGCUAUUUUUUUCAUUUCUUAAAAAAUGAAACAACAAUAAUACAAAGGUAUAUUUCACUCAAGUGCCGGUUAUAUUUCGCAUUGCGAAAAACGUAAGUACACUUUAAAAACAUAAUAUUUGUACCAUUGUAGACUGUCUAACGAAAUAAAUUUCAACGGAAGCAGUCUUCGUUAUUACUGCAAUAAUAUACCUACGAGUGCAGGUAUAAUAUUUUUGACGGAACAAAUAAUAAAUAAAUAAGUAGCUUAAAAACACACAAUCAACAAUUUUGUCCUCUUUAGAUACUCGGCGGAGUGAACAAUAAAUUGGCUUUACUGCGACGGGUUUUUUUUUUUUUCUUUUUUGUGUAACUUUCCUAUCAGAAACCUCGAACCAAUCAAAAACUUUAUACGGGAACUUUGUUGUAGAAUUCUCGAUCCAGGCGGCGCGUUGUACGGGCCGUACUUCGUUGAUUUACCGUGCGGUUUUCGUAGCAAACGGAAAACCGGGCGACUGUUUGCGCGGUUCUUAUUCGAUUUCUCGCGUUAUCAACUAUCUGUUGGCGCAAGGGAAGGAAAUCCGACUGAUAAUAUUCCGCUCGGGAUCGUUUUUCGAUCCGGGCGGUUUAUCGCCGGGUACGGACGUAAAUCGAAUCACGCUCUGCGGCGCGGAAUACCGUCCGCCCUGCCCGAUCGCCUCCCGAAACAGCCGGCACAACCGUCCGUACAGUAUGAGACUUUUAUUUAUUUUUGUAUUUUUUUUUUUUUUGAUUUUUUCACCGGACGUAAUAUUCGAUCGUGAUAAAACGUCAUCAAAUAUACCGACGGGACAACAAACAGCCGUUUGGCCGUUGAACAAAACGGUUCGUUCCGUUUGCAUUGCGCGCAGGGCGCAAUGUUGUACCGGGGUGUCCGACGGCGGCCGGUAAACGGCCGACGGACGACAGUGUUGCGCGAACGGACGAGCCGACGGCGGGAAAAAAUUGUAUUAUUGUAAUUAUCGCGGCCGGUCGUCGUCUACGGCGCGCGCGUGCCGGAAAACGGCUCCGGGCGGCGGCCCCGUCGGGCAUUUCGUAAGCGGCCGUCGUCUCGCGCGCGCCAUCCCGAAACGUUCCGCGAACCACCGGCGACCGCGCGAAUACGGACGAGUUAAUUGUGUUAUCGCGCACCGCGUUCCGCGACGGCCGUUAUUUCGUAAACGGAAACGUCCCGUCGGACUCGAACUCGUCGACGCGCGUAACCGAAAACAAAACAACCCGACGGGACGCGGGCGCGAUGAAAAACGCUCCGUUAGCGGCCGCAGAGCUGUGCCGCCAGAGUCGGAUUUCCGCCCGCGCCCGUGUCGUGCAACGAAAACGCCCCGGUCCGGAAAACCGUGUCGUCCGGCCCGGCAGCGGCGCGGACGACACGGUUUUCCGUUUUCCGCGAAAAUUCGACGACGGCAAGUCGCAAAACGCCGCGCGCAAUUCGCUCAGGCGGCAGACGCGCCAGUAAGCCGCCGCUGUACGCUCGCGGUUACCAGUCGCGGCCGGUCGGGGCCGGCGGUAGACGACCCGCGACGCGCUGGGCGUUAUGCAUUUCAACGCGCGUAGAUCGGACCGUUUCAACAGUUUGUCGCCGUGCAAACCGACAAACCGCGCCGGGCCGACGUUACGUACAGGCGCACGGUCGAAUAUUAUCAAUUCAUUAUCACGGUCGUGACGGUCUCCCACGCGUCGCGUCGCGUCACAAUAGUGUUGUUGUAAUAAUAUAACAAAAAGUCUCUCUCCGGUCGUGUCGAACAAUACGAUACGUGUGUACGACGGCGACGAGAAAUCAAUCAGACGUAAUAUUUGUGAAGUGUGCAGUGCACAGCGUAAUGUAUACGGUCUAUGAUGGACGUCGCUGCGGAUAAUGUACUGUAAUAACGAUAAUAUAUAACUACUGGCUGCUGCUGCUGCUGCUGCUGCUGCUACCACACGACCGCUACAUAUCACGGGUGUAAUAAUCGAAAAAUAAUAAUCGGUUCGUUUACGGGUAUCAUUGUUAAAAAAAAAAAAAUACCACAAUAUUUUGGCCGCCGCCGUCCACUUAAUACCGUGACCGCCGACCGGACCAAUUGGCUGCUUGGUGGGUGUUCCGUACGUAACGUGCACGUAAUGCGUUCGUCCGUCGGAAAAUACGAUGUACACGUCUCCCGCGUCCGUACCCGCCUAAACGUACUUACUCUGUCAGAACUUUGAUUCAGCGUCCACCUCCACACACACACACACACACACACACACACGUCUCCCCCCGCCGCCAAUGCGCUCCGUCUACGCGACACACACCGUACGAUGUUAUACACGUACGAAUACACGUAAAUAUUCGCGUCUGUCACGUUUCGCGGGGUAUUUCCCCCGCCCCCUCCCUCUAAAAUACAAUCGUCGGAGACGACGCACGCGCACACGCGCGCUCGUUAAACAGACAACAAUCGUUGUAUGCGACGCGCAAUAUUUUACGCGACGACUGCCCGCCGGAUUCGUCCCGGAUGCCCGCGGAGCGUUAUAUUUGUGCAUUUUUUUCCGCGGUUCCCCGUGUCGUCGGGGAACAAAGCUGCGAAAAAAUCAUCGAGCAAUUUGUGCGAUUCGUAUAUUGAAAUUCAAUUCAAACCACUCUUAUUGUGCCCGUGCAAUUUGAGCUGAUUGUUCGGUCCGAAAGCGAUUCGCCGCAAAAGUAUAGCGGGAAAAAGAAACGGACAUACUUUGCACGAUGGGUGGGCCGCUGUUGUAGGCGAGAAGUCGGGAGGCUGCAGGGUAUCGAACGGAAUUUAACGUAGAUCUGUAGACGACGGUUAAUCUUUGCUAACGGAAAACGAUUCUGAACGCAGUUCGCAUAGACGUAUUUCAAAAGGUCGUAAUAUUUACAAUUUGAAAAUAAUAUAUUUCGUGCGUUUUCCCCGUUCACCAUGAAAACCUCUGGAAAUUUCCAAUAAAUUACCUCGUUUAAGUACCAGUCGGGUGAGAUUUGCUUUCGGAAAAAGUGCUGCACUUGAUAAUCGGAGCGGAACUGCCGGUAAAAAAGUCGUCCGCGGAAAAAUAAAUAAACAUCGUUGUGAAACCUGCCAUACGGACCUCGCUCCGUUCAGAAUCUAAACGAUACGCGCGUACGUGUCAUAACGACGGCGCAUUAAGUCUCUAUACGUUUUCCGGGUGAAUUCGCCGAUAAAAAAAAAAAAAAAAAACCCCCGUUAACAGACGCGCGGUGAUUUUAUGUAAUAUGAUUUUUUUGCCCGUUACAUUAUUGUCGCGUGCGAAAAACACCUGCAUUUCGCGCGAGGGUGGAAAGGAGGGGGGGGCAGGGUAAAUUGAAAGUGUUGCUCGGUGGGUGUACGUCGUACACCGCAUGAUAUAAUAUUAUAAUAAUACGCGUGUACGGCGGCUAGCUUAUUAUAACGUCACACGAUUAGGUUAUCCAUCGUCGUCACGUUUUUUCUAUCGGGGGGUGGGGGUGUGUAAGGGGAGGUUGUUUUUUUCCACGUAAUAUUAAAUCAUGUCGUUUUAAUCAACGGCGGCGGCGCGUAUAUUAAAACGAGAACGGACCUUGUUCGCCUUGUUCGGACGCGCGCACGCGCGCGCAUAGUAAAAAUAAUAUUUCAUACCCCGUAAUACUCGGGGGUCACGUGUAAUUAAAAAAAAAAAAAAAAAAAAAAAAAAAAAUAAUAUCGCCGGCGUACCUUUAUAUUUAUGUGUAUAUACGCGUACGUACACUGUUCGGUCGAACGAUUGCGCGGCAGUUAUAUGGUGCGGCGUAUUUUUCUUUUUUUUUUUCCGUUAACCACCCCGUAUACGCGUGGGUAUACCUAUGUUACGUGCGCGUACGGGGCAGCGCCUGCAAUAUUAUAUUAUAUAAACGACCCGAAAGACCUUUUGCGUCGGCCGUACAUUAUAGGCGGGUUCCGGCCGUACGUACUCGGACUUGGCACGCACGAGUCUCGAACGCGAUGCCGUAUAGAGGCAGGCGUACGUUGACGAUUCGGAAAUUUAAAAAAAAAAAAAACACACAACAACCGACCGUUGCUAUUAAUUAUAGAUAACAUCUGAGCCGCGUGACGCGAUAUCGCGGCGCGGCCAUAAUAAUUGCGGCGCGGCUCAUUGUGUACACUCGGUACAUACGGCUCGGCGUGUACGGUACGGCAACGGCAAUAAUAACAGUGCGCGCGCGUGCAGGUACACGACGCCGGCGACCGCAACGGUUGUUUAUAUUUUAAAGGCACGCGGAUUUUCGUACGCGCAAAAGCCCGACGGGGGUUUACGACGGCCCGCGGCGGAGGAAAACGUUAAAUUUCCGCGGGUCCGAGGCGCGCGCGCUGUGAUCGUGGGCGCUGCGAGCUGUACGCAACGGGCGGAUUCGCGUCUUCGGGACGCCCGUCGUUAUUGUCGGCACCCGGUCGCCGAGGCUUCGCCGGCGCGUCCGCGGCCGCGGAAACCCGAAACGUUAUCGCGGCCGGUCGGCGAAAACCGUUCCGGUGUCAAAGGCGCAGAUGGACCGCGACCGGUCGUGACGGCUCUCGGUCGAAAACGCUGCGUCGUACGCGCCGCGGGCGGGACGCGACGUUCCCCGGUGACGGGCGGCGGGUAAAAAAUAAUUCCCCGUGCGCGGCGACGGAUUCCGCAGCCGCGCGUCCUCCCCGGGGAGGGGGGCGCGCGCACGAAGGACGCGGCGGACGACGGUGUCUAGGGCGCGGAGGACGUUAUAUAUCAUAUCGUUAGACGGGAUAGCGUUUUUUUUUCCCGUCCGACCCGUCCGCUCCCGUUCGCCCGUCGGCACGCACGCGCACAUAAGUCUCGCGGUGGCCGAGAGAACACGCGAAAAUUCUUUGCGCGCGCGAGUAAAAAAAAAAAAAAAAAAAAAAACUGUCGUGUGCCGUUAAUUUAUCAUUCGGUCGCGUUUGGAACGCACGCCACGAAUUCGACCGCCGCCGUCCCGGGGUAUCGCAAAAAUAUCCGCUUGUAUGAAAAAAGAAAAAGAAAAAAAAAAAACAAAAACUCGAGAAAAAAAACUUCGAGAAUUGUAAUAAAGCGCCCGCACGAAACGACGCAGCGGCCGCGGUGUAAUACUGCGCGUGAGGGGAAUGCGAUGACAAUUUUUUAUGUUUUUUUUUAGUUUUCUCUGGAUUUUUAGAUUUACGCGGCGAAAAUGAUUUAACGAGUACCUCUACCUACCUGUUAUUUACGAGCUACGCGCGAAUGGAAUAAAAAAAAAAAAAUAAAUAACCCAAUAGAUGUAUUGAUAAUAAUAAUAAUUUGCCCUCGGAGUCGAGGGGGAAAAAAAAAAAAAAAAAUCGGGUCUUUUCGUCUUAAACGUGUUUUUCACAGUAUCGUAAACGAACGUGUAUUUCCCGAUAUUUUUCGCGAACAUCGUAUUGUUUAACGAACGAACAGAAACCGUAUAAAACGUAUCUCCGGUCUGCCGCGGAACGCCGUGUUUGUCGUUGUAAUUGGAUACCGUCGAACGUUUAAACAACAGUUUUACAAAACGAUACAAUCGGACUCGUCCGAACUAACUGACUAACUAACUAAACUAACUAACUCUCCGAGUCUGAUCAAAAUAAAACUGUAUUGACGCGCCGACUUUAAUAUUUUCUCUCGCCGCCAGAUGCAGUUUCAAUCCGUAGAACGAUUUUCCCGCCGUCUUCCUCCUCCGCGCUAUUCGUCCGCUACAUCCUUUUCAUUUGUACACACGAGUCGCGUCCCCGGGUGCUUUGUUAACCGCCGGACGUGUACGGUACGGCCCCGACCCCUCUACGAUCCGUUCCCUCUUUUCUAUAAUUACUUUUAACGAUCCCGGGUCUCGUCCGUCAAAUUCCGCCUUCAUACUGCAUGUUCGCGCAGUUUAUGAUAUGCACGGCGACGGGCAUUUCCCAUUGACGUCCCGGCUUUAAUCAACGAUAAAUUUUUUAAAUUUUCAACCGAUUUCACCGUCGCGCUCGACCCAGGCAACAGCAUUACCUGUUCCCUCGGGCCUACGACGCAGCGCGCGCAGGGCCACCGGCGCGCUUCUCCGUUCGCUCCCGUAGCUCCCCGUUCCUUGGGCCACGAGUCCGUCCGCCCCCGCCCCCCCCCGCGUCUCUCGCGUCUCCCGUGUAUCCGAGAACUUUCGCACUUCAAGUCCGCGCACACGUAUCCGUUAAAAUAUAUGACCGCGGCCGACGGGCUCGGACGUACACACGUGCAAUACGGACGCGGGUUCGCGUGCACCGCAUUAGGAAAUUAAACGCGGGCGCCAAUAACGACGUGUAGCGUACCGCCGGCCCCCGGCACGCGCGGAGCGAUUGGGCGGUCGGGGGGUCGGUCGUAUCGCGGGUCGUUUAAAAACGUCGACGGAAAGUUUUACGAUGACGGGCCGCACUUAAACCGAUGCGCGCUCGUUUAUUUCCGGCGCGGCGGUGGCGGCGUUACGCGUGAGAAUACGCGCGUCUGAUGCGCCGCGACCCGCCGCGACCUGCGCCCGCCGUCGUCGAGAAAGUCCGUCCCGCGGCGCUUUCCCCGUUUCUCCGGUUUCUCCCCGAGGAAAAGCCGUCGCGGAUAUCCGCGAACACGCGGACGCCGCGCGUGUAGCGCGUAACGUAUAAACGCGGCCGCCGCGCCGUCGUUAACGACCGCCGCCGUCGUCCCCUACACGCGCACACACACGCGCACACUACCCCGAGGUCCUACACGGUUCCUUUGACCGUGUGACCCAAAUGUUCGUCUACGAGAACGCGCGCACACACACACACACACACACACACACGGCGGCCGAGCGUAAUGAAUUUUUAAAUUAUAAACUGAACAAGGUCUUUCGUGUAGAAAAAAAAAAAAAAAUGGAAAUUAUAUACACAGAUGAUAAUUGUGACGGUAUAUCAUACCGGGGGGGGACGGAGAGAUGCACGGAUUGCGGGAGUAGGCUAAAAACUCUUUAAAUAAAAAAAAAAAAAAAAAAAAGACUGACGCAUAGCUCGCACGAUGAAUGGCCCACUGGUGUAUAGGUGAGAAGUUGGAAAGGUAAUUAUAGAGGGCAAAUUUAAUAACGAUUAAUCAUUGCUAACGAAAAGCUAUUCUGAACGCAGUUCGGUUGUACGUGUUUUGAAAGGCCGUAAUAUUUACGAUAGUACAUUUUUAUAAAUGUUCCUGCGUUUUUUUUUCCCAUUUAAUAUGAAAACCACCGGGGAAAUCAAAUAAAUACGACAUCCUUUCGGUGUCACCGCACUCAAAUUUCCUUUUUAGAAAAAGUGCUCCGCGCUUGAAAAUCGGAAACGAAAUUGUUCGAUAGAUUAGUGGUUCAGAGAAAAAAAAAAAAUAAUAAAAAUAUAAACAUGAUUUCAAAACCCAAUACGGUUCUCGCUCCGCGCAGAAUCUAAAACAACACCGCGCAAAUCCGCGCGAAAGGUCGAAAGAAGAUAAGCGUCGGGGUUUUUUUAUUUUUUUUUUUUUUCGUUUCAGUAUAUACACACCUAUGUAAAUUAUUCGGCCGUAAAGGUUGUAUUAUCAUAGGCGUAUUAUAGCGGUGAUAGCGAUGCUGACGGUGCAACGUCGCGGCACUCUCGCGGAUAGUGCGGCCGACGGAGAGAAAACAAAUUUAAAAAUCCCGACGGCAGCGGCGGCGAACCGUUCGGCCGGAUCCGCGCGGGGUUUUUAUUUUUUCUUUUUCUCUCUCGUCCCGACAUAACGGUUUUUACAUUGCACGCCGGCCGGACGAGAACAGUGAUAAAACACGAAUCGGUAGUGUUUACUGCGUAUUUACGUUUUAAAAAAUUUACGGGCGUGCGGUUCGUGUCGAUACCGAACUACACGUGUGCGUACAUACACGUAUAUUAUAUUGUGGGCACUGCGCGCGGUGUUUAUCGCGCACUCGAAUCGGAUUACGACGAGUGGAUUUUACCACGAGCGCGAAAUAAUAAUAAUAAAAAAAAAAUAAUAAUAACAAAAACCCCGCCGCGGAAUCGAACGUAUCGUUUAGUCGCGACGGCGCGCCGCGUUGUAAACCGCGAACAAUUCAUCGGACGUUUACGACUUUUGUACCUACGGGACGUUACGUGACCGCGGCGUGAGACUCGCGGAUCGACAGACGGCAAUAUUACACCGACUCGAAUGAGCCGAUUCGAGAGCUCAAUGAAAUGGCCAAUGCGAAUCCGGGUGCGAGCGCGUUUUUAGAUUCCGAGCUGGCAAUGCGCCGAUUUCUUGAAUAACAAAUCGGAAAAACCGGACACUGCUGUCGAUCCGUCGGGGUUACCCCGGCAACCCGCGCGCGGAUCGCGUUUCCGCUGGUGCGUAGCGGCUCGUCGUUUCCGUGUACGCAUAUCAAUUUGAUUGCUCCGCCAUGCGUUCUCCGCUUUGACCCGCCACUAAAACAGUGGCACGAAAUCGAAUCGGUCAUGUUUGCGCGCGAAUGAAGAAUCGCAUUGGCAAGUUGCGAUAUUUAAAAAAAAUAAAAAAACACCGUGUUGUUACGCGCGGACGCGAACGCGGGGCGGCCGGUGUUUUUUGUGCGGCGGCGCCCCCCCUCCCGGGCGGGCGGUACGCGCGGGGCGGACGACGGUGACGCGCCCGGAUUGCCCCGUCCGAUUGUCCGGGAACCCGAUUUCGAAUUUUUGAUUAAUGAACCGGGGGGCACGCUGAUUGCGUUUUACAAUAUCGUUACGUUGUUGCGACGCACACGACGCCGCGUACGCCGUGUGUGCGCUGUAUAACACGGUUGUCGGUCGGUAUUAUUAUUGUUGUUAUUAUUAUUUUUUUCAUUUUUUUUUUUUUCCGUUCUGGAAAUUUUCGGGUAAAAAGGGUUGUUUUUCGAUGAUUGAGCGGUCGUGCCGGGGGGAGGAGGGGGGGGGGGGGGUGCGACACGAGGAACCGAACGUCACAACAACAACGCGGAACGAUCCCCGCGCGCCGUUACGCACGAGUUUUGACAACAAUGGCCCGCGGAAACGCCGCGGAGAUACGCCGCGCAUGCGUUAAUGAUAACACAUUGUUAUUGUUAUUGGGCGCGCGCGUGUGGUCCCGUCGUCUAGUGUGAUACGCGCGGCGAGUAAAAAACACAAAAAAAAAAAAAGAAAAAGAAAAAACACCGACAAUCUAAACAUUAUUACGUCGACGAACAUCGCGCGUGUUAUUGUCGAGCGGGCGCGCCGGAAUCCGGAAACGUGUACGGCGUUUUGAAAAUGGGAUUUUUCGAAAAACGAAACGAAAACGCCAAAUAUACGGGACGCGCGCCGUUGUCGCAGCAGUACGGUUGCGCGCGUUCGGUUCGCGACACCGUAACGUUUGCGUUUUUGGAAAACGACCGCAUCCCCGAAAGCGCGGCCCCGGUCGCGUGUCCUUUCGGGGGCGCCGAGCGCCGCACGCGGAAACCGGAGCCGGUACGGAAAAACCGUCCAACGGUACCGGACGCAUACGAGGGCGUCGUCGUAAAACCAAACGUGUUUUGUACCGCCGGUCCGCCCGGGAUCCGAGCUGCCGGCGGUGGCGAAAUCGAAAAAUGCCGUUUUUCCCGCGCGAUUUCGGCCGAGAAACGGCAAUCGGGUCCGCGACGGGGUCCGAAACAAAGCCGCGGCGUCGAAAGAUCAAACGUACAAAUACGUAUAUUUUUAUUUAUUUUUUUUUUUUUUUUUCAUUUCAUUUUAAUUUUGGACACGAGUUAUCGCGAGGACGUUUUUUUUUUUUCUCAUCGAUUUUCCUAACAGUUUUGACAAACGAUUUACACCGAUUGCGUAGACGAAUUAAGAAUGACGUCUCGAAAAAUCGAUUAAGUCUCCACGUGUUACGCUCGGACCGUGCGCGAGACUGUUAGAUGUGUACGCGAAGGGCGAUUUUUCUUUUUUUACGUACAUUAGAAACACCCGCACAUUAGUCCGGAAACCGUUCGGAAACUUUUCGAAAUCGGUAACCCGGAGCUCAAAUUUCUGCGUACGAUGUGUACGUGUUCAAUACUCAAACACUUAAACGCUUGAACUCCACCGUCACACGGGUUACCGACGAAACCGACGUUACGUCACGGUUUUUUCGAACCAUUAGCGGGCGUUUUUUCCGCGGCUUUUUUCCCCUGCUCGUUCGAAACCCGCCACCGAAAUGUAAUGACGGCCGUAAUCCGAAAUUGCACGUGCGUUUGUUCGAGUUCGGACCGUUCGCCGAUUUCGACACCGAGGUGCGGGGGGGGGGGGUUUCAGUAGCAGUCGAAAAUACGCGGUUCGCGCGUUUCCAUAGCGCAGACAUAGUGCGAUUCUCGACACGGGUUGUAGGCAGCACGCGAAACACACACGACCCGGCGGCACUGGCAACGGUUUCCGCGAAAAACCGCAAUCAGUCGGGUAAAAUUUAUACCGAUUUUCGGGCGUUUCGAAGCGAACCGUUUACGGGGGGACGGGUGGGGGGGAGAGAGGGAUUCGCUUUGAGAGGAAAAAUCCAGCGAAACGUCGUUAUCACUCGUGUCCACCACCACCACACCACCCCCCCGGGAACGCGGGCGUUUCGAUUUCGGCCUACUCGCAGCGUGCGUUAUUACUGCACGCCGCGCAGGUAUAUGGGCGAAAAUUCGAUUAAAAAAAAAAAAAAUAAAAUAAAUAAAUAAAUGUAAUAAUCGAUACCGAAGGCCGGCCCGCGCGCUAUCACGCUUCACUCAACUCGGCGCCGAACGCGUAUUAUAUCGUAUAAUUUUGUAAAAGUAUAAAUUAUGUAUGGAUCAUAUAGCUGGCGUGGGUAGAAAAAAUGAAAAAGAAAAAAAUAUAAGAAAAAAAGACGAUAAAAAACGAUUUCGGCAGCCGAUAUCGCGCGGAAUUGCAAUUUAGUCGCACGUAUGCGGGGUUACUCUGUAACACGGCCGUGUUUGCAAUAUUUUCUUUGCGGAUUUUUUUUUUUUUUUUUUCGUUUUCCGACGAAAGUUCACGCGCACACGCAUUCGCAGCAUUUUACCUACCGCGUACGUUUUAAAUUACUUACGUGUCUAUAAAGUCGCGGCGAGCGAAUAAAACUUUUUUUUUUUUCCCGGACCGUUUUUUACAAUCGUAAAAAGUGGCGUCCACUUACACUAAAACGAAAACCACGACGCGUUGUAAAACCGAAUUUCUCCCGCGCAACACACUAAUCUAAAUCUAUGUGGAAAAAAAAAAAAAAAAAAACUCUGCAAAAUAAAUAGGUACGCAACACGUUAUUGGCAAUAAAUGUUCAUCGAUUGUAUCGAUGCGCGUUUGUAAACGUCGAUUGCGCAGUAAUGAUUUUAUCAAAAACGCGAAAACGAACGGUAACGAUGUUUACCGUGCUCGUGUCCCGUCGACAACACCCGAAAACCGUUUGACAAAACAACCCGGGCGUACCGCCGUCGCGAGGCGGACAACGGUUUUGAACGUGUACGGGCGAUUCAGCGUACGCGUCACGCGCCGGCAGAAACGAUAGGGAUGUAAAAAAACAAAAAAAAAAAACACCGAGACCCGGAGAUUAUACGCGUACGUACGCGGUUUUUUUUUUGGAUUUGUCUCUCGCAUAACGGUACUGGCCGCCGCGAUGGCUACGGGACCGGGCGUUAUAGACGUCCGUUUGCCGGCGGCGAACCGGCGGCAAUUAUUUUCCCGUUGUCAUUAUUAUCGUUUUCGUAUUCCGCCCGCGGGAUAGAAAACGUAAACGACACGCGAGUGAUGAUAUUUAUCGGGAAUCGGCCCCGGCGUCGGCCGUACCGCUCGGCCCGCGAAAUCGCUACUGUCGCCGCCGGGCACUGUCGUCGUACGAUUCGGACCGUAUGCGGAUUCCCCGCACACCGCGGGUACGCGAGCGACGAGCCGCCGACACACGGCCGACCCGUCGUCGGGAAUCCCGUUCGGUCAUCCCCCGAAAAGCGUCGCCUUCCGCUCGCGCGGUCCGAUCGCUCGCCGACGGCCCGCCGCCGACAACGACCCCGGCGAGGUUUCGCGCCUCCCGCGCCCGGCCGCGCGUCCGCCGUAACGGCGUACGUGCGGCGCGCGACGGGAAUACCCGGUUAGGUUGUCGCUACCCCCCCCGGGGCUCAAGCUCCCGCGGCUCCGCGCGGUGUUGCACGGUGUCGCGCGUGGGAACCGGGAAGAAUAAAACAAAACCGGAAACGCCGGGCGCGGGCGUUGCGCUUUAUCGCCGCCGUCGCGGGUGAAAAAUGUUCGGCGCGCGGAAAGACGAGAGAGAUAAAAUAAAAUAAAAAAAAAAAACGAACUUCCGUAAAUCGCAUACGUGAAAAUCCGGCUCCCGUCCGCCGCGCACGAGAAUCCCGUCCGGGAUUUUUUCUUUCCUGAAAGAACGCCGCGGCGAACAAAGGGAAACCCGAAAGUUUUUCGAAUGAUUUUCGCUGCGACGUUCGAAAGCGUAUUCACGGGGGGGGGGGGGACGGAGGGGACCGGGGAGAUGUGUCUCGCCCAGGACAGUUCGUGCGGCCGUUAUUUACACGUUAUUUUUUUGAAAAUUCGAAUUUCUUUGCCGCCGGAAAAAAUCAAAAAAAAAAAACCAUCGUAUGUCCGACGAUUCGACACGUACCGCGGUCCCCGUUGGCGGGUCCCCGUUUCACCGGGCCUAUGCUUCGCCAACACUCGUCGGCCGACGUUUUCCGGGUCUUCCGCGACUGCGUCCGGCCGUCGCGCCCGUCCGUUUUUUAUAUCGCCGUGAUUUCGUGCGGUUUUUUUUUUUUAACGGAAUACACCCGCUUUUAACGUCUUUCCCCCGGGGUACGCGGUACGUUCGCGCACGGGGACGCGAUGUUUUCGAUUUUCCUCGGGCGCACCGGUUACGGCGCCGGAUUACGCGGUGCGCCCGCGUCGCGCGCGCGUGCAGUGCGAACGUUAUUUUCUCGACGGGGUCCCGUGCCCCCAUCCCGCGGUUUCCGCCGCCGGAAACACUAACGCGCGCGGAAUAUUUCCCGACCGCGCGGCGCGUCGCAGCUUCCGGCAGACGGGUCGGCGUUCGAAGGGCACCGUCGGUCUUUCCGUCCGUUCCGUUCGCGCUGCGCUCGCGCCGACGACAGCCCGCGCUGACGGCACGGAACACGGACGCGGCGCGCCGUCCGAGCCGUCGCCCGCCGCGGGGUUUUCCGCACGUCCCGGCAACCGUUCCGCGGGCAGGAGGAGGAAGGGGUGGGGGGCCCUUUUCGGUACCUCGCGGCUUUUGAAAAACGGCGGAUUUUUAUUGUUUUAUUGUUUUUUUUUUUUGCUAUUUUCAUUUCUGAACCGUAUCGCUAUUAUCGUUGUUGUUGUCUUAUUGUUUUUUUUUUUUAUUCCGCACCGAGCGACGAGCGAUAUGCGCGACGCGACGGUUCCGCCGUGCCCCCCCCCCCCNCCCCCCCCCUAUCUCCGCCCGCCCCCCGAACGCCGUUGUCGUUGUUAUCGUCGUCGCCGUUGCGCUUGUGAUAUCGCCGUUAUUUCGUCCGCAAACGACUUUUCCGUGUUCGCGUACACCCUCGGAAAUCUCGUCCUAUCGUAGGCCCCCGGAACAGAAACUGUCCGGUGUAGCGGUUUUUAUCCAAUUGUUUUUUCACUAUAUUUUUCGGAGUAACCCUUCGUUCUUAAUACACGUGUGCAGUUUACGCGCGACGACGCGGAAAGACCGGCAAUUUUUCGCGUGCGUUUUGUCGUUUCGUGCCGCGGGGUUGUUUUUGACAACGAAGCGAACAAUACUCGACCAAAAAAAAAAAACACUCCGCUCAGAAUAGUUUUCCGUCAGCGCCUGUCGCGUACAAAUCGCGUUACUAUAAUCUGUACAAAUUCGGGUUCCCGUAACGUAUUUUGACGUAUGCCGAACACUCGAAUUUAGUUUUCUAUUUAGACGUUAAUUUAAGGAAGUUGUUUCUCCAAGAGUUUUCCCAAUAAGCGAGAAACACCGGGAAAAAAGGUACAAUUUUAAACAAAAAAUAUUUUUAAAAAAAAAAAAAAAAAAACGUUCAAUGCAUAUACAAUUAUUUUACCGUAAUAUGACGUAUACGUAUUUUUCGCCGGCGGUGUAGGUGGGGCGUUUUUUCAACGUCGUUCGCCCCCCGCAGAUCGGUGAAACGGAACCGGGGUGAGGGGGAGGUGAAAUUUUGUGCGCGCACGGCAUUGCGGUUACCGAGGCCGCGCGUUUCAGCGGUUUAAACUUUCGGCCCGAACUUUUCACCGUUCUCUUAUAUGUGCCCGGAUCGUGUCGCGGUUUCGCCGGAAAUCGCGACUUUUGAAUACCUGUCUUUGUGCGCGAACGUAGGUUACUCUCGGUUAAAAUAUUUAAACAGAACUAUAUCGUCGAGCACGUGGCUUGCGAGGGUCCCGACUCCCGAACCUCUUCCCCCCCCCCCGAAACACCGCCGUCUGCUCGCAUGCACGCCGGCGAGAGCUACGACGCGCGUACUUUGUACGCCCGUUCGGAUGAAAAUGCGUUUGUUCAACAUCCCCGAUCGCCGUUUACGCGAACGGCAUAUUGAAGUAUCGUAACGGCGACAAGUCACCGCGGAGUAAAAACAUUCGACUCUCGAGUUUUGUCCCUCUCGCGGAGGUUUUUUUUUUACCCCCUCCCCCCGUACGAAUUUCCGAGUGGCUACAUUUUUCGAAACGGUUUCCGGAACCUUAACCGCCCGCCGGUCGUAGUUAAUACGCGCCGUACAAUUAUUUCCGUUCGGUUCUCGGGGUUUGUAAUAACUACACGGUUUUUUUUUUUUUUUCGUAAGUAAAUAUUACGAAAGGAGAAAAAAAAAAGGAGGAAAGCAUAAAUAAAUUGUAAUACCCGGGGUAUUUUAUGCGCGCCGAUACAGGCGGCGGCGCGGUAUAAUUUUCUCGAACCCGACCUAAUGCCCGCGCGGCCGUUGUGUUUUCCGUCGUAAUUAUCCAUUCGUCCGACUCGAGUUAAGUAUACGGGAAUAAUUAUACUAUAAUAAUACACUCCGCGCGUUGUAAAAUACCCAACAGUCCCGUACAAAUAAUCGUUAGCUUUGCAUAAAAAAAAGAAAAAGAAGAAAAAAAAGAAAAAAACCCGCGUACCUAUGCGUAAUCGUAUUUAAAUUCUGUUUCGAUUCGAGUAUCUAAUUAUUCGCCGUUCCGGAGAUCUCGAGGACUUCAACGCGCGACUGUGUACUACUCGUUUGGCGCAUACAGAGCGGUCGACCUAUCGUGAGACGUUCGUUACACCGGGAAGUGUCCACGCUAUCGCGGAAUCCGUUCGACGGACCGCCCCCCCCCCCAAACCCCGAGAAACGCUCGCCGUUCCGCGAUUUCACACGCGGGCUGUUCGUUUGUCGCCCCCAUAUUUUCGACGGUAAAAACGACAGGCCUGCUUUUCCGGACGGGCAAUCGAUACGUUUGGACGUUCCGUAAACGGACGCAGUUCAGAACAACGAACGUCGCGGCGUUGAAACGUUUACUGGUUUCCGUCAAUCCGUCGGCGGGACGUUCCGCGUUCGGGUGGAGCGUCCGGGUAGCGGCGCGUCAUUGAUUUCAACACCGAAAUCCGUUUCGGCCGACGUUCCCGUGUACUGACCGAACGUCCGUGACGGGCCGCCGUUCGAGAACGUUCCGUAACACGCGGAAAUAAUGGCGACGCGGAGCUGCCGUAUUGUUUUCUUAAACGUUCGACGAAACGGAUCCCGAAAACGGUCGACGCUCGCCGAGACGGCGAGUGUCUUGCGACCGACUGAUCGAUCACCCUGUAUAUAUAUAUAUGUAUAUACGUGUAUACGGAUAUAUUUCCCCCCCCCCCGAUACGUUACGCGAACCCUGCGAGCGGAAAGGAAAAAAAUAAACGCAUUUCAAAUAGCUACCGAACGCGAAUAAUAUUCCGGAUCAUACGCGCGCCGCGCAGUUAAUUAUUAACGGUACCGUUCGCCGGGCCGUUAGUUUUGCACCCCUCCACCGCCGUCCGCGCGUAUGGUGAAAAAAAAAACGAGGCUUUUAAAAAAAAAAAAAAAAAAAAAAAAUCAAAAUUAUUACCGUGUACAGUCCCCGCAGACCCGCAGUGGCGUAUGCACAGGCCGCGUAUCGUUAUAACGCGCGCGAUAAUUGAAUUUAAAUAUCGUUUUUUUUUUUUUUCUCGCGCGCGCCGGAGUUAACAUUAACAAUUAGCGAAUCCUCGCGGGGAGCGCGGGAGGGCACGCGCGCCGCCGCCGGUGUUCGUUCGUUAACCGUACGGACGCGAUGCGUUUUCGAUACGACGCGAAUAAUGAAAUGAAAAAAAAAAAAAAAAAAAAAAAACCCCGAUUCGCGCGUUACGUUUUUCGCCAUUAAAACCGUGUUAAUAAACAACGCUGAAAAAAAAAAAAAAUAAAGAGCGUAAUACUAGACGAACGGAAUGAUGUCGGAACGCGCGCAAUAAACACAAGCCGUUUGUAAUGUAAUAUUAAUUAAAAAAAAAAAAAAAACAAACCGAAACGCGCGGAAAAAAAACCUAAACGCUAAUACGGUCGGUCCGGCGACGGCUGGUAGCUCUGUGACAAUAACAAUUUCGACGCGUUUGGAAUAAAAGAAAAAAAAAAAAACAAAAAACAAACAAAAACCCGUAUAUUCGACCGGACGGACGAUCGGCCGAGAAGCCGCGGGGACGGAGGAUUUAUAGAGAGCGGAAUUGUCGAGAAAACGUGUCCCGCGGGAACAGCGCGCGCCGCGAGAUUUGCCGUUUCUUGCGGGCGGACGGUCCCCGAUUCCGUUAUUCGCGCGUACCGCACCUAACCGCCCAGAACCUAACUGGUAUGUUAGGUUAGGUUACUACAGUAUCAAAAAGAAUCGAUCGAAAUUUCCACUGACGAGAUGUUAAGAACGAGUUUUAAGAAUGGCGAGAAAACCUCACGGAAUUUCGGCUCCAGUCUACUGUCGGUCGGAUUCGUCCCGGGCUGUCGUGGACUGUCGUACAAAAUUUAUUAAUCGCCUUCCCUUCCUCUCACGUCGUUGCGCGAGGAUUUAGCGCGGUAACGAAUCUAAUAACCGAAAAAAAGAAAUCGACUCGACGCCGUCAAAAGAGGAGACUUACGGGGAGCGGGGGGGGGAGCCCGCCCGAGACGUUCCGCGGAAACGGUGGGGGAUACGUCCCGGGCGGGCACUACCCGUUCGAACCCGUUUAAAAAACCGACGACCCACGGCUAUUGGCGAUUGGGUCGGCGGGGCGACGACAUUUCGGUAUCGACCGUGACGGCGGAACUCGAUAAGGCCGCGGAGCACGGCCAGCGUUCCCGCCGAAAACCGCGGCGACCGAGCGCUGUGCCGUCGUUCAACCCGCGACCCGCGCGCGCGUAUUUCGCGGAUUUUCAAAAAAUUUUCGAAAAAUCGCAACGGUCUCGCGAGCGAAAUAAACCCGCCGAACACUGUAAGCGCUCUGAACACUACGAAUGUCUUCCGUGAUCGAUAACCGUCGGAAACGCAGUGGGAUAUUUUCAGGGUUCAAGCCGAUUCGCCCGCCCGCGGGGCGCACGUCGGGUUGUUCCGGGACGCAUUCCGGGCCACGCCGGAAAAAAAUUACCAUUUUUUCUCUCUUUUUUUUUUUUUUUUCCUAUUGAGACGCGCACGGGACGUUGAGAAACGAUCUCGUUUUGGGGACGCACUCGGGGCGGAAGGGGCGGGGGGGGAGGGGGAACGGAGGGCGGCCGAGACGACCCCCGGGUAAUAAUCCCGUGCCGAAACGGGAGCGCGCCGGGACGCGAGGAUACCGCGGGAGCGCCCGGAAAUAUUAUUACCAUCGUUUUGUUAUUGUGAACGCGUCCGAUAUGGGAAACGACACCGCCGCGCCGACCGACACUUUAACCGCGGUAAUUGUCUCUAAUCUUUUUCUCAUUAGUACCGGAUUUCAGCCGUCGCGGGGCCCCGCGUCACAUUAUUUUACGCGUCUGUGCGCGCGGAGAGAAACACGCGGCGGCGGCGGCGGCCGGAUUGCGUAUCGCCGGCAGAGCGCAUAAUAUUAUCGCCCUAAUCCUACGGAACCCGCGCGGCGGCGGCGCGCCGGUCAUCAAUCAGCCCCGACUGACAAUCGCGGUGCGACCGCUACGGCGGCGGUGUACAUUACACGUCGCAUCAAUUGCGCCGGCCUCGUCUUUUGUGGUCGCGGGGUCGGGCCGUAAUGUCUGCGGGUUACGUUCGAGUCGUUACGGGGCGCGCGUGUGCGUUACCUGUACACCCGCGGCCGCGCAUUCCCCGAGAAAACCGAAAACAAAUAGACCGGCGACGACGGACGUACGGCUAAUGAAAUCUCGGCGGAGGCGGCGGCGGCGGCGGCGGCCUAUUACGCGCGGCGUUCCUCGCCGAAAAUCCGUUCCCGAAUUACCGCCGCACACACGGGGCGACGGUUUUCGGUUUUCGCUUUCGUUUCCCCGUCCCCGCCCGUCCUCCACGGAGUGUCCACCACCAGACUUCGGCGGCCCCGAAUUUUUAAAUUUUUCGAAAAAUACGAUAAAACGUUUACAUUCCGAGUGGACCGUAGAACGGCGUCGGUUUCUACAAAUACGCGGUUUAUUUUUAUCCGUUUUUAAUUUUAAAUUUUUUUUUUUUUUUUUUUGCAAACACUCUCUCUGCCUUUCAACGCAUUUUUCCGACGUUUUAAGGGGGUUUUUUUUUUUUUUUCGUGCGAAUAUUAACCGCAACAAGUCCCGAGCCCUGAUCGUAAGUAAAACAAAAAAAAAAAAAUCACGGGAAAACGCAGACGGUCCGCGAUCUAAUCGAACGUACUCCGAGUCGUGUCGCGAACGCAACGGCGCAACGGGGGGUCCAGGUAACGGCGCCCGCGCCAGUAAAUCAUGCGUCGGUACGGUCCGGGAUAAAAGGUCGGCGUAUAAAUUUCCCCGGGUCGCGCGGUUCGGGUCGGAGAUUUUAUUAUUAUUACCGUUGCGAUGCACAAUAUUAUGAUGUGAACGUCGCGAACGCUCCCCGGCGGCACCGUAUUAAACGCGAGACCGUACGGAUAACGCGCGUAACGACGUCAGCGCGGCGCGCGGCGCAGCGGUCCGGUAAACGGCCGUUCGCGUUUUACGCCGAGAGUGCGUUUAUACACCGGCACCGAUACCGGCCGAUCCGGGGGGGAUUAUUCGAGGGGCGGCGGCGGCGGACGAGGAGCGGUCAUUCGGGACGCGUCCGGAACGUCUCGGGCGCCGUUCGCAGAGACGUCCCCGUCCCGUUCGGAAAUAUUAUCCGCUUGGCCGACGGCCGCGUUCUGUUCGUCGGCCAUAACGUUUCUCACGGGCGAUGGGUUAGGUUUGGUACCGCGGUACCGCCCGUUAGGUCCGCGGCCGCCGCCGACGCGUUUUUCGGGCCGCGGCGAAACGCUCGGAUUGUUUCUCCCGCGCGUUUUUUUAUUAAAUGAAUACAUUUUUAUGUUGGAUGACAUACUGAUAUCAGUAAUAUCAGAACACACGCAAAGAUUAAAUUUUAAAACUCGUAAUCGUUUAUCGUGGGCAAAGACUAAUCGUCUGGCACACGGUACGCGUUCAGUUCCCCGGUGUGCCCCGUCUUCCCGUCUGCCCGCCCACAACAGUGGCCUCGCCCGUCGUGCGAUGUGUGUCGGUGUUUUUGAAAUCACGGUUUCCCCUUUCUAUCCAACGCCGGCCGCGUGUUUUUUCAACAAUCGAUACGGCCCCGCGGUAGACGAAUCGAUGCGGACGAAACCAACGGCGGCCAUAACGGGAUAUCGAAUUACGGAAUUACGCUGGUUACGAACAAUAGGAAAAUGAACGGCCUCAAAUACCUACUCGCGUUUACUACCGGUUUUCGAAUAGCGAACCGUGUAAAACAAAACGCCCUAUUAAACGCGUUUCGGCGUUGAAAUUUCCGAUUGCAGUCGACCCGUCGAUUUGUGCGCUACGCCCCCGCCCGAUAACGAUUUCGAGGGGGCGGGGAGAAGAGGGGGGGCAGAGAGUUUACGGGGAGUCUUGGAAUAGUAAAAAGACCGUAGAUCACGGCCUUUUUACGACCCUAUAUUAGCCUACGGCCGUAAUAAAAAAAAAAACCGAGCCACCCGGGGGACGAACGUUUACGACGCCCGAAAUCCCACUUCGGCCACCGCGGAUAAUAGGACAACGCGUUGAAAAAGAAUCGUCCCGCGGCGCCGCGCUCGAUUUACCCGGUCCGGCGGUCGGCGUAACGGCCGGUCUCCGGGUGUCGGCGCGCGCGAACGUCGCGGCGCAGUCGAAACCGUUUUCCCGUGACAUUGCGCGCGAACGCGCCGGCCGCGGGGGUCGACGGCGAUUACCGGCGCGCGUACAUAAAUACUACGGGCGGCGCGCGCGGAAGGGGCGGCGGAGUGGGGGGGUGGGGCAGUGGUAGUGGCGGUGGUGGUUUGGGCCGCGGUCGUCCGGUGUCGCGUAACGUUCAGAGUACCCGCUAACAAGGCGCGCGAGAGCCGGAUAGUAAUAGAAAAAAAAAAAAAACGAUAAAAAAAUCAACGGGGGGNNNNNNNNNNNNNNNNNNNNNNNNNNNNNNNNNNNNNNNNNNNNNNNNNNNNNNNNNNNNNNNNNNNNNNNNNNNNNNNNNNNNNNNNNNNNNNNNNNNNNNNNNNNNNNNNNNNNNNNNNNNNNNNNNNNNNNNNNNNGGGGGGGGGGGGGGGGAGCGGCGGCGUGCUCGGCUGCGGCGCAUUUAGGCGUACGUACGGACGGACGAGCGACGCGUUCGAACCGGACGUGUGUGUGUGUGUGUGUGUGUGUGUAUGACGACGUGUAGGGUUUGUGGUUUUUUUUUGCAAUUUUUUUUCUGUUGACGUUUUCGCGCGGAAAUAACAAUUAAACGGCGGCGGCGCGCGGAAACGGAAAGCGAACGGCAAAAAAAAAAUUGCGUAGCCAUAUGCCGAUCGCGUAGCUGCGAUUCCCAUGCGCGUAUCUCGUUAAUCUAAUAUGCGGUAAUACUACGCGGGUAAAACGAUAAAAAAAAAAAAAAUAAUAAUAAUAAUAAUAAUAAAAACGGUUUUACACGCGCACAUAUUAUACGACGGAUAUCGCUAUAGGUAGCGCGCGCACGCAUAAUAUAGUAAACGACCUCUCGCGCGUGUUGACGCGUAAACACGCCCGACCGUUUAUACGUGUGCGCGGGGGAAAAAAAAAAAAACCGGAAAAAUAUCGUAAUAAUAAAAAUCUAAAAUAUGUAUGGAAAAAAUGAAAGAAAAAAAAACAAGUAGUUUCGGAUUUCGCGCGUUCCGUUUAAAAACGCCCCACUCUCGUUGUUUACCAAGUGGUCACAAUAUCAAUAAACGUUACGAUACGCGAUGUCGACGUACAAUCCGUCAAUCGGGGUUCGAAACGAUAUGAAAAAAAAAAAAAAAAAACAAAUAAAAUAACAGUCGCCAGUGACAAUUUCGUUUUCGGUAUUUCGAUCUUCUCUGACCUAAAGACCAGCCAUUAUCUCGAUUAUUAACGAGAAUCAGGAAGAAAAAAAAACAGCCCCUUUAAAAUGCCGCCCGGAGAACAUCCGAUUUCGGAAAAACGUGCCGUGCUUGAUAAUCGGAGCACGCUCACCGGUGGAAAAAGUGAUCGCGUUGGAAAAAAAAAAAUACAAAAAAAAAAACAAACAAUCGUCGCGACAACCAGAACGGUCCGAGCCCCGCUCGGCGUCCAAAAUAUACGGAUUACGUAUGACGCGUUUGCGUCGUCGGGUCACUCGGUAUGGGACACUCGCUCGGGGACUGAACUUGUUGCGGCGGCGUAGUUCUGCGCACGAGCGGACCGGGUCUCUCGCACGGGACGCGAAAGGAGAGUGGGGAAUUUCCCGGACGGGUUCCCCGUGUCCGAACAGUCGCCGUCCGUCGGACGCCCGGUGCGAGAUACGAUUUCGCGUGCCCCGCCGACGGGGAAAUAUUAUUGUUGCGUGCCCCGCCGGAGGGGAAAACCCGCGAGUCGGAGGGGAGGGGGAGGGGGGGGGGNNNNNNNNNNNNNNNNNNNNNNNNNNNNNNNNNNNNNNNNNNNNNNNNNNNNNNNNNNNNNNNNNNNNNNNNNNNNNNNNNNNNNNNNNNNNNNNNNNNNNNNNNNNNNNNNGGGGGGGGGGGGGGGGGGGGGGGGGGGGUGAUGUCGCGGCGGUCCGUCCGGAGCCUUUUAUGAACGGGCGUGAAACGCGAAAGUCAUACGAUUGGAAAUUAGACGGCCGGCGUUCCCGGGGUCGGGAAAGCGGGAUACGCAAAAGCCGUUCGGUUUGUACGGUUCGUAAGCGACGGUUCGCACAGUGGCCAACGGAAAACGGCUGCGAGCGGAGCUCGGUCGAUGAUAUUGUUCGUCCGACAAAGCGCGUUUUCACGCGGACAAAGUUCGGAAAAAAAAUAUAACAUUCAAAGAGUAUUAAAACACUUGAAUAACAAAAAAAAAAUUAAUAAAAACCAUCGGCAACGACAAUCUUAUUUUCAAUCCAUCAAUGUUGAGAAUAUCAUCGAACGUUCCAGGCAGGGCCGAAAAGGUCUCCCCUACCGCCGUGAUUCGAUCGGGGCGAGAUUUCCGGGAGGAAAAUCGUUUACAGGCAGAAAAUAAAAUACAAAAAUAAAAAACACACGUCGUAGUAAAACCAAAAUAGAUCUCUCGCUUCACUCAGAAUCCGCCGUGUCCGUCUGCACAGGGAUCGUACGGCAAUAGUUUCGGUCGACAAGGCGCGCCGUCGAUAAUUGAAAAAAAAAAAAUAAUAAUAAUAAUGAAAAAAAUCCGCAAUAUUUUUACGCCGCUCCGCGACUUUUCUCGAUUUUCUCUAACCGUGUCUCCGCAAUCGUUUUCAAAGCGAACGCGAGUUCCGGCGGAAUUCGAUUUCGCGGGUUGCUGCUUUUUUUAUUUUUUUUUCCCGUUCCUUUUUCCCAACCAACGGGUCUGUCUUGCGCGGUUCGUUCGAGUCCGGCGUUAUUCGCCGCGCUGUCGCAGUGCCGGUUUACCGCGACGGUUCUCCCGGGUCAGCGGUUUUUACGGUACGGCGCGAUUGACGGCGAUCGACACCGACCGCGCGCACCGGGCAACGCGAAACGGAUUUGUCGGCCGUAACGGCACCCGGAAAUUCGCGGCGCCCCCCGGACAUUUUCCACAUUCCGCCCGUUCCGUUCCACCGUGUUUCGCAUCGGAAUAUGGCUAAUUUUUUUUUUUUGUUCAUCACGCACUCGGCGGGCUCUCGUUGUUUCCCCCUGAAGGUAUAUAACGAUCAAACGACGCGUAAUGCCUUUUUAAGCGCCGCACCCUGUAUACUGUAUAACCCGCAGACCGUUCGUGUAGGCGUUCUGUGUUUACGUUUCUUCGAGCGUUUCCUAAACGCUAAAUUCUAUUAUCGUUGUUACUAUCAUUGUUAUCAUUAUUAUUAUGAUACGUGUACAGCCCGCUGUAUCCGACUGAUCAGAACGUUUGCGUAACUUGCAGGUGGGUAUUAUUGUGUUGUUAUUGUACGCGCGGCGUUAGAUUAAUAGACGCGUUCUCCCGAGGAUAUUAUUUCCUUAAACGGGUCUACGCUGCAACCAGCCACGAACCGUACCGAUCGAGUUUCAAUAGAACGUUACUUUACAUUACUCGGGUCUAAUAGGCCCGGCGACGGAUUCGGGAGGAGAAUAGAGGCGUUUGCCACUACGAACCCUCUCUCCACUUCGUGUACGUUGUACACUAAUUGGUGUGGUAUACGCGCUUUUGUUCUUCCUGUUCUCCGGCUUUUAUAGGCCGUUCAAGUCCAAAACCGGCACACGCACGGCCUCCCCCGGCCCUGUCUCUCGGUUAUUUGCAAUUUCUCCCUCGGGUUAUCCCGCUUUGGUCCGUCCGUCCAGUUUUUCCGCGACCCCACCCGCGGUCUCUUAACUUCGCCCCGAAAUCGUCGUUCCGCACCCGCCACCGGGUCUAGCUGCGGCCGUUGUAAUAUUCGCGGUGUUUCGGCGCAUUGUUUCGGGUACGACUGCAGUAGCACAAACGAGAAUAAUUUAUAAAUAAAAAAACGCGUUUCCCUCGCGUACAGCAUCAGUGCGGUAAGGAUUUUUUUGAGCCGUAUAACAGCGUCGUCCGCCCGCGCACCGGGACUCAUCGACAUUCAAACCGUACAUGCAUUACCGAGAUGUGUGCGCCAUUGUCUCGUCAUUGUCGGGAGUAACGUUCGGGCGCAAUAAUUGCCGGACUUUCAACACGUCUGCACGUGUGUGACGGCGCCGGACGGACGGGCCGAAACGAAUAAUUCCUCCGUCGCGGAGGUAAAAAAAAAAAAAAAGCCCUCUGCAAAAAAACAUUUACCGCGGCGUCGUAAAUUCCGUUAUUUUCAAACGCGCUCGCGGCGUAUUAUUUUCAGCUUUUCGAAAGUUUUCUAUUGUGUGCGGAAAAUAAAAUAUAAGUACGCGAGCUCGCGCCGGCACCGUUGCAAUGGUCGAUUCGGCGAUAAAACGUUUAUACGCACGUACACACGUACGCAUAUAAAUAUACGCAUAAACACUUUUUAAUGCACGCCAGACGGACGCGAAUGCGGCGCGUGUUAUUCGCGAAAUUCGAACCGUUAAAAACGAAAUUCGCCUCGCGAUAUUUAACGGCUCCGUGCUAUCCUCGCGUCGUUAAAACACCGUCAGUCGUCGUCUGGCGCACGAUUCGGCCGGAGCGAUUGUCGUCCGUUGUUUUACCGCCGAACGCGAGUAACGACAACCGCGCGACCGGGAAAACGAACGCGGUUUUCCGGGCGAAAAGUCCCGUCGUUUUCCCCGCCGGGAAUCUCGCUCGGAAUUUCAAAAGAAACACGCCCGCCCGCCGCGCCGUGGCACCGUUGCGCGCGGAAAGUCGGAAAGGCGUAAAUGCGUACACAAAGGAUACGGCACAGAGCGGUUAGGCAGGCGGACGGACCGAAAGGCAACGCGACACGAACCGCACGUGCGCAUAGCAAUUACAAACCGGCUCCGAGGAAAAUUCGGCGUACGAAAAAACAGUAGCGUCGUAAACGGCGUUAACCGCGUGUUUACCAACCCCCCCCCCCCUCUCCCCCUCUUGAUGACACGAUUGCCGGGAAGUGCGACGAAAUAAAAUCGUUUGUUGUCGGGUUUUUUUUUUUUUUUUUUCGACAAAGACCGUCGGGAAUCUAGAAUCUCGUUUCGAACAAACGACUGCCUUAUAUUAAAAAAGUACGACGCCGGACGUGUGGUUUGAAGAAUUUUCAGCAAACAAGUGUUUCUUGUACAAGGUUAUACCGCGGUAUAAUUUUACGUGGAGGCGUAUAUUGCUUCUCUCAUAAAAAACGAUACACUGAAACGCGAUCAUAAUUCGUUAACUUUUUUCUUUAUUUUUUUAUUUUUUUUUUUGUCCAUAUUGCGAUUAAUGUACAAUCGUCGAUCCGUCCGUGUGCGCACGCGCGCGCGCGCAUGUAAAUAUGCGCUCACACGCAAUUAAUUCCGUUCCUUUUGUCUUCGCGCACUGCCCCUUUCCCCUGCCUGUCGGUAUUAGGAUCUAAACUUUUUAAUUAAAAUCCCUUUUGAUAAAACCGUAAAGACCUAUAUUCUACUCCGACUCUCGUUUUAACUUUCGCCCUUGGUUUGUCGCGUCUAAAAACCUGCACACCGCAUCGCGUUUAAUUUCGAAUAAAUCCUUUUUGCCGCGCGCAUAUUACGCGCGAAACGCCCGCCCGUAUUUUUUUAAUUAAAAACCAAUGGAAAUCUGCAUAUUAUAUUGACGACAACGACGUCGAUGAGCUCGCAUAUAUUAUUAUUAUUAUUUUCAAAGUCGUGUUGUAUUAUAUUAUAAUGAAAUAAAAUUCGUGUACAGAAUAAAGAAUUUUCGUUGAUGGCAGAUUAUACGCGGGAUCGUAUUGCAAAGUAUUAUUAUUUAAUAAUAAGUAGGGCUUAAGUUUUUUUAUUAAAAAAAAAAAAAAAAAAAACUAAUAUUGCUGACUGACGAGGAAACGAAAGGUCACUGCUAACGAAACACGAUUUCGAGCGAAGUUUUAUUAGACACGUUUUGAAAUGUUCAACUAUUAUUACGAUUAAGAUUUUCGUCGAAAUUUGAAUUUUUUUUCUCUCUCACUCAUUGUAAACAUUGUUUUAAGUUUAAAAGUUUCAAGGCAAAUUUAUCCGCACAAAACUGCCUAAAUCAAGUCAAAGAUUUAUAAUUAACUCAAAAAUCAGCGGAAUAUUUUGAGAAUUUGACCACGCGUAGAAAAGAAAAAUAUAAAUAUUUUUUUGAAAUGCUCAGACGAUUAUUUCUAACCAAAUCAUGACAAAAAAAAAACCAAUUUGAAAAUAAUGAAAUCGUUAUUUCCGUAAAUUUUCCCGUUUGUUCAUCGGUUUUUCCCAAUUAUUGGGAAAAUGACAAGGGCAAUAUAAUCGCUUCUCAGUCUGCUUAUAAAAUAACUCGAAUUCCCGAGGCGUCGAGCCCAUUCGGUCCAGAGGGAGCCUGUAAAAGUGUCGAAAGUGUCGGGGGAAAAAAAACAAUAUUAACUAUACACGAUAUAGUAUCUGCAGUAUUCUAAGCGAAAACUAAUUAAACAUAACUCCCCCACCUGCCCCCACCUGCACCGCGGAUAUAGAAAUCACGCAUUGUAGGUGGAUAGUGUGGCACGUAUAAAGGAUUUAAAUAUAUUAAGGUUACGUUUUUAGUUUAUAUAGGUACUGGGUACAGCGAUAAAACAUUGCGAACGAAAAACGAUUCUGCGCGGAGUACUACAAUAUAUCAGUCGUGUUUUUCUCUCGUGUAGCCCCCCUUCCCUCCCAAUGUAAUACGUCCACCGAAAUCGACGGAAAUGACCAAGACAAUGACGUACUAUAGCAGAUAUAUAGCAAUACAGUGAUAUAGAUAUAGUGUAACCGUUGAAAAUGUCGAUAAAUAUUUCAAAUAAAGUGCUACCGGCCGGAUGUUCCGCGUCUUUUGGGAUAAUAAUAUGACGCGAACAAAUCUGAUCAUUUUUAUUGGGGUACUGAGAAUAAGUGGGCUCUUAGAGGGGAAGGAGAAUGUAUACGCGUUCUAGUAAAACCCUAUUAAUAUCCCCUCUUACCGUUACAUUCUGAAUCGGAAAUAAUCAUAAAAAUAAAAUAUCACCGCACGUAGCUUUAAUAAAAAAAAAAAAAACCCUUGCUUACUUCGAAAUAUACGGGAAAAAAAAUAUUUUGUCGAUUCUACUUAAUACAUUUAUUUUUUUUUUUUAUUUUUAUACAGAAAUCACGCUUUCGUUUUGAACGUGCAGAGUACUAUCGAGUUAAAACCCGCGGGGGGUUUAUUCUUAUAAACGGGUGCAAAAGGAAUAACGAGAGGUUUUUACGGGUGAUAAUUAAAUUAUUAUUAUUAUUCUUUUUAUUUUUUUAAUAAUAAAACGCGAUUUAAAGUUUGAAAGCGAGAGUGUACGGCACGUUAACGAGUUGAAAAGUUAAAACGUCAAGGUAAUUUUAACUCUUAGCCCUUUGAAUUUUCAUCGCGUCGAUAAGCGAGUUAAUUUUGUAUUGCGUCGCUUUGAGUUAUAAUUUCAAUUUAUUUUCGUUUUUAUGAAAUAUGAAAUUUACACGUUCCUACCUUGGAAAAAACAAAAUAAACGUUUUCGAUUCUGAGCGGAACGAGAAAUGUAUUGGUUUUACAAUGACGUUGAUAUUUGUAUACUUUGUACGGAAAUUCUACACCGGAAAUCGUGUUCCGAAGUAUCGAGUGCAGUAGCACGUAUUCCGAAAGGGAAAUUUCCGGGGUCGGUACUUUAAAGGGGCCGAUUUUCGUUUUUCCGGGGGGUUUUUGCCGAUAAAUGACAAAAAAAAACCGUAAGAAAAACGGGAAAAUAGGUACACGCGACGUAACCCGGACGGACUCGAGCCGACAAGCCGACGUUGAACGUCCAAAGUGGACUUCUCGCCCGGGCUCAAGCUCCGACGGACGGGCGACGCGACGUAUCGGCGCACGCGGAGAAAACACGGAAAACAAAAAAAAAAAAAAAACCCCGGACGUCCGGCGGCCUCGGCGGGAACGGGGCGAGUACGGGUUUCGAGGCAUCCACCGGGCAGACGGAAAUUUCGCGUAUUUUCUGUAGAUUUCGCGCGGCGCGAAACAAAUUCGGGGCGCAUUCGUUGAUCGGAAACGCGGCGCGUUCCGGAUUCGUCGGUCUAAUGAUUGCGUCGCGGAAUUUCCUCCGGCGUUCGAUACGUUUAGGCGAAUCCGGACGUGGCGCUACUGUAGCGAAAAAAGUUUACAAAAAAAAAAAAAAAAGUCGAGUUACGCAGCGAGUCCCUUUUUGACGACAUUCGACGUAGCGGGUAACUAGUGUUAAAACAAAUAUUAUUACACAGAACUUCGGAAAAUAACUCGAUUUAUUCCUUUGAUGAAUAACUGAAACUCAACUCGAGUAAUUUACGAAUAUCCGUCGUGAGAACUGCGUACACGCAGUGGGUAGUUAUUUUUGGCAGGUAUUUAUUUUGCGUUUCGGGAUAUCCGCACGGGUCGUACAAGGCGCACGAGACUCGUCUUGUGCGACGACGGUAAGUCUACACAAGCAUAAAUAUUAGUGACUAUAUAACGACUAUAUGCUUGAAACUACCUGAAAACGUACGACUCCCGAAAACGCGCAGUCGGUUCAAGGGGAUCGUAAGCGGUUCUUUACCGUCUUUGUUUGCGAGCAACAGGACUUUAGACGUGUUUUAAACGUACCGACGAUUGACCCGGUGAAGCGCGUUCAGAAUUCCGGAAACAGAUUUGAAUUUGUCGUCGAAUUCGCGUUUCCCCGAAAAUUCAAAAUAUUUUUAUGGUAAGAGACUUUGGGGGAGGGGGAUUUAAAGGGCGAAAUCGAAAGUCGGCAAAAAGUCGACCGCGAGUUGGCUCGACGACAAACGAGUCCGUUUCCGGGUAUAUUCUUUUCGCGGUUCGGUUAUUUUUUUUAAUUUUUAACUUCUGUUCGAAAAGACUGCUCGAUUUGAACCGGGUUAAAAACAAUCGGUCGACCGGCACGGCGGCGCCGCGUUGAUCCGGUCAAAACGGAUAUCACUGUUCGUGAAUCGGAAAUACACAGCGAAUUAUAGUGACGAGAGUGAUUUUUUUUUUUUUUUUUUUUNNNNNNNNNNNNNNNNNNNNNNNNNNNNNNNNNNNNNNNNNNNNNNNNNNNNNNNNNNNNNNNNNNNNNNNNNNNNNNNNNNNNNNNNNNNNNNNNNNNNNNNNNNNNNNNNNNNNNNNUUUUAUUUUUUUUUUUUUUUUUUUUUUUAAUUUAACCAAUUGCAGGAGCCUAGAGAGAAGGGCGGGAUAACGAUAAAAACCGUGACAUUCACCUCCGCAGUUGGCGAGGAUGCGGGCUGGACUGCCAUGCGUACCUAUAAACACGAUGGGCAUGUUUUGGUAACAAACUGUGACCCAUACGCGUACAGUGUAGUAGACACGAGGAAUUACGAAGAUGUUGCAAGAGCAACUAUAACUGUCUACGUGCGGUGGCGUACAGGGAGUAAGGGGGCGAGAGUGCCUAUAAUACUAUUUACGCGAAUCGUAUUUCAACCGAAACCGGGCGAGUUUCUCGACGACUUUGGUAACCGAGUUACUUGGUUACUUUCCUUAUAAUUACUAAGUAACUUAGUUGCAAGUUACAAGUUUCCGGAAUAAAAUAAGUCACCGGAAAGUUCCUAAUCGAAAAUGUACAAGUCAUACAAUCAGUUUUAAAAUUUUUUUUUUUUUUAUUAUUAAACCCAUUUAUUGAAUUUGAAUAGUGAUGUUUUUCCAUCGGACGAUCAGUUUUCGGAGGAAUAAAUAUACGACCUCAAUGAAUCGAUAUUAUAAACGAUUUUUUCCGUAUUAUAGUGACAGCAGCGCGCGUUAUCAAAAUACCGUCGCAUUGUGUGUUAUGUCAAAUUCGAGACGUAUUCGUGCACGUCUCGGGUGGAAAUUUAUUUUAUUGUUAUCCAUCAUGACGGGCGAUACCCUCGGGAGAGAAAAACGAAAUUCCGAGUUGCGAGACAUCGGUGACGAAAACUAACUCGUGGCUUUUUCGGGCUCGAAUGAAAAGUGACUGCCGUCGAGUUAUUAUCGUACAAAAAGCGACGCUAUCGUUAAGUAGCGACAAGUUACGAGCAAACCAAACGUGUCAUUCGCGAGUUAUAAAGUUGCCGAUUUCCGUAACUUUGCGGACUGGUGCUGAUGAUAAUACUGUUCGGCUCUGGCAUUAACCGACGGCGGGCGACGCGAGUAAUUUUUUAUUUUAUUUCACUAUCGUUAAUAUCUCGACGACGAUUACGGGUAAAGUCGCGCGGGAUUUUCAUUAAGUACGUGCGGUUACCUCCCGACGUAAUAAUACGGUAUACCUGGUGUAUGCGUACGCAUUAUAAUACGCAUCGUCACGUCGUCGUAUCGUAUAUUUCAAAAAAAAAAAAAAAAAAAAAAAAUACGGAAAAAAAAUUCCAUUAUUCUCGUCGUACGGCUAUUUAUAAUACGUACGAUAUUAUAAUAAUAUAUUCGGUAUGCCGCGGCAAUAUUCUCGCGAGGCGUUCGUAUACGGUCGUUUGAAAAUUACGAUUUCAUUAUAAUAUAUUCCUCCGGAAAGGGAAAAAAAAAAAAAAAAAACCGUUUAGGUUAAUACCUCGUACACACCUUACAUAUAUAUACGUAACGUAUGAUACUCGUACAUCAUAAAUCAUUAUAUUUUUUUUUUUUUUUAGAAAUUGCAUUUCAAUAUUUCAUAAAAAUAUUGUAAUACGGCGUCCUGUGUAACGCACGCGUUUAGACGGUAUGUCACGCGGAAAUCGUCUCGGCUUGUCGCGCUCGACGGGUUUUUUUAUUUUUUUUUUUUUUUUUUUUAGAUUAUUGUGUUUCUUAUCGGUUGACGGCGGCGGCGGCGGCGGCGGCGUUUCGCUUUCACCGCGCGGUUUCGGUUUUGUUAUUGUUUUCGUUCACGACUCGAAACACGGCCGAACGACGAUUAACAACAAUCGUCUCCGAAAACAAUAUAAUGUUAUGCACCUGUGAAAUACGAGUGUGUGGUGACGCCGUCGUCAGUCCCGGUGAAAACGUGCCGUUCGUUUCGGAUACGCCGUCGGGGGUGUGUUUCGAACUCCGCGUGCCGGCAAUGGCGGAAAUUGUGGAGUGGGGGACGGGUGGGUUUGAGGGGUAAACGCCGAUUUGUAAUUGGGGGCCGGCUGCUCUCUCUGUUUAUACGUUUUGAGCGGGCUUAGAACCCUCAAGCUCCCACUCCUCCCCCCGAAAUUUUCCCCGACUCGUGACGGUCAAAUUUUUCGCAAAAUACUUACGUUACGUUGUCCUCGGAUUGUCUUCGUCACCCGUCGUAUUUUCGGAGGCGUAACGAUUGAUUUUCACGAACGAAAACCUAUGCAUUGAUGGAAAAAAAUAAAAAUCGAUAAAUUAACAAAGUUCUACUAUAAAUACAUUUCGCUGUUGAAAUUAUGAAUCGACGAACCACUCCGCUUCCGAAUUUGGUCUGGAACGGGGGGGGGCGGCCGGGAAGAGCGGCUUAGCACUUUGUGCAUUCAAAACGCUGUUUGUGCAGGCUCCCGCGAGUAAAUUAUUAUUUGCUAUAUUGUAAUCCGACCCGGCGCUAUCGCGAGUUUUUAGAAUCGAGGGGGGGGAGAUAUUUUGCACCGACCGGUAACGUCCGCCGGCACCCGUUCGAACGGUUUUUUUCGCGUCCAAAAUAUUGGCGACGAGGUUCGCCUGGUUUUUGGGAACACGAGACGUAGUUCGCCCAACGCGGUUUUCUCGCGGGAGUAGGAAGGGGACCCGUGAUAGCGAACUCGCCUGUGAUUAUAACGUAAAGCCGGUCGUGGAAAUGGCUUUUCCGUAAACCGCUGUGUAUAACGGACAUGGUCGUUAUCGAUUUUUCGCAAUCUUGAAAAACCUAAUUGUUAUUACGCUAUACGAACCUAAGUAUUUUGCCCGUAUUUUUAACGAGCGGUCACGAGCUCACGAGGGGUCCGCGGCCGUGACCUCGAAAAGGAAAACCGACUUAAAGCUGCGGUAGAACGAACGCGACCCGAAAUCUCUUAUAAAAGUACCUCCUAUAGUGUUUUCGGACUAUAUUUUUUUUUUUUUGUUUUUCGGAAAUUAUCGGUCGUUACUAAAAAAAAAAAAAAAAAAAAUAAUAAAAAUAAAAUAAAGUGAUAUUCUUAAACUGAAACGUAUACACAAUAAUAUUGCAUUGUAUAUUAUUUGUGUUUAAUACAAAAGGAGAAAACUAAAAAAUACGUAUAUAGUGUUGUACAGUAAUUUAUUAUAUUUACGUCUUGACUUUUCGAGUGAAAUAUACAUUGUAUAAAAUGUAAAUUAUUUAAAAUGCUAAAACAAUAUAUGUAUUAUGUAUUAUUAUUUUCCCCGAGGGAGGAUAAUUUAUUAUCACAAUAUUAUAUAGUAUUUUAAAAAAAAAAAAAAAAAAAAAAAAAAACCCCNNNNNNNNNNNNNNNNNNNNNNNNNNNNNNNNNNNNNNNNNNUUUUUUGUUUUUCGGAAAUUAUCGGUCGUUACUAAAAAAAAAAAAAAAAAAAAAAAAUGAAACCCUCCUCCGUUCGAAUCGUCUAUAAUGUACGUUUGUUUUGUUUUGUUUCAGGUAAAUAAUACAUAUUAUACGAGACGCAUAUUAUU
RNAcentral lists this long non-coding RNA (95287 nucleotides) under Cinara cedri. The record is from RNAcentral. Lineage: Eukaryota; Metazoa; Arthropoda; Insecta; Hemiptera; Aphididae.